AUUAACUGAUGCUUUGACUUAUUAGCAGGUUGCAAUGAAUUAUUAACUGAUGCUUUGACUUAUUAGUUCUGCAGCUAAGUUAAAUAAAAUAAGGUAUUUUCAAAAGCAAAAUGGAAUACAUAGACAAAACAUCAUCUUAAACAAAUCACAAUCUAGAAUUAGAGUGUUGAUUUGAGAUUCUAGAUUGUGAUUUGAUCGGCUCAUUUGUUAAGAAGUGUUGAUUUGAUCGGCUCUGCAAAUUCUCUUGGGACUCGGUUCCAAUUCCUCUUCAUCAAAACUGUAAUAUAAUUCCCCUUCAUCAGAACUCGAAUCAAAUUCACUUGCAGCAGUUCCACUCGCGCUUGGCAAAUCAUCUAAUUUCCAAACUUCGGUAGCAAAAUUGAGAGUAAAAGUGUUGGCUUUGAUCUCGCUGGGAUUUGCAUAUACUGGACAUACUCCGCAACGUUUUAUCUUCUGACCCUUUUGGACCUUUAGGUUUCGGCAACACUCAUUGAAGAACUUAAGUGAGACAGUUGUAUGAUGGUAACCAUCAGGAAAGCCAACAUUCAAGCAAGGUUUAAAACCAAGUAUGACAUGAUCUGAAUCAAUGAGGUCUUCAAUUGAGUGCGAAUCGAAACUCAGAUGAACAUGUUUGGUUUCAGAGAGAGUCUUUAUUUCUAAGUCGGAUCGACAGCCGACGUAAACAUUACGAAAACGAUCAGAAUAAAGUUGCUUAAAAUCAAGAACAGCACAAAAAGCAAACCCGAUUAAGUUUCUGCAAAAAGAGUGCGGUGGCAGUUGAAUACGUAUUGAAGAUCCUGAACUUUGAUUGCUGAACCAGUCAGGAAUUUUGCUCCCAGGUAAAACAAUUUGGGAUCGCCUGAGUUCAGAAAGUUUCUGUGAAACGACAUUUAAAAAAAGAAAAUUGUCAAAUGAAAACCAUGAUUUCAGAUAUAACAAAGAGGGACAGAGUAAACAAGAGAGGGAAUUUGAUACCUCGUCGAUUGUCUUUCCCCGUCUCAGUGAUGCUGCAAUUGCCAUACGUAGUGAAUCUGCCAAAAUCUUGUUGUUUGCUUUUCCAUCAAGUUUCAAGCAGUUAGUAAACCGAAAAUAAAUUGGUUGUGACAGUCGAUAUUCCGGAUGCCAUUCACAAAGGUCAGGAGAGGGUUUGGAUAGCUUUUCGAGUACGGAUGCAUCUAGUUCUUGUAGACAUGACGGAAUCUCUGGCAAAGAUUGAAGCCGGUUGCAGUUCGUUGCAUUUAGUGAAUGUAGACACAAUGGAAGUUCUGGUAAUGACCGAAGCAUGUUACAACCCGUCAAGUCAAGAGAUUCUAGACACAAUGGAAGUUCUGGUAAUGACUGAAGCAUCUUACAACCCUCCAAGUGAAGAGACCUCAGCUGCGACAGUUGCUUGAUACUUGCAGGUAAGCUCUCAAAGCUAUUUCCACUUAGAUUUAAUGUUGUCAGUGAGGAUAGACAGGCAAUCUCUUGUGGAAUUUCCAUUACAGCACAGUUCCUCAUAUCUAGAUGUCCCAAAUAAGCUAAACCUAAUAAAAACGAUCGAGGCAAUGAUACCAAACCUUUGCAGCGAGAGAAGUAAAGAACUCCAAGUCUGUUUGAAUAUGCAACAGAGGAUGAUGGUAGUUGACUAAUAGCUGAUCCAACUGCUGAGAUGAUAAACAAACAUUUUAAAUUGCCAAUGUUAUCCGGCAACUUAUCAAGCUUAGAGCAAUCUUCUACGAACAAUUCUUCAAGCCCCGGUAGAUUUUCAAAUGACGAUGGCAGCUCUGUAAUUGCCGUCUUGUUUAAAUUGAUGCGUUCUAAAUGUUCCAUUUUCUCCAAGAUUUCUGGGAAGCGCUCAAGGUUCACGCAGCCAUUAAGAAAAAGAUCAACCAAAGAUCUCAAUUUACAAAACCUAGUUGAAAUCCUCUUCAGCCGUUUGCAAUACUUCAAAUUCAACUUUUUAAGAUCAGUUAGGCACUCUAUUGAUGACGGAACUUCUUCUAUUGCAGACUUGCUCAAGUUUAGCGAUGUUACUUUCCCAGAAAUCAGUGGAAACUCUAUGAGAUUAACACAAUAGGAGAAAUUAAUAGUUACUGGACAAACAAAAUGAAGAUUGCUUGGAAAAGACCUAAGACUUUUGCAGCCCUCAAAAGACAACGCACUGAGAUACUUGAAAUUCUGGAUAGAUGAGGGAACACAAGCCAAGUUUGUAUAAUCCAAAAGAUAUGUUUCAACAUUUGGGGUUUCAAAUGGGCCUGGCAUCUUAAUGAAAUGUUGAGAAUGGCUGAGGUUAAUAGAUUUUAACUUGAAAGCUUCCUGCAAUAACAGAUAUAUAAAGACUAUAUUAAUUAAAAAGCAACAUUGAAUUCAACAAUUAAUUGCACGUAUAUUUAAAGAAAGAAAAAAUUAAUGUUUUAGUUUUAGUACAAAACUUACCUUUUCUCCUUCCCAAAGUUGCUCAACUUUACUACAACUCAAAUUCAGUGCAACAAGGUUCUUUGGCUUGAAAUUUGAUGGCAGUGUCCUUAAUGGAUAUGUGUCCCAAUGAAGAUAUCUCAAUUUUUUAGGAAGAUAAUCUAGGCCAUUUGGAAGCUGCACUUUAGAGUAUGAAAGAUGCUCUUCAAUGCUCAUACUUGGAAGCUUUUCAAUCCCAUAAAAUUUGAGCAAUCUCAUAUUAGACAUAUUUGUGAAGGCUCCGGGGUCUAAAUUGAUGCGUUUUAUUUUGGACAAAUCCAGAAAUAUGCCUUCAAUUGCAUCGGUCCCCUUAUUAAAAAAAAAAAAAAGAAUGAGUAAGCCUAAAACUCAAAAGAAACAUUCGUAAACUUUAUUAAUUAAGAGCUCCUUAAACAAAAAUAAAUUACGCAAUCUUUGAUUUUAUUUUUUUAAUAUAUUAAAUAUCUAUAUGCGAGAAAAGAAAAUUUUGGGGACCAUUGCAAAAUUAAACUAACUGAAAAAAAAUUCAAAAUUUCUCUAAUUUACAAACCUGUUAUCUUAAUAUCUAGAAGUUGAGAAGACAAGGCCUAUUUGAUUGGUAUAAGAUUUCGAUUUUUUUUUUUUUUAGUCCAUAGAAUCCAAAAUGUUAGUUCAAAAUUAGGGAAAAAGUCAUUUUUUUUCCACUAGCUGUAAUUGUAUCCAAGUCAAAUUGAGAUACGACCCUUUUCAAAAGGAUUUAACCAUCUUACAGCCUCCUUAAGGCACAUUUAAGCUAAAAGGAGUGAUUGGAGGCAGAACUAGGUGGGCCAAUCAGUCCAUUUUAUUAGUGACCGUUGCUUAAAAAAAAUUAUACUCUAAACCACACUUACUUUUUUGAAAAAAAAAUGUAAUUAUAUUGAAAUAAAAUCAGGUGGGCCAAUCCUCAUGGCACUCACUUUGUUCUAACACUCUUCACUAAAUUUGAAGAAAAAUAAAAUUAUACUCUUCACACUCGUAUUCAACAUUCCAAAAUUGAUAAAAUCGGGAGUUUUCUUUAAAAAUUUAAAAUUUGAAGACUUGUUCUCUUGACACCCUCAGUCAUUAAUUUUACCUAAUUAUGGUUUUUAUGAUUUUGGUUGUUUUGUUCAUAAAAAUGCUUUUACUAAAGGAUGUUCUGGUAAUAAUAAAAUUUAUAAAAAAAACAUGGGUGUGCUGAUAUAGUUGGAAAAAUAUGAGUGCAUAACUCCAAACAAAUAAAAGAUAUAUAUAUAUAUAUAUAAAUGGAGGAUUCUUACCUUAUUAUGCUUUAGUACGCGGCGGAUUUCCUUAGGAUCCCACAACCUGCUGCGUUUGCCUGGCUCUUUCUCAGAUUCUUGGCGAACAAUCUGUCGCCCCAUUUCUUGCAAUAUAUCAUGCAUCUGCAAGGAAUCACCUGAUAUUGAUAUGAGUGACUUAUCAAUAAGGACAUCCAGUCCAUCAGACUCAGAAUCAUCAAGAAUCCUUGCCAGAAAAUCUUUAUCCCCUCCCUCGAAGAAACACGCAAUAUCUAGAAAUAUGCUCUGCACCCUGGGCGUUAAUUCAUAAAAACUAAUCUUUAAUAUUUCAUAAAUAUUAUGAAUAUCAGAUUCACAAAUCCGAUUUAAGUCGUCCAAUACAUUUUCCCAAUGGCUUUUCCUCUUGAGAUACAGGGAGGAACCCAACACCUUAAGAACUAAUGGAUUGCCUUUGGCAUACUUUACAAACCUCCGUGAGUGCCGAUUGAGAUCUUCAGGACAAUGAUUUUCUUUAAAAGCGAAGUUACAAAAAUGCUCGAAAGCCUCAUCCAAUCUCAAUCCAUUGACCCUAUAUAUUUUCUCCACUCCAAAUUUUUCGAGGACUCGUUUAUCCCUGGUGGUUACAACAAUUCUACUUCCUGGACCAUAUUGAUCAAGCCCUCCAAUCAAACCCUCUAAUUGUUCAUCUUUAUUCACAUCAUCGAGUACAAUCAACACCUUCAUGCGUCGGACCCUCCCUUUAGUAAAUUGUGGAAUAUUGGGACCAGCUACUUCAAGUUUUUCACUUAAUAUUGUCGAAAGCAUUUCCUUUUGUAGGUCUUCUAGGCCACCCUCUGUUUCUGAUUUUCUCCUAACAUUUUUUGCAAAGUAUUUACCAUCAAACUCACCAGAGAAUUGAUCGAAAAUAGCUUCAGCAAGGGUAGUUUUGCCUAUACCACCCGUGCCCCAAAUUCCAACAAUUUGGACAGUAUCCCACAAAUCCAUACACAAAAAUGGUUUAAUCUGCUCAAUUCGUGAAUUUAAUCCAACUAGGCCGUUGGAUGAGUCCGUUGAGACUGUUAUUUUUUCCAACUUCUUCAAAACAUCUUCGACAAUUUUGUUUACAAGUUGCGCAUCAAGCCUAAUAUGAAGGUGCAAAGAUGCAAAAACAUUGAGUCAAAUCGGGCCAAGACAGAAACAGAGAAAAGAUGAAUUAGGAAAGAGAGUUACCUGAAUUUCGUGGAUUCAUGGCCGGCUAGAUGGGAUGUUUCUGUCAGUGCAUCCCUCCACUUCUGAACCAUUUCUGGUUUAUCUUUGAACUGUUUUUUGAGCUCAUCAAAACGGUCUCCAAAUGUUCCGUUUUGAUGCCGCACAUCAGAUGGACUUACUCCAUAGAAGACUGGAAUAAUAAUUUGGCCGUUUGUGUUCUUGCAUUCAAGAAUCUUGACAAGUUCAUUCAGGCACCAUUUUGAAGAAGCGUAGUCCUUUGAGAAAAUGACCACCGAAAUUUUUGAACCUUGGAUUGCGUACAAAAGGGCGGGUGAAAUCUCAUCUCCUCGCCUAAGCCCUUCAUCAUCAAUAAAUGUUUUGAUUUUCUUUCCUUCAUACAAUUUAUCAUAGAGAUAGCAAGUAAAGCUCUUACGAGUGUCCUCCCCUCUAAAGUUGAGGAAGACUUCAUAAUUGCCACAAGAAGAAGAGGAAGCCAUGAAGGAAAUUUUAGAAAAUUGGUGACAGAAACAGAGAAUUAAUCUUGAGAGUUGAGAGAGGAGAUGUAAGAAUGAACAUGUGUGAAGAUUCUUGCGAGUACAUAGUAAAUAAUUGAAUGGCUGGAGCUUUCUUAGUUUCCUGGAAAUUUCCUGGAGCUUUCGUAUACAUGAUUUGUCAAGUCAUGAAACAUAAUCAUGAUAAUGGGGCAGACCAAAAAGAAAAGCAACAAUUCAAAUAUUUGAUUCAACCAGUAUAAAAAGGAAGGAAAAGCAAAGAAAGGAAAUGUUGAAAGUAGAGUUAGGGAAUUAUAAAAAGCUGAAGGAAAUUGGAAUUUUGUACAAUUUCUCCAGCGAGGAACUUUCACAGUCGUUACCUCAUUGUUACAGUUUAGAUUAAGAUUUGAGGGUGCAAGCAUUUACCUAGAUUUUACCUCCGCACUAAAUUCUUAAGUUUGAAAAAUUAUGAGACCUUUAUAUUGGAAGAUAUUAUAAUCGAAUCAAAACUUAAAAUUUUAAUAUUGUUAAUCUUUAAUCUUUAAAAAAAAUUACCUUGCCGUUACAAUUUGGAUUAAGAUUUGAAUAAGCAUUUACCUAAAUUUUAUCUCCGCCUGUAAAUUCUUAUGUUUUAAAAAUUAUGAGACCUUUAUAUUGGGAGAUAUUAUAAUCGAAUCAAAAUUUUGAAUUUCAAUAUUAUUAUUCUUUUAAAAAAAUUUGAGAUAACAGAGUGAUUGAUAAUAGAGAACUUGUCUAGGCAAACACAUGCAUACACAAAAAUGUGAUGGAUUCAAAAAGAAAUUAAAGUGAUAAUGUACGUGGAUCCUUAAAACAAAAAGCGAAAUCGCUUGGUGGCCCAGUAAAAUUAAGACUGAAUAUUUUUUACACGAGAAGUCAAGCUCAUAAAUGGCAAAAGCCAUUUCAUUUCACUUUUACGCGUCAUUGACUUUUGUAACACGGUGUAUGCAUCGUCAAGUGGGGCAAAAGGGUUUCGAUUACAGUGGGAAAACAUGAACAAGAAUGCAUAAUGAAUAAUUCUUUCGAUAAAGCGAAAAUUAAACACAGAAUAAUCCUAAAAUUUAAACUCUAAUAUCUUAUAAUGUAUUGAUUAAAAAUAAUCCUAAGAGUUCCCAAUUGAAACUUUCAUAAGUAUUUUUAUUGUUUUGGAUAAACAAAUUGCACUAGGAAAACAAUUUGGCAAAUUCAGAGGAUAAUGAAAAAUAGCUAUGCUUCAAUAGGCCAAAGAUUAGAGAACAAAGAAGAAUUAGUUAUUGAUAUACGAAAGAGAAACACUCCAAAAUUUCAAGCAAAAUAUUUUCAUAUACCAUUUCGAUUUUGGAAGGGGUGUGGUUUUGAACUUCAAUAGUUUCCUCUAAAAUCAAAAGGCAGCAAUUAAGCUAGAAAGAGCAAAGAAGACUUUUUGGUACCUUAUUGAAGGUAAACAUUAUGGAACUUCCAAUGUCAUUACCUCACUGUUUAAUUUUUAUUGAGAUUUGUGCAAGCAUUUACCUAAAUCUUACCUCUGCCUGUAAAUUCAUAAGUUUUGAAAAUUAUGAGACCUUAUAUCGGGAGAUAUUAUAAUCGAACUAAAACUUAAAAUUUCUUUUCUUUUCUUUUUUUAUCAUAAAAGGGCUCUUAAGAGAGCUACGACAACACUAAGUGGGAGUGUGCAACCCCAUGAACAUCAUUAAUCAAUAUGUUUAGCGUAUUUGGAGGAAUAGAUUGAAAGCAAUGUAAACCCAAAGGAAACAAAAAGCUGUACGAAGUAAGGAAAUCUGCUGCUACAUUGGUUUCUCGGUAGAUAUGAUCCACUUUGAUCAGCCAAUCACGCCAAAGGAGUUCUUCGAUGGCCUGAAUGAGAAUAAAAUGCUCAUUGACGGGAGGGUUUUAGUUAGAGAUUAACUUCAUAACACACAUGCUGUCUACUUCCACGUAAAACUUAAAAUUUCAAUAUUAUUAUUCUUUAAAAAAAAAAUUGAGAUAUCAGAGUAAUAUCACAUAGAAAAACUUGCCCACGGACGGUAAGCCAAAUGUCUAGUCAACCACAUGCAUAAAGCUAAGUAGAACAAGAGAACAGAGAAACGCGUGGGUCCCUAAAGAAAAGGCAAGCACAUAAAUGAAAAAGCCAUUACAUUUCUAUUAACACGGUGUGGCAGCAUAUGCACAAUCAAGUGAGGCAAAAGGGAUUCGCUUAUCGUGGCAGAACAUGGACGAGGACGCGUGACGAAUAAUUCCUUCGAUAAAACGAAAAACAAACGCAGAGAAAAGAAUUUCUUAUAUGACAAGAAAUCAAAGAAAUGUGAAGGAACAUGAUGAAGAAAUUGCAGACUGAUCAAUUAUCCCCAUGGACUCCUAUAAAUUCAACCAAAAUAACAAUUCGAAUCUUACCAAAUUCUUGAGUUAAAUUUAUUCAAUGCUUUUAUUUUUUUAGAGAAAUUUUUUCCAUUGCUACUUUCCCUUUUUUGGGGAAAUUAGAACCGCGGCAUGUAUAGAAAACAUUGAGGUGUAAAGCAACAUUAAUUUCAUGGGAUAUGCGUUAUACGCAUAAUAUAUUUUCAGUCCAAAUUCAACUAUACAAAGAGGCUUGAGAACUUAAAAUUAAGCACAAACUAAACAGACGAAGUAAAUACAUGAUUAUGCAACAUAACAUUAAUUCUCUUAAUUUAUAACUGUUUUUGCCACAUGAAUCUUGCACAGUUAAUCCUAAUUGAAGACUAAAAAAGAGCAAUUGGAAGAAGGUUUUGGAAUAGAAUGGUAUACAAUCGAUAUGAUCCUUUUCCAGUAGUCAACGCUAAUUAACUGCAGUUUCUAGACUCCUAAUUAUACUAGCCAUAGAAAACUGGUGAUCAAAUUAGAUUUUGAAAGGAAAUAAUGUUCAUUUUCCCUUCGCUGCCUUUUUUUUUCUUUUCUUUUUAUAGCAAAGAAUUAUAUCAUGAAAAGAAUCAAUUUAAUCACCUUUUCCAGCAGCACAAUUUUUCUUUUAUAAAAUUUGACCACAGAGACAAAGAAGAAUUAUUCAUACCUUCAUCAGUGAGGAAAUACUUUUCGGUAUGGCUAGGGUGAGAAAAGGCUUUCCACAAACACUUGUACUUUGUAUUCCUGUAAAUUUUCUUUAAAGUCAAUAAAAACCAUAAGUUCUUUACAAUAACCACCUCUUUGAUAAAAAAGUGCCGUAUUCCUUUAGAAUUUAAAACCGGCAAAAUCGGAAUCAGUGUCUUUGAAGAGACAUAAUGGUCGUAAUUCUUUAAAUGAGUUGGCUAUGGAAAUCCUUAUCCAAGAUUCUUUUACGCCAUAUUCUUUCGUAAACCAAAAUUCAUUUUGGAAUACUCUGUUGAGAAUGUCAAAUAAAACGGCAUUGAAGGAAGUUUUCAAAGGUAGAAUCCGCACUUGUCAAAGGGAUGAUCUGCACUUGUCAAAGACACGAUCCGCGUCAAACGAAUCGACACAUUUCCUUUCGUAUUCGCAUAUGUAAUCUUUGAAAAAAUGUAGCUUCUGCAUCUAUAAAUAACGCUCAGUGUAUAAUGUUUUAUUCAAGAAAAAAAACAAGUUUCUUCAUACUCGUCGUCCGAACAUACAGAGACCGUCUCUCAUAACUUCAGCCGAAUACUUGUGAUGAUGAUCAUUUGUGAUUUCAUCAGGCAAAGGGUUGAUGGUGAAAAUUUUUGUAUGUGUGAAGAAUUGAGCUGUGGAUAUAGGGGACUUAAGUGUAAUCGAAAGAGAGUUAUUAGGUCAUAGUGCAGAUUGCAUUCAGUUUAUGGGUCGCUAUGCAGAUAAUUUGUUGACGUGGCGAAAUCUGUUAUGGUCGUUAGUAUUGUUUCUGGAAAUUUUCUAGAAACCUCAGCAUAAAAGGGGCUUUUGCAUAGCCUCUGGUGUGCGUGUGAUUUCUCUUUCGUUUCCUCAUCAAAUUCUGUAAUUCUUGCUUUGAUAAAAAGCUUGUAAUCUCUUCUGUAAUGUGUGAUCAGUGCGUAAUCAUUUUGAGCAAUAAACGCUUGUGGGUUUUUCCUUCAAACAGUGUCGUUUUGGUCAGUUUGUUAGUUUGAUCUGUUGGUGGAAUUUUCUUUGGUUAUUUGUUCUCAAAAUUCAACCGUAUAUAAAGUUUGAACUCUAAUGGCUUAUAAUGUAUUGAUUAAGAAUAAUCCUAAGAGUUCCCGAUUGAAAUUUUUAAUGACUAUUUUUAUUGUUUUGGAUAUACAAAUUGCAUUAAGAAAAAAUAUUGUCAAAUUCAGAGGAUAACGGGAAAUAAUUAUGCUUCAAAAGGCCAGAGAUUUGAGAACAAAGAAGCAUUCAUUACUGAUAUACAAAAGAGAAACACUCCAAAAUUGCAAGCAAACUAGUUUCAUAUACUGUUUGGAUUCUGGAAGGGGUGAAGUUUUGAACUUCAGUUGUUCCUCUAAAAUCAAAAGCAGCAAUUAAGCGUUCUCAAUUAGAAAUAGCAAAGAAGACUUAUUCGUACCUUACUGAAGCUAACAUUAUGGCACGGUUGUUCAUAUGUAAUGGCUGCUCUGUUAUGCUAUAUGCUCUGUUAUGCUAGCUUCUCUGUUUUUGCUUACAGUUUUGAACAUAAAUUCUUGCUCAAAUAACCCAUAAUUAAAUAACACUAAUAUGGCUCCUGAAAUCCCAUAAUAGCUAAUUACGCAACUUUCUCCUCCUCCUCAAUUAUGUCUUCCCCUGCUCGGACACUAACUUCAAAAUUCAAUGCCCCGAAAAACAACACAAGAAAUCUUUGAGUUAAAUCGUGACCAGUUUAUAUAUCGUAGCAAUUGAAAAAGAAAAAGAAGAAAAGAGUUAAUUAUUAUUCAGACCUUCACUUAUUAGGAAGUUUGUUCUGCUAUUGGGUGAGAUCAAGCUCUCAGCAUAUACUUCCACAUGAUACUUUCUAACAUUUUCUUGAAAGCCAUCAAUCAUAAAAUCUUCAUACUUUUUUCCAUCCUUUGGAUCAAUAAGUACAAAUUUCUCAUCUAAAACAGACAAAAUAAAAUCACUGUCCUUCAUGGAACAUAAUGGCUGCAAUGCCUGAACUGAAUUGGCUAAUGAAACAUAGUCUUCUUUUCUUUCUCGACAUGGAACAUAGUCUUCUUUUCUUUCUGGACAUAUGUCUCUGUACUUUUCUCUCUCUACUGAUCCACACUUUUUCAUACUUCUAACUAUCAUUUUGUUUUUUUUUUUGGUUAAGUUGUGAUUUAUUCAAUUAUUUUGUAUUUUUAAUGACAAUUAUUUAAUAUUUAGUUAGUUUUGAUAUUGAUUAGUGAUUGAAAGUGUAUUUUAGAAGACUUCCGGUCUCUUGGAAAAAGGAAAAAUGGAGACGAAGAAGAAGUGUUCUUGAUUUUUUUGUAGGCAUUAAAGUUAAACGGUUUGAAAUGAUAUUUUGUUUUAAUUUCACUCAUUAAUCUCAUUCAGGAUAAAAUUAUAAAUGCAAAUAAAUGGGGUUUCAUGAGUUUUUUUUAAUAGUGUUAAAAGGUCUACUCACUAAAUAAACAUGUUUUACCCAAACCAAUCCGAUUAAUAAAGUUAUUGGGUUGGGUUGAUCAGGUUAAAAAUCAAAAUUAAAAAUUAAAUAAAUAAAAAAGGCGUUAAAACUAUCUGUUACUUGAAAAUAAAAAGAAUUUCAAAUAGUUAGUUCUAAUGUCCCAUAUCCAAAACAUGCAUAUUAAAUAAAUAUUAUAAGUUAGAGAUAAAAUAUCCAAGAAAUAAUGAAUGAAUGAAAUACCAUAUUUUUGUUGAGAAUUAAGAGUGUGAUUUUAAUUUUGAUAUUGGAGUCUAAAGCAAUAGAUAGUACAAUGAAAUCAUGAAUGCCACAUUUAAAUAAUGUCUUUUAUAAAAUAAUAAAAAGAAGUUAAAAAUUAGGUUAGCCAUUUAGGCGUUUAGGGUUUAGCAGUUAAGGAUGAACAUAUUAUUAUUAUUGUUGUUGUUGUUGUUAUUAUAACAAUUAUUAUUUACAUAUUAAUUAAUCCAACCCAACCCAAUUAUUAACAAACUAGGAAAUAAAACCGCACUUCGUGCGGCUUUAAAAGAAAAUUAAUAUUAUUUUUUUAUUACUUUACAAUUGAUGAAACUAAUAAAAAAUAUGAAUUAUUUUUAAAAUGACGUAAUCUUAUAAAACUAAUGUUAUUUAUGAAAGUUAAUUAUUUUUUUGUUAACAUUAAAAAUAUAUAUUAAUGUGUAUAGUUAAGUGUACACAACUUUUUCAUCAAUAAAAAUUAUGUUCACAUUAAUCAACUCUCCAUUUUUCUUAGUAUUAACAGACUCUCACAUCUUACAAAGUCUGACCCUUAUUAUUCAACUAUCUUUAUCAUAGUUUAACUCAUGAAGAAAAUAGUACUCCAUGAAGCAUACAAUACUAAAAAUUUAAAUAAGUCAAAAAAUAAAAACACAAAAACAUUUCUAAAGAGAAUGUUGGUUAAAUAAUAAAAAAAACUCAAACAUAACAAAUCUUAAAUGCUUAAUAUUUAUAGAGCUUGAAGAAGCCAAAAGAUACUAAAUAAAAGGUUGCAUAAUUAAAUAUAGGAUUAUAACAUUAAAAUUAGGUCAUAAGGCAUUGGUGAGGGAAGAGGAAGGAACAUUCCUUCUUAUAUUAAUUAGUUGAUGUAUUUUAAACCACUAAAGUUUAUUUGUUGGCUUAAUAAAAUAAAUGAAUGUUUCAAAACUUAUAAUUAAUUUAUUAUUAAUGGUUAUAUAUUGUUGAAUUUAAAUAGAAAGAGAAAGAGACAUGUAAUCUUUUGUAAUCUAUUAAUUAUUUUAUAUUUUUAAUAUUUUGUAAUGUAAUUAUUUUUUAAUCUCAACCAAUAUGUUAGAUAAUAGAGAAUAUAAAAAGAUGAGAAAUAAUAAUGCCACAAAUCUUAACUACUUAAUAUUUAUAGAGUUUGAAGAAGUCAAAAGGUACUAAACAAAAGGUUGCAUAAUUAAAUAUGAGAUUAUAGCAUUAAAAUUAGACCCCACUGGCAUUAUUGAGAGAAGAUGAAGGAACAUUCCUUCCUAUAUUAAUUAAUUGAUAUAUUUAAGCUACUAAAAUUUAAUUGUUGGCAUAAUAAAAUAAAUAAAUGUUUCAAGAUUUAUAAUUAAUUAUUAUUAAUGGUUACAUAUUAUUGAAUUUAAAUAGAAAGAGGAAGAGACAUGUAAUCUUUUAUAAUCUAAUAAUUAUUUUUAUUUUUAAUAUUUUAUAAUGUAAUUAUUUUUUUAAUAUCAACUAAUUUAUUAGAUAAUAGAGAAUACAAGAAGAUGAGAAAUAGUGAUGUCACAUCACCUCCUCUAGUCCCAACUUUAUAUAUAUAUAUAUAUAUAUAUAUAAUAUUUUGUAAUGUAAUUAUUUUUUAAUCUCAGCCAAUAUAUUAGAUAAUAGAGAAUAAAAAAAGAUGAGAAAUAAUGAUACCACAAAUCUUAAAUAUUUAAUAUUUAUGGAGUUUGAAGAAGCCAAAAGGCACUAAACAAAAGAUUGAAUAAUUAAAUAUGAGAUUAUGACAUUAAAAUUAGACUCUAAUGGCAUUGUUGAGGGAAGAUGAAGGAACUUUCCUUCCUAUAUUAAUUAAUUAAUGUAUUUUAAGCCACUAAAAUUUAAUUGUUGGCAUAAUAAAAUAAAUGAAUGUUUCAAGACUUAUAAUUAAUUAUUAUUAAUGGUUACAUAUUGUUGAAUUUAAAUAGAAAGAGGAAAAGACAUGUAAUCAUUUAUAAUAUAAUAAUUAUUUUCUAUUUUCUAUUUUAAUAUUUUGUAAUGUAAUUAUUUUUUAAUUUCAACCAAUUUAUUAGAUAAUAGAGAAUAUGAAAUGAUGAGAAAUGGUGAUGCCACAUCACCUCUUGUAGUCUCAACUUUAUAUAUAUAUAUAUAUAUAUAUAUUAAUUCAUGUCUUUUAUACCACUAAAGUUUAAUUGCUAGCAUAAUAAAAUAAAUAAAUGUUUCAGAAGACUUAUAAUUAAUAUUAUUAAUGAUUACAUAUUGUUGAAUUUAAAUAGAAAGAGAAAAAAAUUACAAAGAAUAUCCACCAAUAUUUUAGAUAUUUUAGAUAAUAGAAAAUAUAAAAAGAUGAGGAAUGAUAUAUAUUAAUAAAGUUACUAUUUAUUAAAUGAGUUAAAUACAAUCAAAUUAAUUAUGAGAAGAUGAAAAGCCAAAUCUAAAAAAAAAAUCUCUAUUUAUUAGAUAAUAGAGAAUAUAUAAAGAAGUAAAAUGGUGAUGCCACAUCACCUACUCAAGUCCUAGCUUUAUAUAUACACUAGAAAAUAGAACCGCGUUUCACGCGGCUUUGAAAAAAAAUUUUAAUGUUAUCUUUUUUUUUUAUUUUGCACAUGAUGAAACUGAUAAAAAAUAUGAAUUGACUUUUUUUUAAGAUGAAGCAGCCUUAUUAAAAAAAAACUAUUAGCCAGCAAUACAAAUAAAGAAGUAAUGUAAGAUAAAAAAUAAAAUGAGAGAAUAUAUUAUAGAAUGAUUUUAUUCAUUCUAAUUGUGUGGUACAAAACAAAAAGAUGAGCUCUCAUUUUAUAGUUACAUAAUCACUCCAUGAAAUUAAUGAAAAAUUAUGGAUCAUAAUUCCUUGUGAGAUAGUGGGAGUUAUAGGGAAGCUAAAGGUUGCUAAUGGAAGAUAGUGGGGAGACUAAGAGAUAUAUGUUAUGAACAUCUACAUUUAUUUUAAUAAAUUCAUAACACUCCCCCUUUGAUGUUCAUUAUAAAAAAUAUGCCUCAUUAAAAUCUAUUAGCCAACAAUACAAAUAAAAAAGCCACACAAUAUAAAGAAUAAAAUGAGAGAAUAUAUUAUAGAGUGAUUUCAUUCAUUCCAAUUAUGUGUGUACAAAACAAAAAGAUGAGCUCUCCUUUUAUAGUUACAUAAUCACUCCAUGAAAUUAAUGAAAAAUUAUGGAUCAUAAUUCCUUGUGAGAUAGUAGAAGUUAUAGGAAAGCUAAAGGUUACUAAUGGGAGAUAGUGGAGAGAGUAAAAGAUAUAUGUUAUGAACAUCUACAUUUAUUUUAAUAAAUUCAUAACACUCCCCUUUGGAUGUUCAUUACAAAAAAUAUGUCUCAUUAAAACCUUUAUAUAAUUGUUAUUGUGUAAUAACAAUCAAAUUAAUUAUGAGAAGAUGAAAAGUCAAAUCUAAAAGAAAAUUUCUCUAUUUAUUAGAUAGAUAAUAGAGAAUAUACAAAGAUGAGAAAUAGUGAUGCCACAUCACUCUCUCAAGUCUCAACUUUAUAUAGAUAUAUAGAUUUGAAAUGAUUGACUCAAUUAAUCCACAAUAAUUCAUUCAACUCGUCUAAAUUAGAUUAUGUUGAAUUUGAUUUGCUACACCUACAUUGAGCAACAAACCUCAACGACAUUCUACGAGCUCUUUGAUUGUUUAUAAAAUUGAUUUAGAGUACAUAAAGUGUAUCGACAAUGAAAGUGCAAAACAAAUUAUUGUACAUAUUAAAAUGUGCAAAACAAUGAAUUAUAUGUACAAACGAGUGCAAACACAUUUUUCAAUAAGAAGUUAAAAGAUAUUUAUGCAUGAAAAAGCCUACGUUUGUAGUUAUUCUAAAUUUUAAAAACAAAAUUUACAUUUAGAUCCCUAAAAUUUACGUAUAAGUAUAAAAGUUUCAAAUAUUGUCUAUUAUUUUUUUAACAUGCCUAUUCCUUAUGGAUAAUUCUGUCUCAUCACUAAUGUUGUUUCUUGCUUAGAAAAAAUAAAUGUCAUCUCCUUUUACAAUUUUUAUAGCGUCUCGAAAUAGACAAUAGGGGAUUUUGAAUUUUUUAAGUCUCAAGAUAGUCUCUAAUCGUGUGAGAAAGAUUUUCUUUCAAUAAUUUGGAGCUAAACAUAACAUAUUUUUUAGACUAAAAUCUAACUCUGCUGGUUAGUAGUUGGUGGUAUCCUUUUCAAGACUUGAGUCUUUAGAUUCGAGUUUUAUAUAGUGUACAUGUGUAUUUAAUUAAUAAUUUUUUUCAAAAAAAAAAAUUACAUCAAAUACUAAUAUUCAUGACAUAAUUUAGUUCAUAAUUUUUUUAAAUACAUCGAAAAAUAUAAUUUUUUAACAACUUAUAGGCACGACAAAUUUCAAGAUAUAAAUAUCAGUCAAAAUAAAUGAAAGAAAUAAUGGUGUCAAUUCUAAUUUCUUAACUAAAUUAAUUAUUGCAUGAGCCCCGAAUACGACAUGAGAGUUUGAUGGGCUAACUUGGCACAAGAACGCGAAUAGUUAACUCAUUUAAGAAAUAAUUCAACAAAAAAUAUAAUUGAUAAGAAUUCAGUAUUGAAAUGAAUUUUUUACGAAACAUUGAAUUAAUGAUUAUUAAGCAAGAACAAUAAAAAAAUAAAAUAAAAAUAAAUAUUAACCAUUGAUAAGCUUCAACAAGAACUUAACACAACCCUCAAUCCUAAUUCAAAUCAUAAAUGUCAUUCAUAUAUUCAUUAUAAAUCAAUAACAAAGGUUAUAAAUGUUUAGAAAUUCUAGAGGGAAGGAAGCUAUCUCCGGGGAAUCAACAACUAAAUUUGAUGUAAUUGUGGCACACGAUGGAAUAUGGAAACUACACCAUAAUUUCAAAUGCCGCCAUAGACAUUGACUUAUCUACAAUAACAAUGAUCUAAUUAAAAUUAAAAUAAAGUUUAUGGGCAUUUAUUAUUUUGCCAUUUCUCAUUUGCAAACAGGGAUAUAAUUAUAAUUUUACUUAGUCAAAGCAAUCAGUAAUUUUCUUCAUUAUCGGAGUGAAGUAAAAACAUUUAGAUUUUAAUGAGUGUACGGAAAAUUUAUCUUUAAAAAUACUUUCUUAAUGUGUGUGUAUAUAUAUAUUGAAAUAUUAUGCUAUCAAAAGUUAAUUUUAGAAAUUCCAAAUCCAAUAGCUAACACAAUUCUUUAAAGAAAAAAAAAAAAAGGUUGAUAAUCAGCAAUUAGUAUUACUUUCUAAACUUACUUCAACUGGUCGUUAAUGAGGGGCCUUGGGCAAGAGUGAUGAAUGUUUAGUCGGUGCAUUUGAUUGAUAGAUAUAUAAAGGGCCGAAACUUGAGAUUAUAUUACUUUUACAAAUUUUAAUCCAAUCACAUAUUUACUGAAACACAAAAUGAGUUAGGAUACUUUAUUUAGAACCCACAUUUUAAUAAGGCUUCAUUUGAUGUAGUUUUUCAAACAGUGAUUAUUUGAGUAAAGUUUCCUCAAUAGAGUUUUUAUCAAAUAAAUUUUAUUUAUUUGGUUGUCGAUAAGAACUUUUAUUAAAAAUUAUAAAAUUAUUUAAAUAAACAUAUUUUUUUAAAAUUACAUUAUAAAAAGAAUUAAAUAAAGUUAUAAAAGUAAAAUAUAUUUUAGAUAUUUUAAUAUUUAAGAAAAAAAUUUUGAAUCUCUACUUUCAGAAGCUCAAAUUUUUAGUUUUUAGUUGUAGAGACAAAAUAUCUUAUUUAAUCUUUAAAAGUUCUGCUAAAAACAAUCAAAUAACUAUAAAAUUUUUAAUAAGAGUAUAUAAAAUUAAAUAAGCAUUUAUUAAUAAUCACUUUAGUGUACUUAUCUAAUGACCAUAAGUGUUUAUUUAAUCUCAUAAGUUCUUAUUUAAUCUCAUGAGCUCUUUUCAAUUUUUUUUGUUGUUUGCUUUUUUUAGUAGAGUUUUUGAAAAUUAAAUAAACUAUUUUGUCUCUAUUAGGAAAAACUCAAAUUUUAGGUUUUUGUGAGUAAAUGUUUAAAUUUUUUUAAAAAUAUUAAAAUAUUAAAGUAAAAGUUGUAGAGACAAAAUAUCUUAUUUAAUGUUUAAAAGUUCUGCUAAAAAUAAUCAAAUAACUACAAAAAUUUUAAUAAGAGCAUAUAAAAUUAAAUAAGCAUUUAUUAAUAGUCACUUUAGUAUACUUAUCUAAUGACCAUAAGUGUUUAUUUAAUCUAAUGAGCUCUUUUUAAUUUUGUUUGUUUGUUUUUUUAGUAGAGUUUUUGAAAAUUAAAUAAACUAUUUUGUCUCUAUUAGGAAAAACUUAAAAUUUAGGUUUUUGUGAGUAAAUGUUUAAAUUUUUUUUAAAAUAUUAAAAUAUCUUUUCUUUAUUUCAUAAUCUUAUUUCAUUCUUCACAACAUAACUUUAAAUAACUCACCUAUUAAAAUAAUUUCACAAUUUAUAAUAAAAAUUUUAAUUGACAAUCAAAUAACAAAUUUUUUUUUAUAAAAACUCUAAUAAUAAAAAUUCUACUUAAAUAAAUUAUAUUUGAAAAGGUAUACCAAACGAACCUAACAUAAAAACAAAAAUUUUUACAUCCACACAAUUAAGCUUAAAACAAUUUCAAAUGAAUUUUAGACUACUCAAAGUACAAUACGUACCAAGUUUGGUAACUUAUUGGGGUCCGCUUGUAAUACAGCUCAUGAGCUCUUUUUAAAAAAAUUUUGAAUCUCUACUUUCAGAAGCUCAAAUUUUUAGUUUUUAGUUAUAGAGACAAAAUAUCGUAUUUAAUGUUUAAAAGUUCUGCUAAAAACAAUCAAAUAAUUACAAAAAUUUUAACAAGAGCAUAUAAAAUUAAAUAAGCAUUUAUUAAUAAUCACUUUAGUGUACUUUAUCUAAUGACCAUAAGUGUUUAUUUAAUCUCAUGAGCUCUUUUUAAUUUUUUUGUUGUUUUUUUAGUAGAGUUUUUAAAAAUUAAAUAAAUUAUUUUGUCUCUACUAGGAAAAACUUAAAAUUUAGGUUUUUGUGAGUAAAUGUUUAAAUUUUUUUACAAAUAUUAAAAUAUUUUUUUCUUUAUUUCAUAAUCUUAUUUCAUUCUUCACAACAUAACUUUAAAUAACUCACCUAUUAAAAUAAUUUCACAAUUUAUAAUAAAAAUUCUAAUUGACAAUCAAAUAACAAUUUUUUUUUAAUAAAAAUUCUACUUAAAUAAAUUAUAUUUGAAAAAGUAUACUAAACAAACUUUUUUUAGACUAAUCAAAGUACAUCUUCUCAUAAAAUAAUUUCACAAUUUCUAAAAAAAACUCUAAUUGACAAUUAAGUAACAACUUUUUUUUUUUUGUAAAAACUUUAUUUAUAAAAAAUCUAAUAAUAAAAAUUCUAUUUAAAUAAAUUAUAUUUGAAAAUGUAUACUAAACCAACCUAACAUAAAAACAAAAAUUUUUACAUCCAGACAAUUAAGCUUAAAACAAUUUCAAAUGAAUUUUAGACUAAUCAAAGUACAAUACGUACCAAGUUUGGUAACUUAAUUGACAUCUUCUCAUAUAACCUUCGAUCAAGUCGAUUCUGACCUGACGACUAAUUGGUACAUCACCGUUGUUCUCUAUACUCGCAUGCAUCCGAUCACAAAUCUCACUCCAAUUGUCGUCUUUCUUCGGCGUUUUAGCGCAUCCUUCUUGAAUUUCCCGCAUUUCGUUCCCUCCUGUUACAAGUCUCCGGUCAGGUCAGUUCACUUGACGAUUAAUUCGGCAAAUCUCGAAUCUCUUCUCUAUCCCUCUCGUUUUCUCGUGUCUCCUUUCAGUUUAAGUGAUUGAAUCAAUUUUAUCGCAGUCUUAAGAGAAAUUAAGUAAUGCUCUUGGAUUUAAAAUUUUUUUGCUUUCGACUUUAGAUCUCGAAAGUCAAACUCUGCUACGAAUCCAUAGAUUCUCAAUGUUUAUAAUCUUAUUUGUGUUUGACCAGGUAACUGGAUCGUGAAAUUCGUCGUUUUGUAUCAAUUCAGGCUUUCGCGAGCUCAUGGAAUCACCUGGUGAGUUGUGGUGAAACGUUAUCGUUUCAAUUUUCGCUUAAUUCUUUAUUGCAUAUUUUUUCUCUAACAUUUCAGUUUAAUUUAGAAAAGAAAGAGGACCCAAAAAGAGAGAGAGAGAGAGAGACUCUACCAUACUCAAUUCCUUGCUCAUUCUGAUUUGGCCUGAAUGUUGGCAUUGACUAUUAUUUGUUUUCAUUUCGAUUUAAUUCUCAUUUAGACAGUCUUUACUAACGGUCAAUAAUAGUUUAAGGAAAAUGAUAAUAGGGAUUCUGCAAUAAUCUUUCUGCAUUGUUCAAGUUAGUAGACGAUGAAUAGGAUGUUUAUGUUUACCUCAUUUUGAACCCUGAGGGCUUCGUUGAGUAGUUGAUUCAACAUAUCCAGCAACGGUUGAUGUGAGAACAGGAUGCCACUUAGAUAGGCUUAAACUGAUUUUGGAGGUUUGUAUUGGUUCUAUUGUACGUCUUGCUUACAAAUUUUUUAUUUUUUAUUUUUAAUUUUGUAUAAUAUGCUCUUUGUUGGUAAAUCUCAUUUGACUUAGAAGAGAUAGUUUUAUCCCAACAGUGGGAUAAAUCAUUGAGAUGCAUGGCAGUGUGAAUAUAGUAGACAAAAUCAUUGAGACACAUGGUGGUGUGAACAUAGUAAACUUCAUGGAAGCAAUGAAGCUUGAAAUUGAACGUCUGCAGCUGAAUCUUUCUGCAGCUGAAAGGGAUAGAGCUUUAUUGUCAAUCGGAACUGAUCGUGCCUCUAUAAAUCCAAAUGUAUUGCUUGAUGAAUCUUACAUGGGAAGACUGUGUCGAGUAGCAACCACUCUUGCAUUACUUGGCCAAACUUCCCUAGAAGACAAAAUUGUUGGUGCAAUUGGCCUUGAGAAUAGUGAUGAUAGUGUUUUAGACUUCUGGAAUAUUACUAGAAUCGGAGAGAGUUGUUCUGGUGGCUGGUGGCGGGUGCAAGGUUCGUGCAGAAACUAAGGUGCCUGCUCUUGCUUCCUCAACUGCAACAUCUGUUGGAGCUUCACAAUCCCCUUUGUUGUGUUCUCAAUGUGAAAGAAAAGUUUGCAAAGUUUGUUGUGCAGGAAGAGGAGCUCUACUGUUUUCAAAUUAUAAAUCAAGGGAUGUGACCAACUACAAUGGCUUCUCAAGUCAGAGUGGAUCAAGCCAUGGAAGCCAAGUUGAUGUACCUACCAGUCGUUCACUAACACUGGAUGGCGUUGUCUGUAAACACUGCUGCCAUGAGAUUGUGCUUGAUGCAUUGAUGUUGGACCAUGUUAGGGUCUUGAUUAGCUUGCGAAGAAGUUCCCGUGCAGACAACACAGCAUACAAUGCUUUGAAUGAGGUUGUUGGAUCCUGCUUAAAGGAUAGUCUUUCUGAAAGGAUUCAGUCUUCCGAUAACGUGCAAGCUGCUGAAGUCCUUCACCAAUUAUGUGGUGGACAGGAAUCAGUUGCUGAAUUUCCAUUUGCUAGCUUUUUGCACUAGGUAUGUUCUUGGUUUGUAUUCAGUUCUCAUCAUGUUAUGUUUUCCUUUUAAAUUUCUUUUCUUGAUUAAAAUUUUUAGAAAUAUGUUUUAGUAUUUGUUCUUAUGAUAUAUGCCCAGAACAUUCAUCCCACUUAUCCAUGAGAAUCCUUGUCUGGUUUGAUUUUCAAUUGAGACAUUUUUGGGAACCCUGAGCAGGUUCCAUAUGCUAAUAAUCUUUGAGGUAAGGUGUUGUAGGAUGCCUUGAGAAGCUAAAAACCAAUUACAAGGAAAAGCUCUUGCAUUGUUUUGUGCAAUCUGUGUGCUAGCAAGUCAUGUCUCUAAUAAUUUCAUAGUUCGCUUGAUUGGAAUUUUUUAUCUUGAUAUGGAUUGUUUAUUCUAGAUUCCUUGGUGCCACUGUAGGUUGAAACAGCAAAAGAUUCAGCACCGAUUUUGUCACUGCUUGCUCCAUUAAAUUCUGGAUCAAGGCACUCAUAUUGGAGAGCUCCACCUAGUACUACUUCUGUUGAAUUUGUUAUUGUUCUCGGUUCUGUUUCUGAUGUCAGUGGGGUUAUCUUGCUUGUUAGUCCUUGCGGCUAUCUGUGGCUGACACUCCGAUGGUAAGUGCCAUAUUUAUUCCCUUAUUUCCUUGUUGUUCAAUAAAUUUGGUGAUAAGCCAAGUGGCCUUAAUAAUGAAGCCCAGUACCAGGGGUGGUGGGUAAUCGAUAUUCAACUUGUGAAUAUUCCUAAGCAAGCACGGAAUCAACAUAGACGUCGGCAAAAAUUCUCCAUGCUAUUAUAACGAAAGUCAUAUUUUGAAAUGAUUAAAAGAGUCCCUUUGUAGUGCCAUUGCCAAAGAAAUUGCAGCUGGGGGUUUAGUUUCAUGUAGGUUAGUUUCCGAUAAUAAACUUUCCAUUUCAUUAAUUGCUGAUGAAAAAACCAAGUAAGAACAGUUUCGUUGCUCGUCAUUUAUGUAUAUUUUGGUAAACUGUAAUUUUAAAUUCUCAACGAUCUUCCCUUGGUAGGUAAGAAGAUGGUCCACUCACUUUAUAUUUAUGAUUGUAGAUCAGGUUUCUAUUGGUUUGCCUUUAUCAUUGGGAACCCAAGUUUGAUAUUAACAGAGAUCACGUCAAUAAUAUCCUAUUUGGGUAGAUGUGGGUGAGGAUUUAAAAUCAAAUUUGAAAUUGGGGGAAAGAAGAGAAAAGGAACCACAAUAAUUAAACAAAAUAUUAGGAACUAUUCUGAUGAGUUUUAAUCUCGAGAGGAACAAUUUUCAAAUGCAAAUUUAACUGCUAGAGAAAUUGUAGCUUUUUGUCAUUAGUUAAGAGGAAAGAGAAUAAGAACUAUCCAGCCCUUUCCUUCAUGAAUGUGUGUUGAGGUUGCUGUAUUAUUUAGUCAGUAUUUGUAAUUUUCUUCCCUGCAGUGCUCUCUGCCUCCUGAAUUUGCUACUGAGUCCAUAUUUUUCUUUGAGCUGUUGCUUCCUAUUGCUGUUACAAGUACAAAUCUGGGCAAGCAAUAAGAUACACCGGGAGGAAAGGUCAUCAAUGGGAAAAUGGGAUGUCCAAUCCCUCAUCACAUCUUCUUCAGACUUGUAUGGUCCAGAAAAGACAGCUAGUGUUGAAAAAUUACCUAGGCAUGUAAAAUUUACUUUUAAGAAUCCUGUUAGGUGCCGCAUUGUUUGGAUCACAUUACGUCUUCAGAGACCUGGUUCGGCUUCAGUUAAUUUCGGGAAGGACUUCAGUCUUUUGUCUCUUGAUGAAGAUGAAAACCCCUUUGCGCAAGUAGACAGACGUGCUUCAUUUGGAGGAGCAGUUGAAAAUGAACCAUGUAUUCAUGCCAAAAGAAUUCUUGUAGUCGGAAGCCCAGUAAAAAGGGAGGGGCUUACCUCAUCACAGAGCUCUGAGCAGCUAAGUAUUAGAAACUGGUUGGAUAGAGCUCCACAAAUGAGUAGAUUCAAGGUAUUAGUUGCUUUCACUCUUUGUUCAUUCAUAAUUCCAGCUUUCUGCUUGAUGCCCUGCCUCUGAUAAACCUCUUUUUUUCUCUUCAGGUCCCAAUUGAGGCCAAGAGAUUGAUGGACUACGAUCUCGUCUUGGAACAAUAUCUACCUCCAGCGUCACCUUUGCUUGCCGGAUUCCAUCUAGACGCUUUCAGUGCAAUAAAACCUAGGGUUACCCAUUCACCUUCCUCAGAUUCAGAUAUCUGGGACAAAUCAGUAACAUUUUUAGAAGACAGGUACAUCUCUCAAGCUGUGUUGUAUUUACAAGUAUCCGCACUCCAGGAACCACAUAACAUGGUAACUAUUGCGGAAUAUCGACUGCCGGAGGCUAGAGCCGGAACGCCAAUGUACUUUGAUUUCCCAUGACCGAUACAGUCCCGACGAGUUUCAUUCAAGCUUCUUGGAGAUGUUACAGCAUUUGCAGAUGAACCUUCAGAACAAGAUGAUUCAGGAUUGAGAGCUCCACUUGUGGCCACAGGUUUGUCUUUGUCAAACAGAAUCAAGUUAUAUUAUUAUUGUGAUCCUUAUGAGCUCGGAAAAUGGGCAAGCCUUUCUGGAGUUUGAUCGUUAUUUAUAUGUCAGAGAAAGGGUUUUGGGUUUGAUUUUGAUUUUGAUUUGUAAUUUUUGUCAGUUUAUUGAAAUUUUUUGUUGUAUAAAAGCAGAAUGUAAAGGUAUAAAAAUUCAUUGAUGCUGCAAUGUCUGUGCUUUUGAGAAAGAAGAAUUAAUUGUCUUUUCUAUGCCAUUGGAGUUUCCCACUGCUUGUAUACUUGGGCUGUCGAAUGCUCUGUGAACCUUAAGGGCUAUAAAGUAAUUUUCAAGACUGAAGGAUUUAUUAAUCGAGUUCAAAAGAUUGUAAGUUGGUGACUGGUGAGCGUUGGCAUUUAAAAAUCAAUUGUUAUUCUCUCAAUAAUCUCUCUCUUCUCCUCGUGAAGUGUUUUCUUUUUCGAGUGAAGGUGGUUUUCCACUUGCAUACGUCGGGGGUCUUAUGAUAUGUAAUGUGUGAAAUUUCUUUCUCAUUUUACCAUAAAGAAAAAUGUUGUAAUAAUCUAAAGCUCGAGUCUUAAAUUAUCUUAAAUUUAUAUUUAGAGUGGAGCUAUUCGCAACCCUAUAUUAAAAUUACAAUUAAAAACAAUUGAAAAUUAAACACUUAUAGAUUCUUUUUACAGCAAAUUACUUAAUUCAUAAUCAAUCCUUUAAAAAAAAAAUACAUAUGUUAUUUCUUAUCUAACUAAAAUAAAUUGUACAAAUUUAGAAUAAUCUAUUGUUCUCUUUUGAUUUCUUAUUAUUUAAAUAUUUUUAUACAUAAAGUUACUUUGAAAUUAUAAUUUGAAAUAUGUGUUAUUUCAGCCAAUGAUUAACACUAAAAAAUUUAUCACCCAUAUAACUUUUUAAUUUGUGUGUAGGGUAAUAAUAAAAUCGAAAAUAAUUAAAAAAAUAGUACAAUAAUGAUUUUUAACAAUAAAACAAAUCAAAUGAAAAUUGAAAAUUUAGAAAAGUGUAUCUAAAAAAAGGAACGUUUUCAAAAAUAAAAUGAAUAUAACUAAAAAGAGAUUUUAUGAGGAGAUCACUGGGGUGCCAAUAGUCCAACUUGUAAUUAAGAAUCUCCCAUUAUAUUGUCAACCAAAAAGACACUUGAAUAAGAAGAAGAAUUUAUCAGUUUGAUUUUAUUUGUAGAUCCAACAUUUCUCAUAUCCUGAACGCCUUUUCGUAUCAAAUUAAAACAGUAGUAGCAAAAUCGUAGUAUUAAAAUCGUAGUGCACAUUCAAUUAACCAACUAAUAGUCUUUGGUAUAAGAUUUUAUAUUAGGUAGCCAAGUAGGUUGUCCAUCCCACUCAGACAUGCACGAAAGCUAAAUUCAUCAAAUGAAUUACUUAAGAAGUAUUUGAUAAUUUUGAAAUUAUCAAAAGGUGUUAUACUAUUAAAUAUUUUUAUACUUAAAAUUGUUUUGAAAUUAUAAGUUCAAAUUAAAAUAAUAGUAGCAAAAUCGUAGUGCACAUUCAAUUAACCAACUAAUAGUCUAAGAAGCAAAGAGAGGAUUACAAGUUCACAACACCAUUACAAAGGAUUCAAAAUUCCCACACGAAUACAUCAAUGUACAGAUUAUAAACAAUCCGAAUUGGACACAAGAAAAACCCUUCAAUAGAUUGCUUGCCUUCCCAAUGCUAUAUACUGUGCAAACUGCGCAUUGGCCAAGAAAAUGUUUUCAAUUUAGUGUAUUUUCAAAAUGCUUAUUUUCUCAUAGUAUAAAAAAUAAAAAAAAUAAGAAAGAAUUCUCACAUGUUUCAUCAGCAUGAUUAAAAUCAAAGAAGAAAGCGAGACAUAAUGUCUCUGACAUAAUAAAAUUACAAAAAUUUCAAGGAAAAAAAAAGGUUAAAACAUGUAAUCUUCAGAAGCAUAUAAUAAAAGAACACUUCCACAAAUUACUACAAUUUCAUGCAGUAGAGAUUGAAGAGUUGAAUUCCACUAAUUUUAAUAAUGAAAACAACAACAGAGGAUUAACUGAUGCUUUGACUUAUUAGUUCUGCAGAGCAUCUCCAAAAGCCUAUAUAAAUUUUACUCUUCAAAUACUUAUUUGCUUACCUAUGUGGCAAAUAAAAGGGUGAAAAAAUAUGAUAUUCUCCAAAAGACUCUUCAAAUAGAAAAAAGUUAAUAUUAUUUUAAUCAUAUAAUUAAUUUUUUAAAGAAAAAGUCAAUAGCAAUUAAAGCACUUCUCUCUCUUUCUUCAAUGAAAAGUAAUAAAAUAUAAAUUGAAGAGGGAGAAAUUAACUCUCCAAAUUUGAAGAGAGAGAAUUAAUUCUUAUUUAAAGAAUCUUAAUUGAAGUGUCUUUUGGAGCUUUAAAUAUUGAUGUGGCUCUUCAAAUAAGUAAUAAAAUCUUAUUUGAAGAGCCUUUAAAUAAGGUGCUUUCAAAAGCAAAAUGGAAUACAUAGAUAAAAACAUCAUCUUAAACAAAUCACAAUCUAGAAUUAGAGCAUUUUCGACAUACCUAAGGAAAACGAAUACGUGAAAACGGGUGAUUCAUUUGUUAAGGAGUGUUGAUUUGGUCGUCUCUGCAAAUUCUUUAGGGACUCGGUUCCAAUUCCUCAUCAUCAAAACUGUAAUAUAAUUCCCCUUCAUCAGAACUCGAAUCGAUGCAAUAUAAUUCCCCUUCAUCAGAACUCGAAUCAAAUUCACUUGCAGCAGUUCCACUCGCGCUUGGCAAAUCAUCCAAUUUCCAAACUUCGGUAGCAAAAUUGAGAGUAAAAGUGUUGGCUUUGAUCUCGCUGGGAUUUGCAUAUACUGGACAUACUCCGCAACGUUUUAUCUUCUGACCCUUUUGGACCUUUAUUAUGUUUCGGUAACGCUCAUUGAAGAACUUAAGUGAGACAGUUGUAUGAUGGUAACCAUCAGGAAAGCCAACAUUCAAGCAAGGUUUAAAACCAAGUAUGACAUGAUCUGAAUCAUGGGGGUCUUUAAUAGAGUCCCAAUAGAAACUCAGAUCAACAUGUUUGGUUUCAGAGAGAGUCUUUAUUUCUAAGUCGGAUCGACAGUAAACGUAAAAAUAACGAGAACGAUCAGAAUAAAGUUGCUUAAAAUCAAGAACAGCACAAAAAGCAAACCCGAUUAAGUUUCUGCAAAAAGAGUGCGGUGGCAGUUGAAUACGUAUCGAAGAUCCUGAACUUUGAUUGCUGAACCAGUCAGGAAUUUCGCUCCCAGGUAAAACAAUUUGGGAUUCCCUGAGUUCAGAAAGUUUCUGUGAAACGACAUUUAAAAAAAGAAAAUUGUAAAAUGAAAACCAUGAUUUCAGAUAUAACAAAGAGGGACAGAGUAAACAAGAGAGGGAAUUUGAUACCUCGUUGUAUGCAUUUUCAUAGCCCAGUCUCAGUGAUGCUGCAAUUGCCAUACGUAGUGAAUCUGCCAAAAUCUUGUUGUUUGCUUUUCCAUCAAGUUUCAAGCAGUUAGUAAACCCAAAAUAAAUUGGUUGUGGCGUCACAUAUUCCGGAUGCCAUUGACGAAGGUCAGGAGAGGGUUUGGAUAGCUUUUCGAGUACGGAUGCAUCUAGUUCUUGUACACAUGACGGAAUCUCUGGCAAAGAUUGAAGCCGGUUGCAGUUCAUUGCAAUUAGUGACUGUAGACACAAUGGAAGUUCAGGUAAUGACCGAAGCAUGUUACAAUCCUCCAAGUGAAGAGUUUCUAAACCCAAUGGAAGUGCUGGUAAUGACUGAAGCAUGUUACAACGCCACAAGUGAAGAGUUUCUAGACCCAAUGGAAGUUCUGGUAAUGACUGAAGUAUCUUACAAUCCCUCAAUUCAAGAAAUUUUAGGCCCAAUGGAAGUUCUGGUAAUGACUGAAGCAUAUUACAAUCCUCCAAGUAAAGAUAACUUAGCCACGACAGUUGCUUGAUACUUGCAGGUAAACUCUCAAAGUUAUUUCCAUUUAAAUUGCCAAUGUUAUCCGGCAACUUAUCAAGUACAGAGCAACCACUUACGGACAAAAGUACAAGCCCCGUUUGCAAUGCCUCAAAUCCAACUUUUCAAGAUCAGUUAGGCACUCUACUGAUGAUGGAACUUCUUCUAUUGCAGUCUGGCCCAAGUUUAGCGAUGUUACUUUCCCAGAAAUCUGUGGAAACUCUAUGAGAUUAACACAAUAGGAGAAAUCAAUAGUUACUGGACAAACAAAAUGAAGAUUGCUAGGAAAAGACCUAAGACUUUUGCAGCCCAUAAAAUCCAACCUACUGAGAUACUUGAAAUUCUGGAUAUAUGAGGGAACACAAGCCAAGUUUGUAUAAUCCAAAAGAUAUGUUUCAACAUUUGGGGUUUCUAAUGGGCCUGGCAUCUUAAUGAAAUGUCGAGAAUGGCUGAGGUUAAUAGAUUUUAACUUGAAAGCUUCCUGCAAUAACAGAUAUAUAAAGACUAUAUUAAUUAAAAAGCAACAUUGAAUUCAACAAUUAAUUGCACGUAUAUUUAAAGAAAGAAAAAAUUAAUGUUUUAGUUUUAGUACAGAACUUACCUUUUCUCCUUCCCAAAGUUGCUCAACUUUACUAAAACGCAAAUUCAGUUCAACAAGGUUCUUUGGCUUGAAAUUUGAUGGCAGUGUCCUUAAGGGAUAUGUGUCCCAAUGAAGAUAUCUCAAUUUUUUAGGAAGAUAAUCUAGGCCAUUUGGAAGCUGCACUUUAGAGUAUGAAAGUUGCUCUUCAAUGCUCAUACUUAGAAACUUUUCAAUCUCAGGUACAUAAAAUUUGAGCAAUCUUAGAUUAGACAUUUUUGUGAAGGCUCCAGGGUCUAAAUUGAUGCCUUUUAUUUUGGACAAAUCCAGAAAUAUGCCUUCAAUUGCAUCGGUCCCCUUAUUAAAAAAAAAAACAAAGAAUGAGUAACCCUAAAACAGAAAAGAAACAUUCGCAAACUUUAUUAACUAAGAACUCCUUAAACAAAAACAAAUUCUGCAAUCUUUGAUUUUAUUUUUUAAAAAUAUUAAAUAUCUAUAUAUGAGAAAAGAAAAUUUUGGGGACCAUUGCAAAAUUAAACUAACCAAAAAAAAAAUUCAAAAUUUCUCUAAUUUACAAACCUGUUAUCUUAAUAUCUAGAAGUUGAGAAGACAAGGCGUAUUUGAUUGGUAUAAGAUUUCGAUUUUUUUUUUAGUCCAUAGAAUCCAAAAUGUUUGUUCAAAAUCAGGGAAAAAAACGAAAGUUAUUUUUUUUUCCACUAGCUGUAAUUGUAUCCAAGUCAAAUUGAGAUACGACCCUUUUCGAAAGGAUUUAAUCAUCUUAUAGCCUCCUUAAGAUACAUUUAAGCUAAAAGGAGUGAUUGGAGGCAGAACUUAGUGGGCCAAUCAGUUCAUUUUAUUAGCGACUGUUGCUUAAAAAAAAUUAUACUCUAAAACACACUUACUUUUUUGAAAAAAAAUAUAAUUAUAUUUAAGUAGAACCAGGUGGGCCAAUCCUCAUGGCACUCACUUUGUUCUGACACUCUUCACUAAAUUUGAAGAAAAAUAAAAUUAUACUCUUCACACUCUUAUUCAACAUUCCAAAAUUGAUAAAAUCUGGAGUUUUCUUUAAAAUUUUAAAAUUUGAAGACUUGUUCUCUUGACACCCUCAGUCAUUAAUUUUACCUAAUUAUGGUUUUGGUUGUUUUGUUCAUAAAAAUGCUUUUACUAAAGGAUGUUCUGGUAAUGAAAAAAUUUAUAAAAAAACAAACAUGGGUGUGCUGAUAUAGUUGGAAAAAUAUGAGUGCAUAACUCCAAACAAAUAAAAGAUACAUAAAAAAAAAAAAGGAGGAUUCUUACCAUAUUAUGCUUUAGUACGCGGCGGAUUUCCUUAGGAUCCCACAACCUACUGCGUCUGCCUGGCUCUUCCUCAGAUUCUUGGCGAACAAUCUCUCGGCCCAUUUCUUGCAAUAAAUCAUGCAUUUGCAAGCAGUUAUCUGACACUGUUAUAAGUGACUUGUCCACGAGGACAUCCAGUCUGUGAGACCCAGAAUCAUCAAGUAUCCUUAACACAAAAUCUUUAUCCUCUCCCUCAAGGAAACACGCAAUAUCUAGAAACAUACUCUUCACCCUGGGCGUUAAUUCUUUAAAACUAAUCUUUAAUGUAUCAUAAAUACCAUGAAUAUCAGAUUCACAAAUCCGAUUUAAGUCGUCCAAUACAUUUUCCCAAUGGCUUUUCCCCUUGAGAUACAGGGAGGAACCCAACACUUUAAGAACUAAUGGAUUGCCAUCGGCAUACCAUACAACCCUCCAUGAGUGCCGGUAGAGAUCUUCAGGACAAUGAUUUUCUUUAACAGCGAAGUUACAAAAAUGCUCGAAAGCCUCAUCAAAUUUCAAUCCAUUGACCCUAUAUAUUUUCUCCACUCCAAAUUUUUCGAGGACUCGUUUAUCCCUGGUGGUUACAACAAUUCUACUUCCUGGACCAUAUUGAUCAAGCCCUCCAAUCAAACCCUCUAAUUGUUCAUCUUUAUUCACAUCAUCGAGUACAAUCAACACCUUCAUGCGUCGGACCCUCCCUUUAGUAAAUUGUGGAAUAUUGGGACCAGCUACUUCAAGUUUUUCACUUAAUAUUGUCGAAAGCAUUUCCUUUUGUAGGUCUUCUAGGCCACCCUCUGUUUCUGAUUUUCUCCUAACAUUUUUUGCAAAGUAUUUACCAUCAAACUCACCAGAGAAUUGAUCGAAAAUAGCUUCAGCAAGGGUAGUUUUGCCUAUACCACCCGUGCCCCAAAUUCCAACAAUAUGGACAGUAUCCCACAAAUCCAUACACAGAAAUGGUUUAAUCUGCUCAAUUCGUGAAUUUAAUCCAACUAGGCCAUUGGAUGAGUCCGUUGAGACUGUUAUUUUUUCCAACUUCUUCAAAACAUCAUCGACAAUUUUGUUUACAAGUUCCGCAUCGUGCCUAAUAUAAAGGUGCAAAGAUGCAAAAACAUUGAGUCAAAUCGGGCCAAGACAGAAACAGAGAAAAGAUGAAUUAGGAAAGAGAGUUACCUGAAUUUCGUGGAUUCAUGGCCGGCUAGAUGGGAUGUUUCUGUCAGUGCAUCCCUCCACUUCUGAACCAUUUCUGGUUUAUCUUCGAACUGUUUUUUGAGCUCAUCAAAACGGUCUCCAAAUGUUCCGUUUUGAUGCCGCACAUCAGAUGGACUUACUCCAUAGAAGACUGGAAUAAUAAUUUGGCCGUUUGUGUUCUUGCAUUCAAGAAUCUUGACAAGUUCAUUCAGGCACCAUUUUGAAGAAGCGUAGUCCUUUGAGAAAAUGACCACCGAAAUUUUUGAACCUUGGAUUGCGUUCAAAAGGGCGGGUGAAAUCUCAUCUCCUCGCCUAAGCUCUUCAUCAUCAAUAAAUGUUUUGAUUUUUUUUCCUUCAUACAAUUUAUCAUAAAGAUAGCAAGUAAAGCUCUUACGAGUGUCCUCCCCUCUAAAGUUGAGGAAGACUUCAUAAUUGCAAGAAGAAGAAGAGGAAGCCAUGAAGGAAAUUCUAGAAAUUUGAAAGUAGAUUUAGGGAAUUAUAAAAAGCUGAAGGAAAUUGGAAUUUUGUACAGUUUCUCCAGCGAGGAACUUUCACCUCCGCACUAGAUUCUUAAGUUUUGAAAAUUAUGAGACCUUUAUAUUGGAAGAUAUUAUAAUCGAAUCAAAACUUAAAAUUUUAAUAUUGUUAAUCUUUAAUCUUUAAAAAAAAAUUACCUCGCCGUUACAGUUUGGAUUAAGAUUUGAGCAAGCAUUUACCUAAAUUUUAUCUCCGCCUGUAAAUUCUUAUGUUUUAAAAAUUAUGAGACCUUUAUAUUGGGAGAUAUUAUAAUCGAAUCAAAAUUUUGAAUUUCAAUAUUAUUAUUCUUUUAAAAAAAAAAUUGAGAUAACAGAGUGAUUGAUAAUAUAGGAGAACUUGUCUAGGCAAGCACAUGCAUACACAGAAAUGUGAUGGAUUCAAAAAGAAAUUAAAGUGAUAAUGUACGUGGAUCCUUAAAAUAAAAAGCGAAAUCGCUUGGUGGCCCAGUAAAAUUAGAGAACAAAGAAGAAUUAGUUAUUGAUAUACAAAAGAGAAACACUCCAAAAUUUCAAGCAAAAAUAGUUUCAUAUACCAUUUCAAUUUUGUAAGGGGUGAGGUUUUGAAUUUCAAUAGUUUCCUCUAAAAUCAAAAGGCAACAAUUAAGUUAGAAAGAGCAAAGAAGACUUAUUAGUACCUUAUUAAAGGUAACAUUAUGGAACUUUCAAUUUCAUUACCUCACUCUUCAAUUUUUAUUGAGAUUUGUGCAAGAAUUUACCUAAAUAUUACCUAAAAUUGAGAUAUCAGAGUAAUAUCAAAUAGAAAAACUUGCCACGGUAAGCCAAAAGUCUAGUCAACCACAUGCAUAAAGCUAAAUAGAACAACUAACAAGAGAACAGAGAAACGCGUGGGUCCCUAAAAGAAAAGGCAAGCACAUAGAUGAAAAAGCCAUUACAUUUCGAUUUUACAUGUCAUUAAUUUCUGUAACACGGUGUGUGGCAGCAUAUGCACAAUCAAGUGAGGCAAAAGGGAUUCGAUUAUCGUGGCAGAACAUGAACGAGGACGCGUGAUGAAUAAUUCCUUCGAUAAAACGAAAAACAAACGCAGAGAAAAGAAUUUCUUAUAUGACAAGAAAUCAAAGAAAUCAAAGUAAUGUUUCAUUUUCCCUUCCCUACCUUUUUUUUGUUUUAUUUUUAUAGCAAAGAAUUAUAUCAUGAAAAGAAUCAAUUUAAUCACCUUUUCUAGCAGCACAAUUUUUCUUUUAUAAAAUUUGACCAGGGAGACAAAGAAUAAUUAUUCAUACCUUCAUCACUAAGGAAAUACUUUUCGGUAUGGCUAAGGUGAGAAAAGGCUUUCCACAAAAACUUGUACUUUGUAUUCCUGUAAAUUUUCUUUAAAGUCAAUAAAAACCAUAAGUUCUUUACAAUAACCAUCUCUUUGAUAAAAAAGUGCCGUAUUCCUUUAGAAUUUAAAACCGGCAAAACUGAAUCAGUGUCUUUGAAGAGACAUAAUGGUCGUAAUUCUUUAAAUGAGUUGGCUAUGGAAAUCGUUAUCCAAGAUUCUUUUACGCCAUAUUCUUUCGUAAACCAAAAUUCAUUUUGGAAUACUCUGUUGAGAAUGUCAAAUAAAACGGCAUUGAAGGAAGUUUUCAAAGGCAGAAUCUGCACUUGUCAGAUGGAUGAUCUGCACUUGUCAAAGACACAAUCCGCGUCGAACGAAUCGACACAUUUCCUUUCGUAUUCACAUAUGCAAUUUUUGAAAAAAUGUAGCUUUUACAUCUAUAAAUAACACUCAGUGUAUAAUGUUUUAUUCAAGAAAAGAAAACAAGUUUCUUCAUGGUAUCAGAGCCAUGAAUACGCUCAAGUUUCUUCAAGUUUCGCUGCUCUGUUUGUAACAAAAACAGAGAAAACCAAAAUCUUCCCACAACCAUUUUUUCCACCAUUUUCUUCCUUAAAAUCAUUCCUACCAUUAUAGAAAUCCAUGCCGAUCAAAAAACAAGCCACCCAUACGUAAAAAACUUGAGUUUACAAAUUUAUCAACAAUCUCAUAAAUUAGAUACAAAACAACGUGAUGUUAAAUCUCCAGAACUGCAGCAGUCUUAAAACGACAUGUCGUUUCUAUUCCAUCAGAACCGACAUAUCAUUUCUUUAAGCAGAGGCCAAACGACUUGUCGUUUUUUUUUUUAUCUAAAAAAGUUAUUUUUUCUUAUUUCAAUCUAGACGCCAAAAAAAAAACAAAAAAAUGGAGAAAACUCCAACUGAAUCUGAUCCUGUUGUCAUUCAAUCUGUUCAAUCUGAUGAGUAUUUAAUGUUGGAAUUAUCUUCACUGAGACAAACUACGAUAUUUGGUCUUAAAUAAUGGAGUUGCAUCUCGCAGAAAGAGAAAAACUCUCAUAUAUUUGUAGCAACACAAAGUCAUCUGAGGAAUCUUCAAAGGAAUAUGAGAAAUGGUAUAGUGAGAAUGAAAAGGUAAAAAAAUGGUUACUCAUAUCCAUGUCUCUGGAUAUCAUGAAGUGAUAUUUACGAAUUCCUACAGCCUACGAAAUAUGGGAUGCAUUAUCAAAAGCCUUCUAUGAUGGAAUCGAUGAAUUACAAGUUUUCACUCUAAACCAGAAGGCGUCUCUACCAAGAAAAAUUGACAGCCACUAUCUAAAUUCUACGGAGAAUUGAUCGAAAUAUUUUGAGAACUUGAUCACCGAGAUAAAGUGAUCAUGAAGGAUCCAGAAGAUGUUGUAAUAUACAAAAGGUCUGUUGAAAGAUUGAGAGUUCACAUUUUUCUUGUUGGGCUAGAUGAAGAAUUUAACCAAGUUCGUGGAGAAAUUCUAUGAAAAGAUAUUAUCCCAGACUUAGAAGAAUGUUAUUCUUUGAUCUGAAGAGAAGAUGUACGGCAAAACAAACUAAACAAGAAGGUCGACUCAGAAACGUUUGCUAUGAUAGCACGACAACAGCCUCAAAGGAAGCUUGUUGACAAGUCAUCACUCCAUUGCACUCAUUGUAGGAAGAAGGGUCAUAUGAAAGCACAAUAUUUUGAAAUCAUUUGAUAUCCUGACUGGUGGGAUACUUGAAAGAAAAACAUCAAGCAGGGAUAAAAAACUGCAGUAGCUGAAUCCACAUCCACUACAGAUCUUAGAAAAGAAUCUUCAGUGCAAAUCGCAACCUCUGUUAGUCCAGGUAAGGCCCUUAAAACUCUUAUACUUGUUAUUAAUAGUACAUGGAUAAUUGAUUCUGGGGCAACUGAUCAUAUGACUUUUGAUUCUCGACAAGUUUCUCAAUUGAUACCAUCUUCACAAAAACAUGUUUCCACUCCAAAUGGAACCACAACCUUAGUUAUUGGGGAAGGAUCUUUACGACUCACAUAUAAAUUAAAUUUAGACUCUGUGUUAAUUGUUCCAUCUUUAGAUUAUAAUCUUUUAUCUGUGUCUCAAUUAACCACUUACUUAUCAUGUGUUGUAAUUUUUUGGCCUGAUCAUUGUGUGUUUAAAGACAUCCAAACGAAGCAAACGAUUGGUUAUGGUAUUAGACGGGGCCACUUGUACUAUUUGGAGAUGACAUCAACAAACACUGGAAAGCUAAGCCCUGCACUAGUCGCAGAUAGUUCCAUAAAAAAAAGGAAAUCAGAAAUUUGGUUAUGGCAUAGACGUUUAGGGCAUGUGUCAUUUGGUUACUUAAAAAAAUUAUUUCCUAGUUUAUUUCUGAAAUUUGAUAUUUGUAACUUUAAAUGUGAUGUUUGUGAACUUUUAAAAAGUCAUCGAACUACUUUUCCAUUGUCCUUAAAUAAGAAUCAAGUUCCUUUUAUGGUAGUACAUUCUGAUGUAUGGGGGCCAUCGAAAGUUUCUACAAUUGGAGGUGCUCGUUGGUUUGUUACAUUUAUUGAUGAUUGUAGCAGAAUGACAUAGAUUUUUCUGAUGAAAUCGAAAGACGAAGUAAACUCUUUAUUUUAAAGAUUUCAUAAGAUGGUGACGACUCAAUUUCAGACACAAAUUCGAGUUCUACAUACUGAUAAUGGAGGCGAGUAUAUGAGCACAACAAUUCAACAGUUUCUGAAAUCACAAGGAACUGUCCAUCAAACCACUUGUGUGGGGACACCCCAACAAAAUGGCAUUGUUGAACGAAAAAACAGACAUUUACUAGAAGUUGUUCGAGCAUCACUAAUCCAGGCCCACAUGCCACUAUCUUAUUAGGGAGAAGCACUGGCAUCCGCAGCAUACUUGAUCAAUCGAACACCUUCAAGCUCCCUUGGAUUCCAGACUCUUUUCCAGGUUCUAAAUGAUGCAAUUAUGUCACCAAAUGUGCCGAAUUUACCCCCACAUGUGUUUGGCUGUGUUGCCUUCGUUCAUUUGCCGCAACAAGACAAAUUAUCUCCUCGAGCACUACGUUGUGUGUUUGUAGGGUAUGCCUUACAGCAAAAGGGAUACCGAUGAUAUGAUCCACCAUCAAGAAAAAUAUACAUCACCAUGGAUGUCGUCUUUCAUGAAGAUAUCAUAUACUACUUGUCAAAGCCUGAAUUUCAGGGGGAGUAUAAUGAAGAGGAAAUUCAUAAUCUUAUAUAUCUUCCACCUAAAGAAGAUCAAUCUUCCAUUGAGGUUGUAAACCUUCAAGAUACUGGAAAAGAAAAUGGUGGUGAUUCUCAGGCUGAGAUAAGUGAAGACACAUUUGGGGAGCAAAAUAACUUAGACACAACUGCAAUCGAGAAUGAGUCACAUGAAGAAAUACCUAACUAAUCGUCUGCAGAGGAUGUUCCUACCACAAGUCCUAGUCUAGUCAGAAGAAUUCUUCCUCAGCGUCAAAAUAGAGGUAUCCCUAAACCCACAUAUGAGCCCGACCUUUCUAGUAGAGUCAAAUACCCUAUGAUUUAUUUUGUGUCUAACCAUCGCUUGUCAGAAUCAAAUCAGUCAUUUGUGAAUCAAUUAUCUACUGUAUCUAUUCCUAAUAGUGUGCAGGAAGCCUUAAAAGACCCAAAGUGGAAAGCGACUAUGAAUGACGAAAUGUGAUCUCUUCAAAAAAAUCAAACAUGGGAACUAGUUGAUCUUCCACCUGGAAAGAAACCAGUGGGUUUCCGAUGGAUCUACACUAUAAAGUACAAAGCAGAUGGCUCUAUUGAACGAUACAAAGCAAGGCUCGUAGCUAAGGGUUACACCCAAACCUACGGGAUAGAUUAUGCCAAUAUGUUUGCACCGGUAGCAAAAAUUAAUACUAUUCGUAUCUUAUUAUCAUUAGCAGUCAACUUGGAUUGGCCAGUGUAACAGUUCGAUGUAAAGAAUGCUUUCCUCCAUGGAGACCUGUCUGAAAAAAUUUAUAUGGAUAUGCCACCAGGAUGUAGUGGACCAGAACGACUCAAUCAGAAAGUAUGCAAAUUGAAGAAAUCAUUGUAUGGGUUGAAGCAACCCCUAAGAGCAUGGUUCGGGAAAUUCACAAAGGCUAUGGUUCUUUUUGGGUAUAACCAAAGCAAUUCAGAUCAUACCUUGUUCAUUAAAAAAUGACAAGGUAAAAUCACUGCCCUCAUUUUCUAUGUGGAUGAUAUGGUAGUCAUAGGUAACGACGGGGAAGCAAGAGAGGCUCUUCAGAAGUACUUGUCGAGAGAGUUUGAGAUGAAGGAUUUAUGAGCCUUAAAAUACUUUCUUGGAAUUGAGGUUUCUCGAUCUAAGGGAGGAAUUUUCCUGUCUCAAAGGAAAUAUGCUUUAGAUCUAUUAAACGAAACGUGAAUGACAGCUUGUCAGCCUAUUGACACCCCAAUAGAAGAAGGACUGAAGUUUUGUAUUACCUCAGACUAAGUUCCAGUAGACAAAGGAAGAUAUCAAAGGCUGAUUGGAAGAUUGAUGUACUUGUCCCACACAAGGCCAGCUCUUGCUUAUGCAUUGAGUGUUGUAAGUCAGCUUAUUCAUAAUCCCGGAGAACAACACAUGAAAGCAGUAAUGCGGAUCCUAAGGUACCUGAAGUCAAAUCCAGGAAAAGGAAUCCUAUGUUCCAAAAAUGGAGAUUACAGCAACAUAGAAGUUUAUACUGAUGCAGAUUGGGCCCGGUCAGUUAGUGAUAGACGCUCUACCUCAGGAUACUUUACCUUAGUGGGAGGCAACCUUGUCACAUGCUGCUUCACUUGCUGCCAAUCCAGUUCAUCAUUCAAGAACAAAACAUAUAGAGAUUGAUGUUCACUUUGUGAGAGAUAUAAUUUCCAACGGCGGAGUGGAAGUAAGAUAUGUCCCUACUGAAUAUCAGCCUGCAAACAUCUUCACAAAAGCUCUUCCUGCUGAUAUGUUUCAACAGUUGCGAGACAAGCUACAUAUUCUUCCUAGAACAUUGCGCUUGAGGGGGCAUUAUGAAAAUAUUGUAGCAGAGCUACCAAACUUGAGUAAUACGAAUUCAAAGUUGUUAGAUGACAUGGCAGCACACUUGGCAUUCAUUGGUGUUUUGGAAAGUUAAAGUGAUCAACCUUAUCUCUUAGCUUAUCAUUAAUUCAAGCUGCACUUUUGUAUUUAUCAAGAUCAAGAUAAAGAUAACAAUUGUGCUAGGCUUGAUCUUAUUCUUGGCAUUAUCGUGUUUCCUGUAGAGCAUUAUAAAUGUAAUGAUUAUGAGAUGAAUAAAAUAACGAAAAUGUGUUUUGUUUCUUCUUUAAGCUCAUCUUUAUAAUUUAAGUUGGUAUCAGAGCAUGGCGAGCUCCAAUUCUGCGAAAUUAGUCAAUAUGAAUACUGUAAACCAAACACCACAAAUUUCUAAUUUUUUGACUCCUGUCAAAUUGGAUAGGCAAAAUUUUAUGAUAUGGAAGUCUCAAGUGCUACCUUCCAUUCGUGGUAACAAUCUUGAAAGCUUGAUCAAUGGAGCAAAACUUGUACCCACUAAAUUCUUGGUGCAAGUAGAAGAGGAUCAAACAGUAACGACUGUGGAAAAUCCAGAAUAUAUACAAUGGCUGAGACAAGAUCAGCUUUUACUUAGUUGGCUUUUGUCCACUAUGACUGAAUCAGUUUUAAGCAUAGUGGUGCAGUAUACAACCUCUUUUGAGGUUUGGAAUGCCUUGAAGACAUUGUUUGCAUCUCAGUCAAAGGCUAGAAUUUUGUAGCUCAAGAUGCAACUCCAAACCACGAAAAAGAAUGCUAUGACCAUGAGUGACUAUGUCAACAAAAUGAAAAAUUUAGCUAAUAGCCUGGCAAUGGCUGGAAAAUAUGUUACUGAAGAUGAUUUAAUUUCUUAUAUUCUUGCAGGUUUAGGAACUAAAUACGACCCUGUGGUUGUAAAUAUUACAGCAAGAACAAAUGAUUUAUCUCUGCCUGAAGUAUCCUCUCUUUUGCUCAAUCAUGAAAGUCGAAUGGAACAACUCUCAGCUGCUGCAAAUCUUGAGUCUAAAGGCAGUUUUAAUGCAAAUUUUGCAGGAGCUUCUUUUCACAAAAGGAAAGUUAUAAGAAAAGGCUUUAUGUCAGGAAGUUUAUGAGGCAAUGAACGUGGUAGAGGCAAAGGAAGAACCAAUUUUAGCCGUGGUGGAAAUAGGCCAACCUGUCAGAUAUGUGGCAAAUAUGGACAUUCAGGAUAUCAAUGUUUCUUCCGCUUUGAUCGGGGGUUCUCUGCAAGACAAGAGGCAACACAAGCAGGUCAAGCCUCUGCCUAUAUGGCACUCCCUGCUGAAGAAAUAGAUAAUGGAUGGUAUUUGGACAGCGGAGCAACACACCAUGUUACAAAUGAUUUAAACAAUCUGCAGAUUAAGUUAGAAUUUAAGGGAGGUGAGAAGCUGGUAGUAGGUAAUGGUAAAACUUUAGCAAUAUCUCACAUUGGCAGUGCACUUAUUUAUAUUCCAAACCAUGAACCAUUGUUGCUUAAUGACAUUUUAUAUGUGCCCAAAAUCACCAAGAACUUAAUUAGCAUUUCAAAAUUACUUUCUGAUAAUAAACUAAUGCUUGAUUUCUGUGACAAUGUUUGUACUCUUAAGGACAAAGUUCUGGGGAAGAAGCUGCUGCAGCGAAAAAUUGAAAGAGGCUUAUAUCGGCUACCAGUGCUUUCAAGACAAGCCAUUCUAUCUGAUUCAAAAAUUAUUUCCAAUAAAUCUUAUUAGUCUUCUCUUCCAUUUAGCUGUUUCAAUUCUAGCUCAACAAUAAGUUCUGUAAAUGAACAAGAAUUUAUUUCCAAUUCCAAGCCUAGCAGUUUUAUAAAUCUUUUGCACAGAAGGAUGAGACAUCAUCAUCUUGCUGUACUAAAACAAAUUCUACCUUUGUGUAACAAAACAAGUCAGUUAAAUAAAAAUCUCAUUCCUCAAUUCUGUGAUGCAUGUCAACAAGGAAAAAGUCAUAGGCAAACUAUCAAAGCAUCAAAUAGUAGAGCUUCAGAACCUUUAGAAUUAUUGCAUCUUGACUUGUGGGGGCCUGCACCUUUAAUGUCUAGAAAUGGCUACAAAUAUUAUUUGAGUAUUGUAGAUGACAACACACGUUUUACAUGGAUAUUUCCACUUAAAGUUAAAUUACAAGCGUUUGAAGCUUUUAAGUAUUUCAAAGUUCAAGCCGAAAAACAAUUAGGAAAGAAAAUCAAAAGUUUACAAACUGACGGUGGAGGAGAGUUUCAAGCAUUUACAAUUUUUUAAAAGAACAGGGUAUUAUUCACUGACUUUCUUGCCCACACACGCAUCAUCAAAAUGGUAGAGUGGAGCGAAAACACCAACAAAUUGUAGACACUGGUUUAACACUUUUGGCAUAGGCUGGCAUGCCACUCACUUUUUGGUGGGAUGCUUUUCAAACAUCUGUUUAUUUAAUUAAUAGAAUGCCUACUUCCAUCUUAGAAAACAAAUCACCAUUUCAAAUACUUUAUGAUGAAGAAUAGGAAUCAAUAUUAUACUAGGAUUAGUUUCCUUAUUAACUAAAGUUUAAGACUUUUAAAUUCCUUUCUAAUUUAGAAUUUUGUUUCCCUUUCAAUUUAGGAUUUUGUUUUACUUCAUGAAUUAGGAUAAUUAUUACUACUAUAAAUAGCUCCCUCUUGUAGCCUUUAAAGGCAGAGAAUUUUGAGUUUAAUAAUAUUUCAAUUUUCAAAUCUCUUUGUGAGUAUUUGAACAGUUAAUUCUCGGUAUUCUGCGAAAUCAACGAGUCUUAAAUCCCUAAGUUCGCGGUAUUCUUUUGAAUCAACAUGAAUUUAGUUGUUCUUUUAUUCUGGUAUUCUCUAGAAUCAACGGAAUAUUUUGAAUAUUAAACUUCCACUGCAUCACUUUACAAGAAAAUACCUGAUUAUUCUUUUCUAAAAGUUUUUGGAUGUGCUGUAUUUCCUCAUCUUCGAGAUUACAACAAACAUAAAUUAGAUUUUUGAUCAGAUAAAUGUAUAUUUUUAGGCUAUAGUACAGCUCAUAACGGGUAUAAGUGUCUCCACAAGUCAGGAAAAAUUUUUGUAAUGCGACAUGUUGUCUUUAAUGAAUAUGAUUUUCCUUUUAAAAGUGAUCCCUCCUUCAAAAUCUCAAAGAGUUAUCCAAAUCAUGAUUCUAGUACUCUCUUUCAGUCUCCUAUGUUUGCAGGUUUUGAAAGUCCUAGAGCCUAUAAGACUCUCUCGGUUAUUCAUGCAACAGACUCUCUACUAGAGUUGGUUCAUAACACAAUAGUUAUAGAUCAGGCAUCAAGUCAAGAUGAGGAAACCAAUUUUGAAUCCAACACCAAAAGCCCACCUGGAAAAGCCAACCUUGAAUCAAGCACUGAAAUCCAAGCAACUGAAAACACCACACAAUCUUUAUCUAUCCCCGCGUUUAUCAAUCAAGAAGCCGAUCACACAAUCUCUCAACCACCUAGUUCAACUCCUCAUUCUCAACAGCCAACACAUACACAAUCCACUCAUCCAAUGAUCACUCGUGCCAAGGCCGGCAUCUUUAAACCCAAACCUAGACUUUACCUAACAACCUCUCAUACCAAAAUAAGUGUACAUGCCAGUGUUAGUGAAGCUUUGGAAGAUCACAAUUGGCGUAAUGCUAUGACAGAAGAAAUGAAUGCUUUGGCUAGGAAUAACACACGGUGUUUAGUUCAACCUACUUCUGACAUGAAGAUUGUGGGAAAUAAAUGGGUUUUUCGGAUAAAACAAAAGGCUGAUGGUUAGAUAGAGCGAUAUAAGGCUCGGUUGGUUGCAAAAGGAUUUCAUCAGACCCCAGGAAUCGAUUUCAACGAGACUUUUAGUCCUGUUGUUAAAGUUGCAACAAUUCGAUUGGUGUUAAGUAUUGCUGUGAUGAAAAAUUAGGGUGUAAUACAACUGGAUGUGAACAACGCCUUUUUAAAUGGAGACUUAGUAGAAGAUGUUUACAUGAUGCAGCCUGAAGGCUUUAUCAACAAAGCACAACCAAAUCAUGUGUGUAAAUUGAGAAAAGCAUUGUAUGGGCUUAAGCAGGCUCCAAGAGCUUGGUUUGAAAAACUCAAGAGAGCAUUGAGUGACUGGGGUUUCACAAAUUCUAAAUUAGACACAUCACUAUUUAUUUUGCAGCAAGGAAGGGAUAUAAUAUUUGUCCUUAUUUAUGUGGACGAUAUUUUAAUAACAGGAAGUAAAGAAAGUUUGGUGCAAGAAGUUAUUGAACGACUUAAUUGUCAGUUUGCUUUAAAAGUGCUCGGACCAUUAAGCUAUUUCCUUGGUCUUGAAGCUCAUCGCACAGAGAAUGGCCUACAUCUUAGCCAACACAAAUAUAUUUGUGAUCUCUUGAAGCGCACAGAUAUGGAUGGCUGCAAGGAAACAUCUACUCCUAUGAGUGUAGUACCGAAACUUUCAGCUGAAGGUGGUAAGCAAUUUUCUGAUCCUACACUUUAUCGUAGCAUCGUUGGAGCCUUAUUAUACGUAACUAUUACUCGGCCUGAAAUUUCUUAUGCUGUUCAUCGUUUAAGUCAGUAUAUGCAAAAUCCUUUACAGCCGCAUUGGCUUGGGUGUAAAAGAAUCCUUAGAUAUUUACAAGGAACAGCUGAUUAUGGAAUUUAUUAUACUACCAAAGGAAGAAUGACGCUCACAGGCUAUACAGAUGCAGAUUGGGCAAACAAUAUUGAUGAUAGAAAAUCAACUGGAGGCUACUGUAUUUAUCUUGGCAAUAACUUAAUCUCAUGGAGUUCAAAGAAACAAAAUGCAGUAGCAAGGUCUUCAACUGAGUCAGAGUAUCAAGCACUUGCAAAUACCACAGCAGAAAUUUUAUGGCUUCAAUCUGUGCUUAAAGAGUUGCAGGUGCCACUAACUGAAAUUCCAAUUAUUUGGUGUGACAACACUGAAGCUGCUUCACUUGCUGCCAAUCCAGUUCAUCAUUCAAGAACAAAACAUAUAGAGAUUGAUGUUCACUUUGUGAGAGAUAUAAUUUCCAAAGGUGGAGUGGAAGUGAGAUAUGUCCCUACUGAAUAUCAGCCUGCAGACAUCUUCACAAAAGCUCUUCCUGGUGAUAGGUUUCAACAGUUGCGAGACAAGCUACAUAUUCUUCCCAGAACAUUGCGCUUGAGGGGGCAUCAUGAAAAUAUUGUAGUAGAGCUACCAAACUUGAGUAAUACGAAUUCAAAGUUGUUAGAUGACAUGGCAGUACACUUGGUAUUCAUUGGUGUUUUGGAAAGUUAAAGUGAUCAACCUUAUCUCUUAGCUUAUCAUUAAUUCAAGCUGCACUUUUGUAUUUAUCAAGAUCAAGAUAAAGAUUACAAUUGUGCUAGGCUUGAUCUUAUUCUUGGCAUUAUCGUGUUUCCUGUAGAGCACUAUAAAUGUAAUGAUUAUGAGAUGAAUAAAAUAACGAAAAGGUGUUUUGUUUCUUCUUUAAGCUCAUCUUUAUAAUUUAAGUAAAGGGACUUUUGCAUAGCCUCUGGUGUGUGUGUGAUUUCUCUUUCGUUUCCUCAUCAAAUUCUGUAAUUCUUGCUUCGAUAAAAAGCUUUUAAUCUCUUCUGUAGUGUGUGAUCAGUGCGUAAUCAUUUUGAGCAAUAACAGCUUGUGGGUUUUUCCUUCAAACAGUGUCGUUUUGGUCAGUUUGUUAGUUUCUGUGUUCGUCUGAUUCCAUUGCUCUUGUUCUCUGUUCUUGAUCUGUUCGUGGAAUUUUUCUUUGGUUAUUUGUUCUCAAAUUUCAACUGUAUAUAAAGUUUGAACUCUGAUUGCUUAUAAUGUAUUGAUUAAGAAUAAUCCUAAGAGUUCCCGAUUGAAAUUUUUAAUGACUAUUUUUAUUGUUUUGGAUAUACAAAUUGAAUUAAGAAAAAAUAUUGUCAAAUUCAGAGGAUAAGGGGAAAUAAUUAUGCUUCAAAAGGCCAGAGAUUAGAGAAUAAAGAAGCAUUCAUUACUCUAUCAAAAAAAAAAAAAAAAAAAAAGCAUUCAUUACUGAUAUACAAACUGCUUUUAUUUGGAUUUUGGAAGGGGUGAAGUUUUGAACUUCAGUUGUUCCUCUAAAAUCAAAAGCAGCAAUUAAGCGUUCUCAAUUAGAAAGAGCUAAGAAGACUUAUUGGUACCUUACUGAAGCUAACAUUAUGGCACAGUUGUUCAUAUAUAAUGGCUGCUCUGUUAUGCUAGCUUCUCUGUUUUUGCUUCUAUUUUUGCUUACAGUUUUGAACAUAAAUUCUUGCUCAAAUAACCCAUAAUUAAAUAACACUAAUAUGGCUCGUGAAAUCCCAUAAUAGCUAAUUACGCAACUUUCUCCUCCUCCUCAAUUCUGUCUUCCCCUGCUCGUACACUAAAUUCAAAAUUCAAUGCCCCGAAAAACAACACAAGAAAUCUUUGAGUUAAUUCGCGACCAGUUUAUAUAUAGUAGCAAUUGAAAAAGGAAAAAGAAUAAAAGAGUUCAUUAUUAUUCAGACCUUCACUUAUUAGGAAGUUUGUUCUGCUGUUGGGUGAGAUCAAGCUCUCAGCAUAUACUUCCACAUUAUACUUUCUAACAUUUUCUUGAAAGCCAUCAAUCAUAAAAUCUUCAUACUUUUUUCCAUCCUUUGGAUCAAUAAGUACAAAUUUCUCAUCUAAAACAGACAAAAUAAAAUCACUGUCCUUCAUGGAACAUAAUGGCUGCAAUGCCUGAACUGAAUUGGCUAAUGAAAUUUGAGUCCAGGAUUCUCUCAGCCCAUAUUCUUUCAUAAUCCAAAAUUCUUUUCUUUCUCGACAUGGAACAUAGUCUUCUUUUCUUUCUGGACAUAUGUCUCUGUACUUUUCUCUCUCUACUGAUCCACACUUUUUCAUACUUCUAACUAUCAUUUUGUUUUUUUUUUGUUAAGUUGUGAUUUAUUCAAUUAUUUUGUAUUUUUAAUGAAAAUUAUUUAAUAUUUAGUUAGUUUUGAUAUUGAUUAGUGAUUGAAAGUGUAUUUUAGAAGACUUCCGGUCUCUUGGAAAAAGGAAAAAUGGAGACGAAGAAGAAGUGUUCUUGAUUUUUUUGUAGGCAUUAAAGUUAAACGGUUUGAAAUGAUAUUUUGUUUUAAUUUCACUCAUUAAUCUCAUUCAGGAUAAAAUUAUAAAUGCAAAUAAAUGGGGUUUCAUGAGUUUUUUUUAAUAGUGUUAAAAGGUCUACUCACUAAAUAAAUAUGUUUAACCCAAACCAAUGCGAUUAGUAAGUUAUUGGGUUGGGUUGAUCAGGUUAAAAAUUAAAAUUAAAAAUUAAAUAAUUAAAAAAGGCAUAAAAACUAUCUGUUACUUGAAAAUAAAAAGAAUUUCUAAUAGUUAGUUCUAAUGUCCCAUAUCCAAAACAUCCAUAUUAAAUAAAUAUUAUAAGUUAGAAAUACAAUAUCCAAGAAAGAAUGAAUGAAAUACCAUAUUUUUGUUGAGAAUUAAGAGUGUGAUUUUAAUUUUGAUAUUGGAGUCUAAAGUGCCACGUUUAAAUAAUCUCUUUUAUAAAAUAAUAAAAAGAGAUUAAAAAUUAGGUUAGCCAUUUAGGCAUUCAGGGUUUAGCAAUUAAGGAUGAACAUAUUAUUGUUGUUGUUUUUUGUUGUUGUUGUUGUUGUUGUUGUUGUUAUUAUUAUUAUUUAUAUGUUUACUAAUCCAAUUUACGUAUAAGUACAAAAGUUUCAAAUAUUGUCUAUUAUUUUUUUAACAUGCCUAUUCCUUGUGGAUAAUUCUGUCUCAUCACUAAUGUUGUUUCUUGCUUACAAUUUGUAUAGCGUCUCAAAAUAGACAAUAGGGGGAUUUUGAAUUUUUUAAGUCUCAAUAUAGUCUCUUAUCUUGUGAGACAGAUUUUCUUUCAAUAAUUUGGAGGUAAACAUAACAUAACUUUUUGGACUAAAGCCUAGCUCUGCUAAUUAGUAAUUGGUGGUAUCCUUUUCAAGACCUGAGUCUUUAAAUUCGAGUUUUAUAUAGUGCGCAUGUGUAUUUAAUUAAUAUUUUUUUAAAAAAAUUACAUCAAAUACUAAUAUUCAUGACAUAAUUUAGUUCAUAAUGUUUUUUUAAAUACAUCGAAAAUAUAAUUUUUUAACAACUUAUAGGCAUGACAAAUUUCAAGAUAUAAAUAUCAGUCAAAAUAAGUGAAAGAAAUAAUGGUGCCAAUUCUAAUUUCUUAACUAAAUUAAUUACUGCAUGAGCCCCCAAUACGGCACGAGAGUUUGAUGGGCUAACUUGGCACAAGAACAAUAGUUAAUUGAUUUAAGAAAUAAUUCAAUGAAAAAUAUAAUUGAUAAGAAUUUAGUAUUGAAAUGAGUUUUUUUCGAAACACUGAAUUAAUGAUUAUUAAGCAAGAACAAUAAAAAAAAUAAAAUAAAAAAUAAAGAUUAACCAUUGAUAAGCUUCAACAAGAACUUAACACAACCCUCAAUCCUAAUUCAAAUUAUAAAUGUCAUUCAUAUAUUCAUUAUAAAUCAAUAACAAAGGUUAUAAAUGUUUAGAAAUUCUAGAGGGAAGGAAGCUAUCGCCGGGCAAUCAACAACUAAAUUUGAUGUAAUUGUGGCACAAGAUGGAAUAUGAAAACUACACCAUAAUUUCAAAUGCCGCCAUAGACAUUGACUUAUCUACAGUAACAAUGAUCUAAUUAAAAUUAAAAUAAAGUUUAUGGGCAUUUAUUAUAUUUGCCAUUCCUCAUUUGCAAAUAGGGAUAUAAUUAUAAUUUUACUUAGUCAAAGCAAUCAGUAAUUUUUAGGGGUGUUCAAAAUUCAAUCCGAUCCGCUCAAUCCGUCUGAUCCGUAGAAAUCCGAUCCGUAAAAAUCUGAUCUGUGGAUUGGUAGAUUGGAUUGAAUUGAAAAUUUGAUAAUCCGCAAUCGGUGGAUUGGGUAUGGAUCUACUUCUGUAAAUUCGUAAAAAUCCGUGAAUCGGCAAAAAAUAAAAAGUAUUUAUUUAUUAAAAAAUAAAACUUGUAAAUAUGGCAAUAGUACUUACUAGUAAAUAAAUAAGUUAAAAUAUAGUUACAUUAACACUAUAUUAUAUCUUAUCCGAUAAUAAUAAAAAAUAAAAAAUAAUUAAAUAAACAAAUAUAACUUUCUAAAUAGUUAAUUUUCAUGUACUGAUCUAAACGAAUGAGAUUUUUUUUUUUUCAUUUUGGUGUGUUAUGUUUUGAACUUUAAAUGUAAUUUUUAGUUUUAUUUAAACAAGUAAUUUAUUUAAAUCUUAUUUAAUUUUAAAUUUGAUCGGCAAUAAAAUUAUUUAUAUUAAUUUUUUUUUAUUUAGUUAGUUCGUAGAUUGGACAGUAUUAAAAAUUUUCAGUCCGUAAACCAAUUCGCAAAAUGGUGGAUUGGAUAUGGAUUGGGUCAAAUCCGCAUCCAAUCCGCAGAUGUAUGAAUUGAAUUUCACCAAUCCAUGAAUUGGAUUGGAUUAAAAAUUUAUAAUCCGCAAAAUCGUGGAUCAGAUAUGGAUUGAGGUCCAAUCCGUAAAAUUUGAUCCGGAAACACCCCUAGUAAUUUUCUUCAUUAUAGGAGUGAAGUAAAAACAUUUAGAUUUUAAUGUAUGUACGGAAAAAUUUAUCUUUAAAAAUACUUUCUUAAUGUGUGUAUAUAUAUUGAAAUACUCAAACCAAUUUUGGUUAUUAUAUAAUUAAACAAAUUUUAAAAUAUGAAAAAUAUAAUGUAGUUAUAGUGGAUAAACAAUAAGUGAGCGCAAUAUAAUUAAUCAAAUAUCAUGCCAUCAAAAGUUAAUUUUAGAAAUUCCAAAUCCAACAGCCAACACAAUUCUUUUAAAAAAAAGCUGACACAAUUAAUAAAAUUAGUGACAUGAAUUUCACACCAUUGAUAAUAAGCAAUUAGUAUUACUUUCUAAACUUGCUUCAACUGGUCGUUGAUGUCCGGGGUCACCAAAAGUAUAAGCAAUAAUAAGGGGCAUUGGGCAAGAGUGAUGAAUGUUUAGUCGGUGCAUUUGAUUGCUAGAUAUAUAAAGGGCCGAAACUUGAGAUUAUAUUACUUUUACAAAUUUUAAUCCAAUCACAUAUUUAAUGAAAACAAAAUGAGUUAGGAUACUUUAUUUAGAACCCACAUUUUAAUAAGGCUUCAUUUGAUGUAGUUUUUUAAACAGUGAUUAUUUAAGUAAAUUUUCCUCAAUAGAGUUUUUAUCAAACAAAUUUAUUUAUUUAGUUGUCGAUAAGAGUUUUUAUUAAAAAUUAUAAAAUUAUUUAAAUAAACAUGUUUUUUAAAAUUACAUUAUAAAAAUAAUUAAAUAAAAUUAUAAAAGUAAAAUAUAUUUUAGAUAUUUUAAUAUUUAAGAAAAAUUUUCAAUCUCUACUUUCAAAAGCUCAAAUUUUUAGCUUUUAGUUGUAGAGACAAAAUAUUUUAUUUAAUCUUUAAAAGUUAUGCUAAAAACAAUCAAAUAACUACAAAAAUUUUAAUAAGAGUAUAUAAAAUUAAAUGGUAAUUUUUAAAAACCUCCCCUGAGGUUUGGGCUUGUUGCAAGUAGAUGGCGAGAAUCCAUUUAUUUGUAACAAACCCCCUACCGUCAGUUAAUUUUUGCAUUAACCGUUAGUUGACUGUGCAAAGACAAUAUUGUCCCUAAUGACAGUUUGUAGACUGACAUAGCUAAAAAAAAUGCUGAGAUUGUCGGCACGAAAAUCACAAAUAAUUUUUUUUUGACAAUUUUGUCCUUGUUAAUUCCAAGAUUUACAAUGUCAUAAGUAAGGAUUAUGACUAUUUUACCCUCUUAAAAUUAUUGAUAAUUCCUUAAAAUUUCUACAAAAAAGAUAAAAUUAAAAACUUGAAGAAAAAUAAAGUUCUCAAGCCGGCUAACCAAACACAUAGAAUAAAAAAUCCAUCGUUUGACAACAAAAACAACUUUCCAUAAACCCAAACAAAAAUAAACAAGUCCCCAUUACUCUAAUUGGCUUUGCUUGGAGCUGUUACUAUUGUGCAUACAUUUCUAGGCAAAGCAAAAUGACCCCAUGAUAUAAACCUUAUAAAACAUGCCUCCACUAUUCUUAAUUUUGGUAUAAUAAUAAUAAUAAUCACAAAAAAUUAAUUGAAAACUUGACUAAUUAUCUUUGGUGGAGAAUUUUAAACCGAAACCGAUUCAGGAACCUUAAAUUGAUCAAAAGGAAGCUAAUAAUGACAAAAAAGUAACCGAUCAAAAAUCAUUAAGCAUAAAAAAAUAUUGAAUUUAAAUAACUAAAAAUGCCAUCGGAAAUUGAAAUUAAUUAUUUAACAUAUAGCAUGAAAACAAAUCUUCACUAUUGGUGCUAGGCGGCUGUCGUUUAGCUUGGUUCUAAGAGGUGGCAGUCAGUCAACUUCGAGACGGUGCGUUCGAAGUCAACUAAGCUGCAGCAGAGGUUGCAGGGGGCAGAUUGCAGCGAAGUCGCGGUGGAGCAGAGGUCGCGUCGCGGUGGAGAAGAGGUCGCGUUGCGCUGGCUUGGCUUCACGGUGGUGGGAUGGCUGGGCGGGCUGGCCAGCUGUGUGCGCAUUGUAUAUGAUUGUUUUUCACUUUUUUAAUAUUUUCUUGUGCAUUAGUUCAGAUUAGAUUAGUGAGUUUGUGUGUGUGUUUGCAGUUGAUUUGGUUAAGAUAUUUAGGUUAAAAUAAUUUUUUUUAAUAAAUUUUUUUUUUCAAAAUGUCAACAAUGCCCACAACUACCCAAAUGGCAACUAAGCAGAGUAAAAACGUAGGGGUUUUUUUUUAUAAAUAAAUAGAUUCUCGUCAUCUAUUUGCAACAAACUCAAAUCUCGGGGGAGGUUUUUAAAAAUUACCCUAAAAUUAAAUAAGCAUUUAUUAAUAAUCACUUUGGUAUACUUAUCUAAUGACCAUAAGUGUUUAUUUAAUCUCAUAAGUUCUUAUUUAAUCUCAUGAGCUCUUUUCAAUUUUUUUUGUUGUUUGUUUUUUAGUAGAGUUUUUGAAAAUUAAAUAAACUAUUUUGUCUCUACUAGAAAAAACUCAAAUUUUAGAUUUUUGUGAGUAAAUGUUUAAUUUUUUAAAAAAAUAUUAAAAUAUCUAAGAUAUCUUUCCUUUAUUUCAUAAUCUUAUUUCAUUUUUUCAUAACAUAACUUUCAAUAACUUACCUAUUAAAAUAAUUUCACAAUUUCUAAUAAAAACUCUAAUUGACAAUUAACAAUUUUUUUUUGUUUGUAAAAACUCUAUUUAUAAAAAAUCUAAUAAAAAUUCUAUUUAAAUAAAUUAUAUUUGAAAAGGUGUACUAAACCAACCUAAGAUAAAAACAAAAAUUUUUACAUCCAGACAAUUAAGCUUAAAACAAUUUCAAAUGAAUUUUAGACUAAUCAAAGUACAAUACGUACCAAGUUUGGUAACUUAUUGACAUCUUCUCAUAUAACCUUCGAUCAAGUCGAUUCUCACCUGACGACUAAUUGGUACAUCACCGUUGUUCUCUAUACUCGCAUGCAUCCGAUCACAAAUCUCACUCCAAUUGUCGUCUUUCUUCGGCGUUUUAGCACAUCCUUCUUGAAUUUCCCGCAUUUCGUUCCCUCCUGUUACAAGUCUCCGGUCAGGUCAGUUCUCUUGACGAUUAAUUCGGCAAAUCUCGAAUCUCUUCUCGCGUCGUUUCACUUCAAUUUUUUGUGUCUCCUUUCAGUUUUAGUGAUUGAAUCAAUUUUAUUGCAGUCUGAGAGAAAUUAAGUAAUGCUCUUGGAUUUAAAUUUUUUUUGCUUUCGACUUUAGAUCUCGAAAGUCAAACUCUGCUACGAAUCCUUAGAUUCUCAAUGUUUAUAAUCUUAUUUGUGUUUGACCAGGUAACUGGAUCGUGAAAUUCGUCGUUUUGUAUCAAUUCAAGCUUUCGCGAGCUCAUGGAAUCACCUGGUGAGUUGUGGUGAAACGUUAUCGUUUCAAUUUUCGCUUAAUUCUUUAUUGCAUAUUUUUUCUCUAACAUUUCAGUUUAAUUUAGAAAAGAAAGAGGACCCAAAAAGAGAGAGAGAGAGAGAGACUCUACCAUACUCAAUUCCUUGCUCAUUCUGAUUUGGCCUGAAUGUUGGCAUUGACUAUUAUUUGUUUUCAUUUCGAUUUAAUUCUCAUUUAGACAGUCUUUACUAACGGUCAAUAAUAGUUUAAGGAAAAUGAUAAUAGGGAUUCUGCAAUAAUCUUUUUAAGGAAAAUGAUAAUAGGGAUUCUGCAAUAAUCUUUUUAAGGGAUGUAUAACUUAUUAAUCAGAGUCCUGUUAUUAUGGUUUGACACUACUGACAUAUUGUGUUGGUAUUUAUUUGUACUUCCCUUGGUUGAAUUAUUUGCUGUCCCCAUGCCAUUCGAUAUGGUGCUACUUGGUUUUUGAUCAUCCAUGACGCUAUAUAUAUGUAAAGGAUGAAUUGAUUGUUUUGGCUUGUAUUCUCACAUUUUAUGAUUGAUCGAUGGAAAGGUCUUCAUGUAUUAAAUUCAACCUCACAAGCGUAAGAUUGACAGAUUCUGGGCAAAUUUUCAGGAAAAGAAACUAGACUUCAUGGAAGCAAUGAAGCUUGAAAUUGAACGUCUGCAGCUGAAAGGGAUAGAGCUUUAUUGUCAAUUGGAACUGAUCCUGCCUCUAUAAAUCCAAAUGUAUUGCUUGAUGAAUCUUACAUGGGAAGACUGUCGAGUAGCAACCACUCUUGCAUUACUUGGCCAAACUUCCCUAGAAGACAAAAUUGUUGGUGCAAUGGCCUUGAGAAUAGUGAUGAUAGUGUUUUAGACUUCUGGAAUAUUACUAGAAUCGGAGAGAGUUGUUCUGGUGGCGCGUGCAAGGUUCGUGCAGAAACUAAGGUGCCUGCUCUUGCUUCCUCAACUGCAGCAUCUGUUGGAGCUUCACAAUCCCCUUUGUUGUGUUCUCUGUUGUGUUCUCUGUUGUGUUCUCAAUGUGAAAGAAAAGUUUGCAAAGUUUGUUGUGCAGGAAGAGGAGCUCUACUGUUUUCAAAUUAUAAAUCAAGGGAUGUGACCAACUACAAUGGCUUCUCAAGUCAGAGUGGAUCAAGCCAUGGAAGCCAAGUUGAUGUAUCUACCAGUCGUUCACUAACACUGGAUGGCGUUAUCUGUAAACACUGCUGCCAUGAGAUUGUGCUUGAUACAAGUUCACAACACCAUUACAAAGGAUUCAAAAUUCCCACACGAAAACAUCAAUGUACAGAUUAUAAACAAUCCGAAUUGGACACAAGAAAAACCCUUCAAUGGAUUGCUUGCCUUCCCAAUGCUAUAUACUGUGCAAACUGCGCACUGUCCAAGAAAAUGUUUUCAAUUUAGUGUAUUUUCAAAAUGCUUAUUUUCUCAGAAUAUAUAAAAAAAAAAAAAGAAUUCUUACAUGUUUCAUCAGCAUGAUUAAAAUCAAAGAAGAAAGCGAGACAUAAUGUCUCUGACAUAAUAAAAUUACAAAAAUUUAAAAAAAAAAAAGUUAAAACAUGUAAUCUUCAUAAGCAUAUAAUAAAAUAACACUUCCACAAAUUACUACAAUUUCAUGCAGUAGAGAUUGAAGAGUUGAAUUCCACUUAUAGACACCGACCUCUUAUUUUGUCUAAUGUUAACAAUGAAAAUAACAACAGUAAUGAAAACAACAACAGAAUACAACAACAGAAAACAACAAUCCGCUCUGCAAAUUCUCUUGGGACUUGGUUCCAAUUCCUCUUCAUCCGAAGUUCCACUCGAAUCAAAUUCACUUGCAGCAGUUCCACUCGCGCUUGGCAAAUCAUCCAAUUUCCAAACUUCGGUAGCAAAAUUGAGAGUAAAAGUGUUGGCUUUGGUCUCGCUGGGAUUUGCAUAUACUGGACAUACUCCGUAACGUUUUACCUUGUGACCCUUUUGGUUUUGGUAACAAUUAUUGAAGAACUUAAGUGAGACAGUUGUAUGAUGGUAACCAUCAGGAAAGCCAACAUUCAAGCAAGGUUUAAAACCAAGUAUGACAUGAUCUGAAUCAAGGGAGUAUUUAUUUCUAACACUUGUGGUUGCGGGCCCACUGAAACCUAGAUCAACAUGUUUGGUUUCAGAGAGAGUCUUUAUUUCUAAGUCGAGUUGAGAGCGGCCGAAAACAUUGCAGCAAUAACAAGAACCAACUUUCUUAAAAUUAAGAACCGCACAAAAAGCAAACCCGAUUAAGUUUCUGCAAGAAGAGUGCGGUGGCAGUUGAAUACCUAUCGAAGAUCCUGAACUUUGAUUGUUGAACCAGUCAGGAAUUUCGCUCCCAGGUAAAACAAUUAGGGAUGUCCUGAGUUCAGAAAGUUUCUGUGAAAUGACAUUUAAAAAAAGAAAAUUGUAAAAUGAAAACCAUGAUUUCAGAUAUAACAAAGAGGGACAGAGUAAACAAGAGAGGGAACUUGAUGCGUUCUAAAUGUUCCAUUUUCUCCAAGAUUUCUGGGAAACGCUCAAGGUUCAAGCAGCCAUGAAGAAAAAGCUCAACCAAAGAUUUCAAUUUACAAAACCUAGUUGAAAUCCUCUUCAGCCGUUCGCAAUCCCUCAAAUCCAACUUUUCAAGAUCAGUUAGGCACUCUAUUGAUGAUGGAACUUCUUCUAUUGCAGACUGGCUUAAGUAUAGCCGUGUAAUUUUCCCAGAAAUCUGUGGAAACUCUACGAGAUUAACACAAUAGGAGAAAUUAAUAGUUACUGGACAAACAAAAUGAAGAUUGCUUGGAAAAGACCUAAGACUUUUGCAGCCCACAAAAUCCAACCUACUGAGAUACUUGAAAUUCUGGAUAGAUGAGGGAACACAAGCCAUUUCUCCUUCCCAAAUUUGCUCAACUUUACUAAAACGCAAAUUCAGUCCAACAAGGUUCUUUGGCUUGAAAUUUGAUGGCAGUGUCCUUAAUGGAUAUGUGUCCCAAUGAAGAUAUCUCAAUUUUUUAGGAAGAUAAUCUAGGCCAUUUGGAAGCUGCACUUUAGAGUACGAAAGUUGCUCUUCAAUGCUCAUACUUAGAAGCUUUUCAAUCUCAUACUUAGGUACAUAAAAUUUGAGCAAUCUCAGAUUAGACAUAUUUGUGAAGGCUCCGGGGUCUAAAUUGAUGCCUUUUAUUUUGGACAAAUCCAAAAAUAUGCCUUCAAUUGCAUCGGUCCCCUUAUUAAAAAAAAAAAAAAAACAAAGAAUGGGUAAGCCUAAAACAGAAAAGAAACAUUCGUAAACUUUAUUAACUAAGAGCUCCUAAAACAAAACAAAUUCUACGAUCUUUGAUCUUAUUUUUUUAAUAUAUUAAAUAUCUAUAUGCGAGAAAAGAAAAUUUUGGGAACCAUUGCAAAAUUAAACUAACCGAAAAAAAAAAUCAAAAUUUCUCUAAUUUACAAACCUGUUAUCUUACUAUCUAGAAGUUGAGAAGACAGGGCCUAUUUGAUUGGUAUAAGAUUUCGAUUUUUUUUUUAGUCCAUAGAAUCCAAAAUGUUAGUUCAAAAUUAGGGAAAAAAAUGAAAGUUAUUUUUUUUCCACUAGUUGUAAUUGUAUCCAAGUCAAAUUGAGAUAUGACCCUUUUCGAAAGGAUUUAAUCAUCUUAUAGCCUCCUUAAAGGAGUGAUUGGAGGCCUAACUAGGUAGGCCAAUCAGUCCAUUUUAUUAGCGACUAUUGCUUAAAAACAUUUAUACUCUAAAACACACUUACUUUUUUGAAAAAAAAAUAUAAUUAUAUUGAAGUAGAACCAGGUGGGCCAAUCCUCAUGGCACUCACUUUGUUCUGACACUCUUCACUAAAUUUGAAAAAAAAUAAAAUUAUACUCUUCACACUCUUAUUCAACAUUCCAAAAUUGAUAAAAUCUGGAGUUUUCAUUAAAAAUUUAAAAUUUGAAGACUUGUUCUCUUGACACCCUCAGUCAUUAAUUUUACCUAAUUAUGGUUUUUAUGAUUUUGGUUGUUUUGUUCAUAAAAAUGAUUUUACUAAAGGAUGUUCUGGUAAUAAUAAAAUUUAUAAAAAAAAACAUGGUUGUGCUGGUAUGAUUGGAAAAAUAUGAGUGCAUAACUCCAAACAAAUAAAAGAUAUAUAAAAAAAAAUGGAGGAUUCUUACCAUAUUAUGCUUUAGUACGCGGCGGAUUUCCUUAGGAUCCCACAACCUCUUGCGUUUGCCUGGCUCUUUCUCAGAUUCUUGGCGUCGCCCCAUUUCUUGCAAUAUAUCAUGCAUUUGCAAGCGGUUAUAUGACACUGUUAUGAGUGACUUAUCAACAAGGACAUCCAGUCCAACAGACUCAGAAUCAUCAAGAAUCCUUGCCACAAAAUCUUUAUCCUCUCCCUCAAAGAAACACGCAAUAUCUAGAAAUAUGCUCUGCACCCUGGGCGUUAAUUCAUCAAAACUAAUCUUUAAUUUCUUAUAAAUAGCAUGAAUAUCAGAUUCACAAAUCCGAUUUAAGUCGUGCAAUACUUUUCCCCAAUGGCUUUUCCCCUUGAGGGAGGAACCCAACACUUUAAGAACUAAUGGAUUGCCAUCAGCAUACUUUACAACUCUCCGUGAGUCAGGUUUGAAAUCUUCAGGACAAUGCUUUUCUUUAAAAGCGAAGUUACAAAAAUGCUCGAAAGCCUCAUGAAAAUCCAUUCCAUUAACCCUAUAUAUUUUCUUCUCCUCCACUCCAAAUUUUUCGAGGACUCCUUUAUCCCUAGUGGUUACAACAAUUCUACUUCCUGGAACAAAUUGAUCAAGCUCUCCAAUCAGACCCUCUAAUUGUCCAACUUCAUUCACAUCAUCGAGUACUAUCAACACCUUCAUACGCCGGACCCUCUCUUUAGUAAAAUGUGGAAUAUUGGCACCAGCUACUUCAAGUUUUUCGCUUAAUAUUGUUGAAAGCAUUUCCUUUUGUAGGUCUUCUAGGCCACCCUCUGUUUCUGAUUUUCUCCUAACAUUUUUUGCAAAGUAUUUACCAUCAAACUCACCAGAGAAUUGAUUGAAAAUAGCUUCAGCAAGGGUGGUUUUGCCGAUACCACCCAUGCCCCAAAUUCCAACAAUUUGGACAGUAUCCGACAAAUCCAUACACAAAAAUGGUUUAAUCUGCUCAAUUCGUGAAUUUAAUCCAACUAGGCCGUUGGAUGAGUCCGUUGAGACUGUUAUUUUUUCCAACUUCUUCAAAACAUCUUCGACAAUUUUGUUUACAAGUUCCGCAUCGUGCCUAAUAUAAAGGUGCAAAGAUGCAAAAACAUUGAGUCAAAUCGGGCCAACACAGAAACAGAGAUAAGAUGAAUUAGGAAAGAGAGUUACCUGAAUUUCGUGGAUUCGUGGCCAGCAAGACCGGAUGUUUCUCUCAGUGCAUCCCUCCACCUCUGAACCAUUUCUGGCUUCUCUUUGAACUGUUGUUCGAGCUUACCAAAGCCGACCCCAAAAAUCCCAGUUUGAUGCCGCACAUCGGACGGACUUACGCCAUAGAAAACCGGAAUAAUGAUUUGGCCGUUUGUGUGCUUGCAUUCAAGAAUCUCGACAAGUUCAUACAGGCACCAUUUUGAAGAAGCGUAGUCCGUUGAGAAAAUGACCACCGAAAUUUUUGAACCUUGGAUUGCGUUCAAAAGGGCAGGUGAAAUCUCAUCUCCGCGCCUAAGCUCUUCAUCAUCAAUAAAUGUUCUGAUUUUCUUUCUUUUAGACAAAGCAUCAUAGAGAUGGCAAGUAAAGAUCGCACGAGUGUCCUCCCCUCUAAAAUUGAGGAAGACUUCAUAAAUGCAAGGAGAAGAAGCCAUGAAGGAAAUAUUAGAAAUUUGGUGACAGAAACAGAGAAUUAAUCUUGAGAGCUGAGAGAGGAGAUGUAAGAAUGAACAUGUGUGAAUAUUCUUGCGAGUACAUAGUAAAUAAUUGAAUGGCUCGAGCUUUCUUAGUUUCCUGGAAAUUUCCUGGAGCUUUCGUAUACAUGAUUUGUCAAGUCAAGAAACAUAGUCAUGAUAAUGGGGCAGACCAGGAAGAAAAGGAAAUUGGAAUUUUGUACAAUUUCUCCAGCGAGGAACUUUCACUGUCAUUACCUCACCGUUACAGUUUGGAUUAGGGUAAUUUUUACCCCGCACCCAAAUGUUUUGACAUACAGCACAACGCACCCAAUUCUUUUGCCCAUGAGCACCGCGCACCCAUUUCCGUUUAUUUUUCAGUUAACUGUAACAGAUCAGGGUAAAAUUGGAAUAACGCAUCAAAAUUUAAAAAUAAAAAAAUAGGUAAACUCGAUGUUUGCGCCAAAAUAAUUUCACAUCACUGUGCUUAUGUUCACUGCGUUUGCGUGUGAGACCAAGAAGCAUGGCCACACCUCCAUUGAUGCCAAAAUCGAGGAGGUGGGUGAAGAAGAAUUGGCGCCAAAAUCAUUCACAUAUGAUGUGCAAGGAAAUUAUUUCAGCCUUUAAAUACUUUUUUAUUACAGCAGCAUCAGCUAUUGCUCUGUUUCGAAGAUCUGCUCAAUUUCUAAGACAAUAGUUGGUUUGAGAGUUUAAGGGAAGUGAAUCCACUGAGCGUGCUAUUGAAGAAGUGGAGGUCAGUUUCAUUUCUUGCUCAAUUGUUUUAAUUUAUUCCAUUUUGUUUGCAUGUCAAUUAUUUACACAUUUUUAGCUGGAUUUUGCUUAUCUAUAAAACUUGAAUCAUUGUUAAUCAAAUCAGCUAUAAUUUACGCCUCAAUGUGGUUUGUAAGUUUAAGUUAUGUUGGAUUAUACCUGAAUAAUGUGGUGUUUGCGUUAUUGAUUUCAAUUUCUAUUGAUGAUUUUGAGUAUACAUAUUAGUGGAUGAAAGUUUUUAAUUAGGAUGAUUGGUCACGCAUAUAUGUCAUAGCAACUGUGUUUUUUUGGGUUAUGGUUGUACUGUAGAUCAGUAGUAGUAGUGAUUUGGAUAUAAACGCUAGUGCUUUUAUUGUAAAUGAUAGUGAUGAAGAUCCAGUGUUACAGAAUUUGAUGUAAAAGUUAUUGGUUUUUGGCUAAAUAUCUUAGAUAAAUAUGAUGCUCAUGCAAUCAAAUCCAAUGCUUAUGCAAUUUACACCAUGUUUAUGAUAAGUAAUUAAAAAAAUAAAUGACUAUUCCAGGUGAAAAUGGAUGAUGAUGAUAUUACAACUGUUCUUUGUACAUUCAAGGGCAAGACAUAUAAUGUUGGUGUAAUUGAUCCAGAUAAGUUUAGUAGAGUUUCUGUAAUUAACAAGGUUUUAGUUAGAGUCUAUGGAAGAAAGAUGAGGCCUGAUGAGAAGUUUACACUAAGUGUUUGGGUACCAUGGGUCUAUAAGGAAGUAGAGAUUAUGUCUGAUCAUGACUUAAUAUUCCAGCUGAGAGAGCAUAAUAAGAUGUUGUUCUACUGCAUGCAAUUGUAUAUUGAAGAAAUCCAUGUACCUCAUGAGUUUGUACCUAGAAGGGCUUUGUUUCAGCACUCAGCAGAAGAAAGCUUACAAGGGUAUGCUGAAACAAACUUUCCAGCCACUACUGACCUGCACAAACCUUAUACACAUGCUACAUCCACCAACACAAAUCCUUAUGAAAAUGACAGUAAUGACCAUUCGAACCAUGAACCCCCUGUCAAGAACUCCAGCAGCAUAAUGAUGCAUAAUGUUGCACUUGAUAGCAUCCAAUCACAGACCAAACCAGAUACCAACCCUGACCUAUAUCAAGACUUUUUGGAUACCUAUUUCAGAUCAUCACCACAACAGAAAACACCAUCAGCUGCCCAAACUAAUGCCGAAAAUAGUGAUAGUGAUAACACAUCUUCAUUUGGUACAAAUAAGACUCCUACUGAGCAGCUUCAACAAAACUUUGCCAUCUCUUCUGAGUUGUCCCCUUUAUUGCAGCAACAUGGACAUCAUGCAUCCCAAAAUGAACCUAUACCUUUUCACCAACCUGAGUUCUCAUCUCAACCAAUAACUCAAAACCCUCAGUCACAAGUUGUACAAGCAGAAAACUUCCAGCAACCAGAAGCCACUACACCAGCACUAGUAGAUUAUAACUCAGAUGAUAGCCAUUAUAGUGUAACUGAUAGUGAGGAAGAUCCAGAUCAUCCAUUAGGUGCUCCAAACAUUAAUAAUACUCCUAGGAAACCUUCUGUUAAUGUUGACUUAGGCUCUAUGCCUUCUGAUGAUAGUGAUGAAGAUUGUAUGCUAUCUGAUUGUGAGAGUGAUGACAAUGAGUUUGGGGAAGAAUCUGAUGAAGAGAUUGAUCAAGUGCUGGUCAGAAUGGAUGCUGUUAUGAGAGAGAACAUGUACAUUCCUAGUGAUACACCUGUUCAAUUCUUUAUUGGGCAGUGUUUUAGGAACUUCAGGCAGCUGGCAUGGGCAAUAAGGACUUAUGCUGUGGAAAACAAGUUCAAGGUUUAUAAGCACAAGUUUGAAAAAUCCAGAGUAACUGUUGGAUGUAAUUAUUUCAGGUGCCCAUGGUUUUUACAUGUUGCAAAAACUAGAUUUGGACAAACCUUUAUUGUUAGGAGGCUUCACAACGUACAUACAUGUCAGAGAGACUUAAAGAAUCCUGAAUGCACUGCAGAGUUCAUUGUUGCCAAGUUUGCUGCAACUAUAAUUGAGCAUCCAGAUACAAAGGUUGGGUGGAUUCAAAGUGAACUUAGAAGGAUGUAUGGAGCUAAGAUACACAAGUAUAAAAUUUAUAGAGCAAAGAAGAAGGUUUUACAGAGACAAUGAGCUGAUUAUGAGUCUAGUUACAUGUUGAUCAGAAAUUAUGCUCAGGCCAUACUUACUAAGAUGCCACAGGCCUUGGCAUUGGUUAAGGUUUUCAGGAUGCAUGGUCAACAACCUCAAACUCACUUUGACAGCACUGUUAUAUCUUUCCAUGCCCUCAGAGAUGGCUUCAACCAAGGUUGUAGACCCUUCAUUGGUAUUGAUGGAUGCCAUUUGAAGGGUCCAUAUAAGGGUGUUCUUUUAUCAGCAGUUGCUAUUGAUGCCAACAAUGGAAUCUUCCCACUUGCAUUUUGUGUAUGUAGUGUCGAGAGUACAACCAGCUGGACAUGGUUUCUAAGCCACUUUAGGGAAUUUUUACAAGAUACAAGACAACUGACCUUUAUGUGUGAUAGGCAGAAAGGAAUUCAGAAUGCUCUUGCCUUAGAGUUUCCUAAUGCACAUGUUAGAUUCUGUGCUAGACACAUCUUAGCAAAUAUUAAGUUAAAACAUCCUCAAUCUGACUUUAAAGCAUAUUUCUGGGCAGCAGCAAGAGCAUCAAACAGAAGGGCAUUUGAUGAUGCUAUGCAAAACAUAAGAGCAGCACAUGAGGGUGUAUAUGAGACUCUUAGGAGGAUACCACCAAAUUUCUGGUCAAGGCAUGCCUUUGACAAUAAUUGCAAGUCUGAUCAUUGCACUAACAACGUAACUGAAUCUUUUAAUGCAUGGAUUGGGAUUCAAAGAAAGUUGCCAAUAAUCUCAAUGCUGGAGUGGAUUAGGAAGAAGCUGAUGAAAAGAAUGAUUGGAAGAAGAAAUAAGGCAGAGUCUUGGGACAGUGAUAUACCAAGAAGAAUUUAUGCACAAAUGAUGAAGAAUUUACAGAUUGGCAGUGCAAACCCUAUCUGUAGAGCUAGUAAAUGGCUUUAUGAAGUGGAUGAAAAUACCAAGACUUAUAUCGUUGAUCUUGAACACCAUAUGUGUGACUGCGGACAAUGGCAAGUUAGUGGGAUUCCAUGUGUACAUGCAAUGCCUUGUAUUGUGAAUAGUCAAAAAGAUCAAGCUCAGUUCAUUAGCCAAUGGUUGAAGAAAGAUACUUACCUAAGGUGUUAUUCUGGAUUGAUUAAACCAAUUCCAGAUAGAACGUCAUGGGUAGAUGCUGGUGGUGAUGAAAUACUGCCCCCUUUAGUGAGAAGACCACCUGGACGACCUAAGAUGACAAGAAGAAGAGAAGCUGAUGAGGUACCAGCACAUAAUAAACGAUACAAGAUGCAAUGCACUAUUUGCAAGGGAUUUGGACACAACAGAAGGGGUUGUCCUGUUAACCCUCAUAAUGCUCACAAGACAACAAGACAAUAUAAGGUGAGUGUGUAUGCUUGUAAGAGAAUAUUCAAUUAUUUUUUGAACCAUGUUCCUCCCAUGUGAUGACAGCUAAUGUGCCUUGUUUGUUUGUGCUUUUUUAUAGAAUAACCUGAAGAAGCACGUGACAAGGACAAAUGGGGAGCAAAGUGAAGGUAUAAGAGUAAUUUACUAAGUUAUAUUACUAUAUUACUUUACAGCUGUAUUAGAUAAUUAUAUAGUUGUGUAUCACCAAACUAUAUUAAAUUAACUUAUUUAUUUAACGUUGCUUUAUUGGUAAUUUAUAAGGCCAAGUUCACGGAAUUACCUCAACUAUUUUGGAAAGCCAAGACAAUGACAUGGUCCAAGUAACUGUCUCAGGCCAAAACAUAACAAAGAACCAGCAGACUGCAUCUAACAAACGCAAGAUUGGCAAUCAAGCAGGGCCAUCAAAAGCAAAUGAAGUCAUUGGCAAGAGCAUGAAUGGGGUCAUAUCUGUAGCUCCAUGGGUAGGUGAACAGGGAAGAAAAGUAAUGUCAGCCGCUGGAUUAACCUUCAGCAAAGAGGAUGAAGUCGGCAACUAUACUGAAAUGAAGCAUUUGGACAAAGGGAAGGCACCAGCCUUCCCUUCGUAAAGGGUAAAACCAUAGUUUUCUAUUGAUAUAAAUUAAUAUUGGUUUUGGAAAUGAUAUUUAUAAUUUGUAACUUGUUUUGUAGUGAUUCUUUGGCUAUGAUGGAGACAUUGGCAGCAAACUUAUUAACAAACAGUGGAGGCAACAUUAUCAUUUUUUGACACCUUCCACAAUGCCACAUCAACCCACCAGGCACAAGGUUAAGGUUAUCUGGAUGCUGAUUUCAUUAGGAUCAAGUGGCCAAGUAAUGACCAGGCAUGUCAUUGUUUUCUUUUUCUUUUUUAUUUUGGAGCUGAAAUUGGUGGAAGUUGUUGGACAUUAAGCUUAAGCAUUAUAGAGCUGGAAGCUGUGAUGACCUACUAUAAGUAUGAUUGGAAGGGUUUAUGGCAUUUUGAAAGUUUUUGGGAUUAAGAUACAUAUAGGACUGAUAUCAACCAAACCAACACUUUUUUUUUUUGUUUUUUGGUCACAUGUAUGUAAACACCAGAUUGGAUGUGACUAACAUUGUAAGUUGCUGCCAAUAUGCAUUUAUAGAUAAAAUAACUUAUUGCUAUUAUUGAUAUCAUAUUUGAUUAAAUGGUAUAUGUCAAGAAACGAAUGCAUUUUAUUGAUCAUAAGAUUUCAUUUUACACAUUGUUCUAGCAUUCCUUACAGUACAAUACAAGCAAUACAAGUAUAGUUAUCACUAUAAUCGUGAUUUGAUACUUCUUAUUUUUAUGAAGUAAACCUUCAAUAUUGAUGAACCUGUUGUGGAAGUCCUCAAUGUUAAAUUGUUGAAUCUCACUUGCCCUGUCUGCAGCUUCUUCUUCAAACCUUUGUAACGCUGCUUCAAUUUCUAUAGCCUCACCUGUAGAUGGUUUCCACCAUCUAAAGAAACCACAAGAUGGGUCAUUAGGGCAUGUGUAAUAUAGUUUGUUGGGGUUUGUUUUUGAUUCUGACACUUUGAUUUCUGCCCUUCUUCGACAGUAGCAUACUGUGUUAUAGAACUUGAUGAUGCCCCCAUUGAUUUUAGGUAAAUCCCUUCUUCUGUUAUAAGUUGAUGAACUUGAUGCAUUCCUUGAAGUGGACAUUUUCUUCAAAUUUCCAAUGUCGUGUCUGUUAUAUUCUUUUUGAAAUACAGCACAACGUAUCUGAACUUCAAGUUGUUGUGCUUGUUUUGUGUGUGAAUGAAGCUGCUGUUGAAGUUGUAUUGUUUCGGUGGGUAAAACCAAAUGUUGUACUACUGUAAGUUGUUGCUGAGUAAAAAAAAUGGUGGAGUUUCCAGGUGAGUCAAUGAAAAUCACUGAGGUGUGAAGAGGGUAGGAAUUUAUAUGUGUUAAACAUCACAGCUUGUGGUGAUGCAUCAGCUCAAAUUUAUCAAUUUCUUUUACUGUUCUUGUAACCAUAUAGCCGUUAUUACUGUUGCUCAGAUUUUAUAGCCGUUGGAUUUUUGAUGCGCAUGGUAAUAAACCAAUAUGCUAAGGGCAAUAUAGUCAAUAUAAUUUAACAGUUAUAGUUGGUCUUCGUGUGUAAAUACACCUUUAAAUAAUGGCCAGUGGUAAAUUCCUUAGUUCAAUGACUCACCUGGAUGCAUUUGAAUUCAACGCAAGGGUAUAUUUGUCAUUUAAUCAAAAUAUAGACUGAUCCGUUACAAUUAACUAAAAAAUAAACAGAAAUGGGUGCGCGGUGCUCAUAGGCAAAAGAAUUGGGUGCGUUGUGCUGUAUGUCAAAACAUUUGGGUGCGGGGUAAAAAUUACCCUUUGGAUUAUGAUUUGAGGGUGCAAGUAUUUACCUAGAGUUUACCUCCGCACUAAAUUCUUAAGUUUUGAAAAUUAUGAGACCUUUAUAUUGGGAGAUAUUGUAAUCGAAUCAAAACUUAAAUUUUUUAUAAUGUUAAUAUUUAAUCUUUUAAAAAACAAUAACCUCGCCGUUACAGUUUGGAUUAAGAUUUGAGUAAGUAUUUACCUAAAUUUUACCUCCGUCUGUAAAUUCUUAAGUUUUGAAAAUUAUGAGACCUUUAUAAUCGAAUCAAAAUUUUGAAUUUCAAUAUUAUUAUUCUUUAAAAAAAAUUUUGAGAUAACAGAGUGAUUGAUAAUAUAGGAGAACUUGUCUAGGCAAGCACAUGUAUACACAGAAACGUGAUGGAUUCAAAAAGAAAUUAAAGUGAUAAUGCGAAAUCGCUUGGUGGCCCAGUAAAAUUACGACUGAAUUUUUUUUUUUUUUUUUACAAAAUUCAAGCUCAUAAAUGACAAAUUUCAUUUCCCUUUCACACGUCAUUAACUUUUGUAACAUGGUGUGUGCAUCGUCAAGUGAGGCAAAAGGGUUUCAAUUACAGUUGGAAAACAUGAACAAGAAUGCAUAAUGAAUAAUUCCUUCGAUAAACCGAAAAUUAAGCACAGAAUAAUCCUAAAAUUUAAACUCUAAUAUCUUAUAAUGUAUUGAUUAAAAAUAAUCCUAAGAGCUCCCAAUUGAAACUUUCAUAAGUAUUUUAAUUGUUUUGGAUAAACAAAUUGCACUAGGAUAAAAAUUUGGCAAAUUCAGAGGAUAAUGGAAAAUAGUUAUGCUUCAAUAGGCCAAAGAUUAGAGAACAAAUAAGAAUUAUUUAUUGAUAUACAAAAGAGAAACACUCCAAAAUUUCAAGCAAAAAUAGUUUCAUAUAUCAUUUCGAUUUUGAAAGGGAUGAGAUUUUGAACUUCAAUAGUUUCCUCUAAAAUUAAAAGGUAGCAAUUAAGCUAAAAAGAGCAAUGAAGACUUAUUGGUACCUUAUUAAAGGUAAACAUUAUGGAACUUUCAAUGUCAUUAUCUCACUGUUCAAUUUUUAUUGAGAUUUGUGUAAGCAUUUACCUAAAUCUUACCUCCGCCUUUAAAUUCAUAAGUUUUGAUUAAUUAUGAGACCUUAUAUUGGGAGAUAUUAUAAUCAAACUAAAACUUAAAAUUUCAAUAUCAUUAUUCUUUAAAAAGAAAUUGAGAUAUCAGAGUAAUAUCACAUAGAAAAACUUGCCCACGGACGGUAAGCCAAAAGUCUAGUCAACCACACGCAUAAAGCUAACUAGAACAAGAGAACAGAGAAACGCGUGGGUCCCUAAAAGAAAAGGCAAGCACAUAAAUAACUUUCAAAAUGCCCAAGCAAAUACCGAUGAAAAUCACUGUUUAAGAAUAAUUUAUUAUGUGGUUGAAGCUUUCUUUUUAUCAAUCUUCUUUCUACCCAUUAAUUUUCCCACGACUUUCCCGUUUCAUUUCUUGAAUCUCCAUGGAUUAACUUUCAAUAAACCAUAAAAUAAACUAAGGAAUCAUUUUCUCGAAUACAGCUAUGAUUUUAAUAAAUGGGCGGACCAUCUAGAAUAGUAUAUAUAAUUCUGUUUAAUUAAUAAGUUGAAAAAACCAUCAAGAGAAAUUCUAAUAUUAUGAGCUUGACACGAAUUCUUCACUAAUUCCAAAACAAGGAGCUGUUUUAUAAGAACUGUGGUUGGAUUAUUAAGUUUUACAAUUUGAAUAUAAAUAAGAAAAUAAAAUCAGUCGCGUUGAUGUUUUCGAUACAUUUCGCUGCUAACUUUUUUUUUUUUUUUAUUACAUGAGACUAUUGCUCAAAUUACAACUCAUAUUACAUGAGAAUAUAACUGAUAUUUACAAAUCAGACUAUAACUGGGACCAAUAUACAUCAAUACUAAUGGAGCGCUGCCCAGAUUUUAACCCUCUCAAAUAUUCAAGGGAUGUCUACACCUCACACUUGGGUAAGGAAACAGACUGUCUUCACUUAAAUUUACUUGAGGAAUGAAGACCCCCACAAUACAUUGUGGGGGUUCACCACUCGACCAAAGGCCGAGUGGCUCAUUUCGCUGCUAACUUAAUUAAUUACUUUACUUCAACUUUAUUUCCUUAGGGGCACUUUAUGGUGGGUCCAAGAUGGGACCUACAAUAAUCAAUCCUAAAAUUUAGUAUGGUUACCAAAUAGCUAGUAGCUAGUGUUAUUUUGUGUUUGGUGGAAGAGAUUGAAUAUUUAGUUUUAACUUAACCAUUCAACUAAUUAGAAAAUAAAUAAAAUUAAAUGAAAUGUUUAGAUAUCAAUUUAAAUAUUAAUAUCGGGGAUAUAAAUUAGUUAUAAUAUAGUUCAUUACAUAAAAUUGAUUAAAUUAAUAAUUACCCGUGAACAUAGAUGUAUAUGCUUUCCAAUUUCCAAAGUGCUCAAAGCACUUUUCUCACCAAACUUUCCUCUGAAUUUCCCGUAGCUGACUCCUUUGUUUGCGUUUUGUGAAAUUUCUAGGAACUUUUUUCGAUUUAGAAUAUUGUACAUUUUUCUUUUCAGCUGAGAUUAAUUUAACUUAUAGAAAAUCUUAUCCUUUUUUAAUAUUAUUUAAAUAAAAUUUGUCUAUCUUUUAUUUUAUUAGUCUACUUUUUACCCAUUAAUUAAGACUUUUCAAUUUCUUUUUUACCUGAGGUUUUCAGUGACUAUCUUUCAAUAAACCAUAAAAAUUACUUAGUCAUUUAUCGAACAAUUAGAUGACCAUAUUUCAAAAUAUCAACUAGAAGUUGUCCUGAAAUAUUUAAUUAAUAGUUGAAGAAUUGUGAUUAGUGUGGGCAUCUACAUAAAAAUUAUAUUAAAACACCGCUAAAAGAUAAAAAUAAAAUAAAAUAGUACAAACAUACACCCAUAGGUUAAAACAAAGAAAAAACACGAACCAAUACACUAAAAUGUUUUAGCUGUAGUUAGUUUUCAGUUUCAUUACUUAAGUCCCACGUGCAUGUCACGUGACUGAGGUCAAAAAAUGAUUGUCACAUUAAAGUUCAAAAUACGGAGCAGGGUAAUUAAGGAGUGGAGCUAUUGGCACCCCUCCAUUAUUCUUACAAAACUCCACUUUAAAUCAAAAUAUAAUUAAGAAUAAUUGAAAAUUAAACACUUAUAGAUUUCUUUACAACAUGUUGAGUGAUAAAAAAGCACCAGUCGGGCAUGUCCCCAUUUCUUACCCGGUGCCGAAUCUCCACGGUCGAAUGGUAUGAGUAGACUCUUGGUGAUGUCUUCUAUGUGGAGCACGUAACAACAGACCAGGAACUAGUACCAACCAAAAACGAGUACUGAUCGAAACAAGCAUGACCAGAAACGCAUACCGACCAGAGACUUGUGGGUCCGUAAAAGAAAAGGCAAGCACACAAAUGAAAAAGCCAUUACAUUUCUAUUUUACAUGUCAUUCCUAAUUUUUGUAACACGAUGUGGCAGCAUAUGCACAAUCAAAUGAGGCAAAAGGGAUUCGACUAUCGUGGCAGAACAUGGACGAGGACGCGUGAUGAAUAAUUCCUUCGAUAAAACGAAAAACAAACGCAGAGAAAAGAAUUUCUUAUAUGACAAGAAAUUAAAGUAAUGUGACGGAACAUGAUGAAGAAAUUGCAGAUCGAUCAAUUAUCCCCAUGGACUCCUAUAAAUUCAACCAAAAUAACAAUUCCAAUAUUACCAAAUUCUUGAGUUAAAUUUAUUCAAUGCUUUUUUUUAAGAGAAAUUUUUUCCAAUGCUACUUUCCCUUUUUUGGGGAAAUUAGAACUGCGGCAUGUAUAGAAGACAUUGAGGUAUAAAGCAACAUUAAUUUCAUGGGUUAUGCGUUAUACGCAUAAUAUAUUUUCAGUCCAAAUUCAACUAUGCAAAGAGGCUUGAGAACUUAAAAUUAAGCACAAACUAAACAGACGAAGUAAAUACAUGAUUAUGCAACAUAACAUUAAUUCUCUUAAUUUAUAACCGUUUUGCCACAUGAAUCUUGCACAGUUAAUCCUAAUUGAAGACUAAAAAAGAACAAUUGGAACAAGGUUUUGAAAUAGAAUGAUAGACAAUCGAUAUGAUCCAUUUCCAGUCGUCAACGCUAAUUAACUGCAGUUUCUAGACUCCUAAUUAUACUAGCCAUAAGAAACUGUUUAGAAAACUGGUGAUCAGAUUAGAUUUUGAAAUGAAAUAAUGUUCAUUUUCCCUUCGUUACCCUUUUAUUUAUUUAUUAUUUUUAUACCAAAGAAUUCUAUCAUGAAACGAAUCAAUUUAAUCACCUUUUCCAGCAGCACAAUUUUUCUUUUAUAAAAUUUGACCACAGAGACAAAGAAGAAUUAUUCAUACCUUCAUCAGUAAGGAAAUACUUUUCGGUAUGGCUAGGGUGAGAAAAGGCUUUCCACAAACACUUGUACUUUGUAUUCCUGUAAAUUUUCUUUAAAGUCAAUAAAAAUCAUAAGUUCUUUACAAUAACCAUCUCUUUGAUAAAAAAAGUGCCGUAUUCCUUUAGAAUUUAAAACCGGCAAAAUCGAAUCAGUGUCUUUGAAGAGACAUAAUGGUCAUAAUUCUUUAAAGAGUUGGCUAUGGAAAUCCUUAUCCAAGAUUCUUUUACGCCAUAUUCUUUCGUAAACCAAAAUUCAUUUUGGAAUACUCUGUUGAGAAUGUCAAAUAAAACGGUAUUGAAGGAAGUUUUCAAAGGCAGAAUCCGCACUUGUCAAAGGGAUGAUCUGCAUUUGUCAGAGACACAAUCUGCGUCGAAUGAAUCGACACAUUUCCUUUUGUAUUCGCAUAUGUAAUUUUUGAAAAAAUGUAGCUUCUGCAUCUAUAAAUAACGCUCAGUGUAUAAUGUUUUAUUCAAAAAAAGAAAACAAGUUUCUUCAUACUCGUCGUCCGAACAUACAGAGACCGUCUCUCAUAACUUCAGCCGAAUACUUAUGAUGAUGAUCAUUUGUGAUUUCAUCAGGCAUAGGGUUGAUGGUGAAAAAUUUUGUAUGUGUGAAGAAUUGAGCUGUGGAUAUAGGGGACUUAAGUGUAAUCGAAAGAGAGUUAUUAGGCCAUAGUGUAGAUUGCAUUCAGUUUAUGAGUCGAUAUGCAAAUAAUUUGUUGACGUGGCGAAAUUUGUUAUGGUCGUUACUAUUGUUUCUGGAAAUUUUCUAGAAACCUCAGCAUAAAAGGGGCUUUUGGAUAGCCUCUGGUGUGCGUGUGAUUUCUCUUUCGUUUCCUCAUCAAAUUCUGUAAUUCUUGCUUUGAUAAAAAGCUUGUAAUCUCUUCUGUAAUUGUGAUCAGUGCGUAAUCAUUUUGAGCGAUAAAAGCUUGUAGGUUUUUCCUUCAAACAAUGUCGUUUUGGUCAGUUUGUUAGUUUGAUCUGUUGGUGGAAUUUUCUUUGGUUAUUUGUUCUCAAAUUUCAACCUUAUAUAAAGUUUGAACUCUAAUGGCUUAUAAUGUAUUGAUUAAGAAUAAUCCUAAGAGUUUCCGAUUGAAAUUUUUAAUGACUAUUUUUAUUGUUUUGGAUGCACAAAUUGCAUUAAGAAAAAAUAUUGUCAAAUUCAGAGGAUAACGGGAAAUAAUUAUGCUUCAAAAGGCCAGAGAUUAGAGAAUAAAGAAGCAUUCAUUACUGAUAUAAAAACUGCUUCUAUUUGGAUUUUGAAAGGGGUGAAGUUUUGAACUUCAGUUGUUCCUCUAAAAUCAAAAGCAAUAAUUAAGCAUUCUCAAUUAGAAAGAGCAAAGAAGACUUAUUGGUACCUUACUGAAGCUAACAUUAUGGCACGGUUGUUCAUAUGUAAUGGCUGCUCUGUUAUGCUAGCUUCUCUGUUUUUGCUUCUAUUUUUGCUUACAGUUUUGAAGAUAAAUUCUUGCUCAAAUAACACAUAAUUAAAUAACACUAAUAUGGCUCAUGAAAUCCUAUAAUAGCUAAUUACGCAACUUUCUCCUCCUCCUCAAUUCUGUCUUCCCCUGCUCGGACACUAACUUCAAAAUUCAAUGCCCCGAAAAACAACACAAGAAAUCUUUGAGUUAGUUCGUGACCAGUUUAUAUAUAGUAGCAAUUGAAAAAAGAAAAAGAAGAAAAGAGUUAAUUAUUUUUCAGACCUUCACUUAUUAGGAAGUUUGUUCUGCUAUUGGGUGAGAUCAAGCUCUCAGCAUAUACUUCCACAUGAUACUUUCUAACAUUUUCUUGAAAGCCAUCAAUCAUUAAAUCUUCAUACUUUUUUCCAUCCUUUGGAUCAAUAAGUACAAAUUUCUCAUCUAAAAAAGACAAAAUAAAAUCACUGUCCUUCAUGGAAUCAGAAUUGAGCUUACAAAAACCGAAGUGGACAGUUCCAUUCAGAUUGGUCGCCCGAGAACAAUGAUGAGAAGACUUAAAAUCAGUUUCAAAGGUUUUCCAAGUAUUGUUCCUCUAAACCACUUGUAUAUUUUACCAGAACUCUUGGUUAAGAAAAUCCUAGUCCAUGGAGUAUGAUAUAUCAAUCAUGCAACAAUGACCUACAACAUCUAUGUGGAUUGAUUUUUGCAAAAUAAAGAACAAUGCUGACUGAGGAAUAAGGUGCAUACCCGAUUAGCAAUAUCUCAGCAAGUAACCAACAAUUUUUUAUCUGAUAAGAAAAAAUUACAAUUUCUUGAAUAUACAUGAAACAUUUUGCAGAAAGAACCAUGUCAUAAUUAUUAGUCCAACUGAAGAAUUAUCAAUACUUAUCACAUGAAACGAAAGAUACCCGAGUUCACUUAAUGAAAUUCUCUUUUUUUUUUCUCUAACAUUGAGAUAAGCAAAAACUUUUAACUAAAGACAAUCAUCUAGUGAUCUCAAACAAAUGAGGUUAGUAUGAAACCAUCAUAAUUUGUUCGCUCAUUGCCUAAUUUUAUUAAUGCAAGAGCCUGGAAGCAACUCAAAAAGAAAAUAACCGACAUAGGAAGUGUCAUCUCAUAUCUCACCAAUGAAUGGGAACAGCUUGAUGUGGCUGAGCAAACUGGCAGAAUUGUCAUUUUAACACACGUUCAAGAAACUCAGCAAAUUCUCAUAUCUGUUUAAAUUCCACAGCAAAGAUAGUUACAAGAAAUCUAAUCAAAAUUUAAAAUGUCAGAAGGCAAAUCUUCCAAUUAGGAUCAAAAGAAGAUAAUUAUAAUUUGUCAUUUCAAUUCUGAAUGUACAAUUUUAUUUUUUUAUGUGUGCAUUAAUUAAGAUUCUACCUUCUCUGCAAAAUUGUGAUGGACUUGGUAAAUAAUGAAUUGUAUCGACUUGAAUUUUAUACAACUUAUUGAGAUAAUAAUACGCCAAAUUCAACACCGUCCAUCCCAAAUCACAACAAGAAACUCAAACUUUUAUCCCCUCAAGUGGGUUCUUGAAACUGAAGCUUUAGUGCCAGUACAAUUUUGAAAGAUUGUGAUCAAACUAAAACAUCAAAUAAAAUAAGACGUAACAAAAACACGUCUUCAGAAAAUUAGUAUAGGAAUAAGAUAAGCUACACAGACCUACUUCAAUGAAUUAGAAAAAUUAUGAUAAACUUGAUGCAUUUCGAAAAACAACAAACAAAUAUUCCCAGGAAAACAAAAAAAAGACAACUUUGUUUAAGCUUAGACAAAAAUAACUAAGGACAUAUGAAUGCAUCAUAAUAGUAUCUCUAUGGGUAAUUUUCAGAAAUCUCCCCUAAGGUAUGGUGUAUUCUUAGUUUGAUAGAAAAUAUCUAAGUAUUCUUAUAGACCUCCCCUACUGUUAGUAUUCCAUUUCGUAUAUGUUAGGUAGAUGAGGGUAAGAUCGUAAUUUGAAUAAGUUAAUGAUAAAAAAUCCAGAAAUUUUAAGAUUUUCACAUUGGCCUCUGGGCUUUAUUCAUCUCUUUCAUCCACCAAAACCAGAAAUACAACUCACCUCUCUCCUCCACCUAAAUCGAAGCAAGGUAGCUCAAAACUCAUUUCAAAAAAUUGAUCAAUUACUUGGGUCACAAACUAGAGACAAUGACGACGAAGUUGAUGACGCCAAUAUCGACGACGAAGCUGAUGACGCCAAUAUCGACGACGAAUGAUUCGCAACUGCCAGGUAAGAGAGUAUAGUAGGUUUCGCCAUCGAACGCCCAAUCAUCCAGUUGUUUUGGAGCCGCGUUAUUUUUAUUAGCUAAAAUUAGAAUUUUUAGUGAAAAAUUGAAAGUGGGUCUCAAAAUUUUUUGAGAGCGUAUAUGUUUCUCCUGAUUUUUCGAUCGAUUCGUGUUAGUUGCAGUUAAAUGAUUAAUCCAAUUCGUGUUGAAGAUAGAGCUAACUCGAAUAUCUCUAUAGUCCUGUAAUUGAUUGAAAAUGGGUCUUGAAAAUUGUUUUAGAUUUCAGCUGUGUGCUUCUGAUUUUUUCCAUGGAUUCAUGAUAGAUGAAAAUGGUUGAUGAAGAUUUGCUUGACAUGUAUAUAGAUGGUAUUUUGUUAAAGGGGUUUUAAUUUUUUCCUUUUUUGGUGGUUUCGAUUGUGGUAUUUACAUGCCUUAGGUUGAGAAAAACGAAAAUGGUUUGUUGCACUCUUUUGUGUUGGAUCAGUGAGUUUAGGCGAUUUGAAAUGGUUUGCGGCAUUCAAUUGAUUGUUUUAUUUAUGUGGUUUGAUAUGGGAAAAGUAUAAUAAAAUUCAAUUGUUCCAUAUGUCAAUUUGGAUGUUUUGAAAUUAUGAACUACAAAAAGUUAAAAUUAAUUUCUUAUUAUAUUUUCAAUUGAAAGUUACUAUUGUCUUCUUUUUAGUACUUAGUAUGCAUUUUUCCCCAUCUUCUAGUGGUGGUGUUGCACCCAUUUUGAAUUUGAUCGGCAUCUUCUUCUGUACAUGCAUGUUUCUUGGACUCCAAUUUUUGUUUCAUAUGAUGAAGCUAAUUUAAUUCCUCCUUUUUAAUAUCAACUUUGUUCAUCUAGGUUUGCGAUUUUGAUCUUUCUCAUUUGAAGGCAAACACAUUUAUGUCAUCAAAAUUUCCAAUAUUUUUUAUUUUAUAGUAUCCAAACUGCUUAUGGCAAUAUGAAAUUGAGAAUAUUUCUUUCAUCAUGUUAACCUAAGUGGAUGGUGGAUGAUGUUUGUGUAAGAGAUUUAAGUUAUUUGUAUUAUAGAAUAUGUCUUAUGUUUUGAUUUGCAAUUUCACCAUUAAAUUGGCUUUGUAAAUGAUUAGAAGCUAAAUGCAUAAAAUGAAAACAAUAGUAACAUUUCUGAGUGGGGUAUAAUCAGAUGCUAACAUGGCGAUCCAUGACUUGUAAUUUCUAUUGUCGUUAUAAUUGGACUAGAUCGAGGUAAACUGACUUUUCUUGUUCUGUUUUUUUUUUCAUUUCUUUGUUCUAGAUUUUUCUUUCUUUGUUUUACUUCUGGUUUCUUCUUCAGCAUAUUCAAUAACUAGCAUGAGCAAAUGGAGAGGAAAAGGGUAGAAUAUGCUUUUAAAAAAAAAGAAAAGAAAAAAAGAGAUAGCUCUAAUUCAAAAAUAAGGAGGAGAAAAGGGCAAUGAUUGAAGUUGUGGAGAAGAAAUUCUUAAUGCAUAGGAGAUGACAACAAAGUGUUGCAACUGGGAGCAGUUUUAAAGUGCUAUUCGAUUGCUUUUGUAAUCAAAUUGUCUUUUGUACCUAUUUAUACACACACAUAUUUGUAUUUGUAAUUUGAAUUUUACAUUUUCUCAAGACAACUAUGUUUAUUUUAAAAAAAAUCUAAAUGUAACUAAAAUAUUAAAGUUUUUGUACUUAUUACUCCAUUUGAUGAUUUUUUUUAUUUUUUUGCUGACGAAUAUUCCAUGUCAAUUUUUUUCCCUUCAGCUCGUUUAAGGUGUUUUAUUGUCUGAUGUGAUAUUUGGUGCUCGGGAGGAAGGGUGUUUUAAGUCUUUUUUGGUGUCAGGGGCAAUUUUGUCUUUACAUCAGUCAACAAAUAGUCAAUGGAUGGAAAUGCAAACAGCAGGGGAGGUGUCUGAUAAUACACGGAUACUUUCUAUCAAACUUAUAAUACACAAAAUCUCAGGGGAGGUUUUUGAAAAUUACCCAACUGUGCAAAAUUAUGAAAAAAAUGAGCUAAACAUAUAUAGCAUUUCAGAGGAGUGCUUACUUGACAAAUCACUAAUACAAAGCUGCGAAUGGGCAUUCGGAAUGUUUUGAGAGACUCGUAUGGAUAAAAUAUGUAGUUAUUUAAGUAAUGACAGAAGGAGAAUCGUGUGGCUUGUCAAAGCCGUUAGCUCCAUCUCAUUUGCCUCGUCCUCUCGUUUUGUUUCUGUGGGGACAUAUUUGAUAUUUUGGAUUUUGUCUAAAAUUCGUCAUGUUUUUGGAUACUAACAUCUGCGCCUCUAGACCAAUAGCCAUUUGAUUAAGUGGGAGAACCCUUACACUAGUGUAAGAAUUUGAACUUUUAUAAAAUUAUUUAUGAGAUUAUUUAUAAUUUUUUUUAAUUAUCAAAUAAUUGAGUAGAGUCAGUUUAAUCCUUACGAAAUAUUUACUAUUCAUAAAUAUCUUUUUUUUUCUCUAUCUUACAAUUGAAUAUUCUCUCUCUACUCCAACAUUAUGUAACCUAAAUAUUUAAUUUCACUCUUUUUUAAUUUAUUUUUUUGUCUUUUCUUAGUAUAUUAUAAUCUUUAUUUCAUGUUUUCUAUAUAUAAGAAUUUUUUUAUAUCUAUUAAAUUUUGUGUUUAGUGAAAAUUAAUUUCUUGAUAUUUUUAAUUUUUAUAAUUGAUAAAAAUAUAUCAAUGUUCAUUUUUAAAUGAUGGGUUUUGUUCAUUUUAGUUUGUUAUAUUAAUUUUUUGUAGGUAAAAGAAUAUAUUUGAAUGAAUUGAAGGAAAAUUGUGAAAUUGAGAAGAGAAAGAGAAGAAAAAGUUAAUUAAAUAAUUUUUUCAAAAAUUAUUUAAAUAAUAAAAUUCUUAAUUAAAAACAAAGAUGGAGAGAGAAAUUUAGUGGGUUCAAAAUACUUAUUUUAAAUCCAAAAAAGAACCAAUAAAAGAAAUCAAAAGAUGAUUCUUUUCUUUCUGACAUAUUUCUCUGUACUUUUCUCUCUCUACUGAUUCACAAUUUUUCAUACUUCUAACUAUCAUUUUAUUCAAGUAUUUUGUAUUUUUAAUGACAAUUAUUUAAUUUUUAGUUAGUUUUGAUAUUGAUUAGAGAUUUAAAGUGUAUUUUAGAAGACUUCCGGUCUCUUGAAAAAAGGAAAAAUGGAGAAGAAGAAGUGUUCUUGAUUUUUUGUAGGCGUUAAAGUUAAAUGGUUUGAAAUGAUAUUCUUUUUUAAUUUCACUCAUUAAUCUCAUUCAAGAUAAAAUUAUAAAUGCAAAUAAAUGGGGUUUCAUAAGUAUUUUUAAUAGUGUUAAAAGGUCUACUCACUAAAUAAACAUGUUUAACCCAAACCAAUGCGAUUAGUAAGUUAUUGGGUUGGGUUAAUCAGGUUAAAAAUCAAAAUUAAAAAUUAAAUAAAUAAAAAAGGUAUAAAAACUAUCUGUUACUUGAAAAUAAAAAGAAUUUCUAAUUGUUAGUUCUAAUGUCCCAUAUCCAAAACAUGCAUAUUAAAUAAAUAUUAUAAGUUAGAAAUACAAUAUCCAAGAAAGAAUGAAUGAAAUACCAUAUUUUUGUUGAGAAUUAAGAGUGUGAUUUUAAUUUUGAUAUUGGAGUCUAAAGUGCCACGUUUAAAUAUUCUCUUUUAUAAAAUAAUAAAAAGAGGUUAAAAAUUAGGUUAGCAAUUUAGCCAUUUAGGGUUUAGCAAUUAAGGAUGAACAUAUUAUUGUUGUUGUUGUUAUUAUUAUUAUUAUUUAUAUGUUUACUAAUCCAAUCCAAUCCAAUUAUUAACGAAUUUGAAAAAAUUGAUUCAAUCAAGCCAUAAUAAUUCAUUCAACUCGUCUAAAUUGGAUUAGGUUGAAUUUGGUUUGCCACCCUUGUUUUGAGCAACAAACCUCAAUGUGAUUCCAUGAGCUCUUUGAUUGUUUAUAAAAUUGUUUAUGAAAGUGCAAAAUAAAUUAUUGUAUACAUUAAAAUGUGCAAAACAAUGAAUUAUAUGUACGAACGAGUGCAAACACAUUUUUCAAUAAGAAGUUAAAAGAUAUUUAUGCAUGAAAAAGCCUACGUUUGUAGUUAUUCUAAAUUUUAAAAACAAAAUUUACAUUUAGAUCCCUAAAAUUUACGUAUAAGUACAAAAGUUUCAAAUAUUGUCUAUUAUUUUUUUAACAUGCCUAUUCCUUGUGGAUAAUUCUAUCUCAUCACUAAUGUUGUUUCUUGCUUACAAUUUGUAUAGUGUCUCAAAAUAGACAAUAGGGGGAUUUUGAAUUUUUUAAGUCUCAAUAUAGUCUCUAAUCUUGUGAGAAAGAUUUUCUUUCAAUAAUUUGGAGGUAAACAUAACAUAACUUUUUGGACUAAAGCCUAACUCUGCUGGUUAUGGUGGUAUCCUUUUCAAGACCUGCGUCUUUAGAUUCGAGUUUUAUAGUGUGCAUGCGUAUUUAAUUAAUAAUUUUUUAAAACAAUACAUCAAAUAUUAAUAUCCAUGACAUAAUUUAGUUCUUAAUUUUUUUUUUAAAUACAUCAAAAACAUAAUUUUUUUAACAACUUAUAGGCAUGACAAAUUUCAAGAUAUAAAUAUCAGUCAAAAUAAGUGAAAGAAAUAAUGGUGCCAAUUCUAAUUUCUUAACUAAAUUAAUUAGUGCAUGAGCCCCGAAUACGACACGAGAGUUUGAUGGGCUAACAUGGCACAAGAACCUGAAUAAAUAAUUGAUUUAAGAAAUAAUUCAAUGAAAAAUAUAAUUGAUAAGAAUUCAGUAUUGAAAUGAGUUUUUUAUGAAACACUGAAUUAAUGAUUAUUAAGCAAGAACAAUAAAAAAUAAAUAUUAAUCAUUGAUAAGUUUCAACAAAAGCUUAACACAAUCCUCAAUCCUAAUUCAAAUUAUAAAUGUCAUUCAUAUAUUCAUUAUAAUCAACAACAAAGGUUAUAAAUGUUUAGAAAUUCUAGAGGGAAGGAAGCUAUCGCUGGGCAAUCAACAACUAAAUUUGAUGUAAUUGUGGCACGAGAUGGAAUAUGGAAACUACACCAUAAUUUCAAAUGCCGCCAUAGACAUUGACUUAUCUACAAUAACAAUGAUCUAAUUAAAAUAAAAAUAGAGUUUAUGGGCAUUUAUUAAAAUAAAAAUAGGAGUGAAGUAAAAACAUUUAGAUUUUAAUGUAUGUACGGAAAAAUUUAUCUUUAAAAAUACUUUCUUAAUGUGUGUGUGCAUAUUGAAAUACUCAAACCAAUUUUGGUUAUAUAUAAUUCAACAAAAUUUAAAAUAUGAAAAAUAUAAUGUAGUUAUAGUGGAUAAGCAAUAAGUGAGCACAAUAUAAUUAAUCAAAUACUAUGCUAUCAAAAGUUAAUUUUAGAAAUUCCAAAUCCAAUAGCUAACACAAUUCUUUAAAGAAAUAACAAGGGGCAUUGGGCAAGAGUAAUGAAUGCUUAGUGGGUGCAUUUGAUUGAUAGAUAUAUAAAGGGCCGAAACUUGAUAUUAUAUUACUUUUACAAAAUUUAAUCCAAUCACAUAUUUAAUGAAAACAAAAUGAGUUAGGAUUGUUUAUUUAGAACCCACAUUUUAAUAAGGCUUCAUUUGAUGUAGUUUUUCAAACAUUGAUUAUUUGAGUAAUUACAAAGUACAAUACGUACCAAGUUUGGUAACUUAAUUGACAUCUUCUCAUAUAACCUUCGAUCAAGUCGAUUCUGACCUGACGACUAAUUGGUACAUCACCGUUGUUCUCUAUACUCGCAUGCAUCCGAUCACAAAUCUCACUCCAAUUGUCGUCUUUCUUCGGCGUUUUAGCGCAUCCUUCUUGAAUUUCCCGCAUUUCGUUCCCUCCUGUUACAAGUCUCCGGUCAGGUCAGUUCACUUGACGAUUAAUUCGGCAAAUCUCGAAUCUCUUCUCUAUCCCUCUCGUUUUCUCGUGUCUCCUUUCAGUUUAAGUGAUUGAAUCAAUUUUAUCGCAGUCUUAAGAGAAAUUAAGUAAUGCUCUUGGAUUUAAAAUUUUUUUGCUUUCGACUUUAGAUCUCGAAAGUCAAACUCUGCUACGAAUCCAUAGAUUCUCAAUGUUUAUAAUCUUAUUUGUGUUUGACCAGGUAACUGGAUCGUGAAAUUCGUCGUUUUGUAUCAAUUCAAGCUUUCGCGAGCUCAUGGAAUCCCCUGGUGAGUUGUGGUGAAACGUUAUCGUUUCAAUUUUCGCUUAAUUCUUUAUUGCAUAUUUUUUUCUCUCUAAUAUUUCAGUUUAAUUUAGAAAAGAAAGAGGACCCAAAAAGAGAGAGAGAGAGAGAGAGACUCUACCAUACUCAAUUCCUUGCUCAUUCUGAUUUGGCCUGAAUGUUGGCAUUGACUAUUAUUUGUUUUCAUUUCGAUUUAAUUCUCAUUUAGACAGUCUUUUUUAACUAGCAAUAAUCUUUUUAAGGAAAAUGAUAAUAGGGAUUCUGCAAUAAUCUUUUUAAGGAAAAUGAUAAUAGGGAUUCUGCAAUAAUCUUUCUGCAUUGUUCAAGUUAGUAGACAAUGAAUAGGGUGUUUAUGUUUACCUCAUUUUGAACCCUGAGGGCUUCGUUGAGUAGUUGAUCCAACAUAUCCAGCACCGGUUGAUGUGAGAACAGGAUGCCAUUUAGAUAGGCUUAAACUGAUUUUGGAGGUUUGUAUUCAUUCUAUUGUAUGUCUUGCUUACAAAUUUUUUAUUUUUUAUUUUUAAUUUUGUAUAAUAUGCUCUUUGUUGGUAAAUCUCAUUUGACUUAGAAGAGAUAGUUUUAUCCCAACAGUGGGAUAAAUCAUUGAGAUGCAUGGCAGUGUGAAUAUAGUAGACAAAAUCAUUGAGACAGAUGGUGGUGUGAACAUAGUAAACUUUGUCAAACACAGCUAAGAUAAACAAAUUGUUUCAUUAGCCUUUAUCUUAUCUGCUGUGAUGAUUCAAAUUAAUGCUGUUUGGUAGGUUGCAAAAAACGAAAUGAGCUGACUGUUCAUAUUAUUUAGUCAGAUCUAUUGCAAUAAGUUGAAGUUCACUGUCACAUGGGUUGGGAGUAGCGUGGGCUGUGAGUAGUAGAAUGGAUUUAUGGAGUUGAUACAAGUGCCCAUAAUCUAUCAUGUCAUUCUAGGAUUAAAUGGAUUGCACAUUACUGUAAAGAUGGAGGUUAAAUUUAUAUAAUUCGGAUUGAUUGUAAAAUGGGAGGCAGAGAUGAGUUAGAAAAAAAAUGACCUGUGUCCUUUUUGAGCUGUUUCUAAAUCUCCCUGGUGUGCUUCAUGCUUAACACGUGUCUGUCCAAAUAAUUUUGCUUAACCUGUGCUUGUCUACUUCUUGUGCUAUUCUGUGCCUGGUCCUGAGCUGUGUUGGUAGAUUGACAUAAUUUUGCUCUGCUAAAUGUAUAACUUAUUAAUCAGAGUCCUGUUAUUAUGGUUUGACACUACUGACAUGUUGUGUUGGUAUUUAUUUGUACUUCCCUUGGUUGAAUUAUUUGCUGUCUCCAUGCCAUUCGAUAUGGUGCUACUUGGUUUUUGAUCAUCCAUGACGCUAUAUAUAUGUAAAGGAUGAAUUGAUUGUUUUGGCUUGUAUUCUCACAUUUUAUGAUUGAUCGAUGGAAAGGUCUUCAUGUAUUAAAUUCAACCUCACAAGCGUAAGAUUGACAGAUUGUGGGAAAAUUUUCAGGAAAAGAAACUAGACUUCAUGGAAGCAAUGAAGCUUGAAAUUGAACGUCUGCAGCUGCAUCUUUCUGCAGCUGAAAGGGAUAGAGCUUUAUUGUCAAUUGAAACUGAUCCUGCCUCUAUAAAUCCAAAUGUAUUGCUUGAUGAAUCUUACAUGGGAAGACUGUCGAGUAGCAACCACUCUUGCAUUACUUGGCCAAACUUCCCUAGAAGACAAAAUUGUUGGUGCAAUUGGCCUUGAGAAUAGUGAUGAUAGUGUUUUAGACUUCUGGAAUAUUACUAGAAUCGGAGAGAGUUGUUCUGGUGGCGGGUGCAAGGUUUGUGCAGAAACUAAGGUGCCUGCUCUUGCUUCCUCAACUGCAACAUCUGUUGGAGCUUCACAAUCCCCUUUGUUGUGUUCUCAAUGUGAAAGAAAAGUUUGCAAAGUUUGUUGUGCAGGAAGAGGAGCUCUACUGUUUUCAAAUUAUAAAUCAAGGGAUGUGACCAACUACAAUGGCUUCUCAAGUCAGAGUGGAUGAAGCCAUGGAAGCCAAGUUGAUGUAUCUACCAGUCGUUCACUAACACUGGAUGGCGUUAUCUGUAAACACUGCUGCCAUGAGAUUGUGCCUGAUGCAUUGAUGUUGGACCAUGUUAGGGUCUUGAUUAGCUUGCGAAGAAGUUCCUGUGCAGACAACGCAGUCAUACAAUGCUUUGAAUGAGGUUGUUGGAUCCUGCUUAAAGGAUAGUGUUUCUGAAAGGAUUCAGUCUUCCGAUAACGUGCAAGCUGCUGAAGUCCUUCACCAAUUAUGUGGUGGACAGGAAUCACUUGCUGAAUUUCCAUUUGCUAGCUGUUUGCACUAGGUAUGUUCUUGGUUUGUAUUCAGUUCUCAUCAUGUUAUGUUUUCCUUUUAAAUUUCUUUUCUUGAUUAAAAUUUUUAGAAAUAUGUUUUAGUAUUUGUUCUUAUGAUAUAUGCCCAGAACAUUCAUCCCACUUAUCCAUGAGAAUCCUUGUCUGGUUUGAUUUUCAAUUGAGACAUUUUUGGGAACCCUGAGCAGGUUCCAUAUGCUAAUAAUCUUUGAGGUAAGGUGUUGUAGGAUGCCUUGAGAAGCUAAAAACCUAUUACAAGGAAAAGCUCUUGCAUUGUUUUGUGGAAUCUGUGUUGUGAAAAUAGGUAGAGAAAAAGUUUAUGGAAUAAUUCUCUUAUUUCAUAUGUUCAUGAGACUGUACACAGUCUUUAUAUAGGGAUACAAGAGACUAAGAAAGGAAAGAAAAAAUUAAAGCAGAAUAUUACACACUGAUUUCUAGGAAGCAAUAACUCUAUAUUUACACCAAAUAUACACCUAAAUAUAUAAGGAAAACCAAAUCAAUUUGAUUUGGUCAACCUUUCAACACUCCCCCUCAAGCUGGUCUAAAAAUGUCUUUCAUGGCCAGCUUGCAAACCAAUUUCUCAAAAUGUUUCUUAGGUAGUCCCUUGGUGAGUAUAUCAGCAAUCUGCUCAUUUGUAGGAAUGUAGGGCAUGCAGACCAAACCACUGUCCAGUUUUUCUUUUAUGAAAUGUUUGUCCACUUCAACAUGUUUAGUUCGGUUGUGGAGUACUGGAUUAUGUGCUAUUGCAAUGGCAGAUUUGUUGUCACAAUAUACUUUCAUAGGUAGAGAAUUAUUUGCCUUAAGUUCUUCAAGAACUUUUUUGAUCCAAAAAACCUCACAAAUUCCUAGAGCUACUGCUCUAUAUUCUGCCUCUGCACUACUUCUUGCUACCACAGUUUGUUUCUUGCUGCGCUAAGUGACCAAAUUUCCUCCGACAAAGGUGCAGUAACCCGAAGUGGAUCUUCUAUCGGUUACACUACCAGCCCAGUCAGCAUCAGUGUAGACUUCUACUUGUAGGUGCCCGUUUUUUCUAAACAAAAGACCUUUACCCGGAGAUCCUUUUAAGUAUCUAAGGAUUCUAUAUACAGUUUCAAAGUGUUCUGGUCCUGGAGCAUGCAUAAACUGGCUGACUAAGCUCACUGCAAAGGCUAUGUCCGGGCGUGUAUGUGAAAGGUAGAUUAAUCUACCUACAAGGCGUUGGUACCGAUCUAUGUUGGUCACAUCUUCAAUAUUAGCUGGCUGUAAUUUCAUAUUAGGAUCUAUGGGUGUCUCGGCUGCUUUACAUCCGAGUAAACCUGUCUCUUCAAGCAAAUCAAGAACAUACUUGCGUUGAGACACAACAAUCCCAUCUUUUGAUCUAGCAAACUCCAUGCCCAAAAAAUACUUCAGGUUGCCUAAGUCUUUGAUUUCAAAGUCACGUGCAAGCACUUUCUUUAAUCUGCAAAUCUCAACUAAGUCAUCACCAGUCAAAAUUAUAUCAUCUACAUAUACAAUUAACACGACUAAUUUCCCUUCAAUAGAAUGUUUGUAAAACAUUGUAUGAUCUGCCUGACUUUGGGAGUAGCCGUGUCCCUUUAUAACAUUACCAAAGCGUUCAAACCAUGCUCUAGGAGACUGUUUGAGCCCAUACAAAGACUUAUGUAGUUUACACACUUUACUGUUGCCAUGAUUUCCCUCAAAACCUAGUGGUAAAUCCAUAAAGACUUCUUCUUCUAGCUCCCCAUUCAGAAAAGCAUUUUUAACAUCUAACUGGUAUAGAUUCCAAUCAGAAUGUACAGCCAAUGAGAUAAGGACCCGGAUGGAAUUUAUCUUUGCAACGGGGGCAAAAGUUUCUUGAUAAUCAAUUCCGUAGGUUUGAGUGAAUCCUUUUGCUACAAGCCUUGCCUUAUAUCUCUCAACACUCCCAUCAGCAUUACAUUUAAGUGUAAACACCCACUUUCAACCCACAGUUUUCUUUUCUUUUGGUAAAUCCACAAUCUCCCACGUACCAUUCUUCUUUAGAGCAUUCAUUUCCUCUAAAACUGCUAACUUCCAAUCUGGGUGGUCUAGGGCUUCUUUUAUGGUUUUAGGAAUUGGUAUUUGAGAGAUUUUUGUGGUAAAGGCUCUUUGUUUAUUGGACAACUUUUCAUAGGAAACAUAUCUAGCAAUGGGGUGCUUAGUACAGGUUCGGGUUCCUUUCCUAUGUGCUAUGGGUAAGUCAAGAUCAGGAAAAAAAGUGCUGAAAUGUUUAGGAGAAGAAAUGUUACCUGAAUUUUCUGAGGAAUCAGUGCUUGGAGGCAACGAUUGAGGCUGUAUCGAGUUUAUGAGAGGGUCUUUACUGUUGUGAUGAUACUUUCGAGUAUAAACACGCAGCUCUGGUGGUGGAAUUUUAUCUUGUAGUAUUUCUCCCCCUGUCUCUGGUACAUUAACACUUGGUUCCUGUAGUUCAAGGUUUCCUAGGUUUUCAUUAUUAGAAAUAUCAGUUUUUUGAGUUUGAGUUGGAGUGCCCAGAUCAGGUAAAAACUGAUUAGGCAUAGGUGUAGAAGUAUGCCAAAAAUGAUCUUCACUAUUUUCUUUCUCCCCCUGAAGAGAAUUUUGGCCAAAAAAAGGUUGAUUUUCGAGAAAUAUAACAUCCAUACUGACAUGGAAUUUCUUUGUUUGAGGAUUGAAACAUUUGUAACCUUUUUUAUUAGGUGCAUAGCCCAAGAAAACACAUUUUUCAGAUCUAGGAUCCAAUUUAGAUCUAAGAUGGUUAGGAACAUGAACAAAUACAGUGCACCCAAAGACUCUUAACUGAAUAUUGGAGGUAAUCCUACUAGAAGGAUAUAUAAGUGUGAAGUAUUCUAAAGGUGAUUGAUACUUUAAAACACGGGUAGGCAUCCUAUUAAUCAAAUAACAUGCUGUUAAAACAGCAUCACCCCACAAAUAUUUAGGAACAUGCAUAGAGAGCAUGAUAGCCGACUAACUUCAAGUAAAUGGCGGUUUUUUCGUUCCGCAAUUCCAUUUUGUUGUGGAGUAUCACGACAAGUGGAUGUGUGAAUUAUACCCUUUUCCUUACAAAACACCUCUAGAUAAUUAUUAAAAUAUUCAGUACCAUUAUCUGUAUGGAGUAGACUUAUUUUUGUUUGAAAUUGAUUUUCAACCAUGUUAUAAAAAUCUUUGAAUAACCCCUCAACUUCAGAUUUUUCUCUCAUUAAAUAAACCCAACAAAGCCGAGUAUGAUCAUCUAUGAAUGUUACAAACCAUUUUUUUCCAGUUAAAGUGUUGAUUUUUGAGGGUCCCCAAACAUCACUAUGAAUUAAAUAAAAAGGUUUUGAGGCACGAUAAAUAAGUGCUUUAUAUGAAACUCGAUGACUUUUAGAUAAAAAACAACUUUCACACUGAAAAGUAGUACAAUCAACAUUUUUAAAUAAAUUUGGAAACAAAUAUUUCAAAUAAGGAAAGCUAGGGUGUCCUAGUCUAAGGUGCCAAAGCAUUAUUUGAUCCCUAGCAGAGUUUGAACUAAUACUACUGCUCAAACCUUGAGUUUGUUUAUUCCUUGAUAAGUAGUCAUCAAAAUAGUAAAGACCUUCUCGCAAACUAGCACUGCCAAUCAUCGUCCCCAAGUCCCUGUCCUGAAAUUCACAAUGGGAGUCAAAAAAGACAGCACAACAAUUAGAAUCUUUGGUUAAUUUACUGACAGAUAACAGAUUGCAAGAAAGUUUAGGGACAUGUAGCACAUUUUUAAGCUCAAUGGUUCCAGAGAUUUUUAUUGAUCCUUUUCCAGCUAUGGAAGAUAAGCUUCCAUCAGCAACUCUUACCUUUUUGUUACCAGGGCAAGGAUAAUAGGAAUCAAAUAAACUAGAAAUGCUAGUCAUAUGAUCAGAAGCACCCGAAUCAAUAAUCCAUGGUGCAGUAGUUGAGUGGCUAAAUAGAGCAUUAAUAAUACUACCUGUUUGGGCUAGUGAACCACUAGGAGUACUAGGUGGAGGAUUAGAAGUCAGCAGCUUUAUGAGAUGGUCAAUUUGCUCCUUGCUGAGAUUUUUUUCUAGAUUCUCCACUUCAUUGGCAGACGCACGGCUAUGCUUGCUGUUUUUCCAAUCUGCAGGCUUUCCGUGGAGUUUCCAGCAAGCCUCCCGAGUAUGGCGUGGUUUAUUACAGUAAUCACACCAUACUCGAGGUUUUUGUUGCUGUUGAGUGAUGGAGCGGGUAGCAUUAUCUGCUGUAACAAGGGCAGAUUUUUCCACAGAGACAACGGAGUUCUUUUUUCCCAACAUAACACCUCGACGACUUUCUUCUCUCCUUACUUAAGAGAAAACAUCCUCAAGAGUAGGAAGUGGCUUUCUCCCAAUAAUUCUUCCUCUUACCUCAUCAAAUUCAACAUUGAGCCCAGCCAGGAACUUGAAGAUUCGCUCAUUAUUGACAGUUUGUUUGUGGUGUUUAAAAUCUUCCAUGCUCUCCCACUCGUAGUCGUUGAAUAAGUCCAGAUCUUGCCACAAUCUCUUUAGAGUAUUGAAGUAUUUUGUUAUACUAUAAUCUCCUUGACGGAUAUCUCCAAGAGCAAGCUGCAACUCAUAGAUCUGGGACUGAUUUCCAUAGUCAGAGUACAUCUGACUCACAUUAUCCCAGAGUUCUUUUGCAGUAGAGUAGCACAUAUAAUUUGCACCAAUGUCUUCAUCCAUGGAGUUGACUAACCAUGCCAUAAUCAUGGAGUUUUCGGCAUCCCAAACACCAUAAGAGGGAUCAGAUAUUUCAGGAGCCUUAACAUCUCCGGUAAGAUAACCAAUCUUCCCUCUUCCCCUAAUAUACAUUCUAACCGACUGAGACCAUCUUUGAAAAUUUCCUUCAUUCAGCCGGAUAGUUGUAAUCUGGACAGAAUGAGAUUCAGAAUGGGAAAUUUUUGGUUCUAGUCUUUUUGAGGUGACUGUGGUUUCAGAAGAUUGGUCAGACAUGGUAGGGAAGAGAUCAGAAAGAAAGGGAGCCUAGCUCUGAUACCAUGUGAAAAUAGGUAGAGAAAAAGUUUAUGGAAUAAUUCUCUUAUUUCAUAUGUUCAUGAGACUGUACACAGUCUUUAUAUAGGGAUACAAGAGACUAAGAAAGGAAAGAAAAAAUUAAAGCAGAAUAUUACACAUUGAUUUUUAGGAAGCAAUAACUCUAUAUUUACACCAAAUAUACACCUAAAUAUAUAAGGAAAACCAAAUCAAUUUGAUUUGGUCAACCUUUCAACAUGUGUGCUAGCAAGUCAUGUCUCUAAUAAUUUCAUAGUUUGCUUGAUUGGAAUUUUUUAUCUUGAUAUGGAUUGUUUAUUCUAGAUUCCUUGGUGCUGUAGGUUGAAACAGCAAAAGAUUCAGCACCGAUUUUGUCACUGCUUGCUCCAUUAAAUUCUGGAUCAAGGCACUCAUAUUGGAGAGCUCCACCUUGUACUACUUCUGUUGAAUUUGUUAUUGUUCUCUGUUCUGUUUCUGAUGUCAGUGGGGUUAUCUUGCUUGUUAGUCCUUGCGGCUAUUCUGUGGGUGACACUCCGAUGGUAAGUGCCAUAUUUAUUCCCUUAUUUCCUUGUUGUUCAAUAAAUUUGGUGAUAAGCCAAGUGGCCUUAAUAAUGAAGCCCAGUACCAGGGGUGGUGGGUAAUCGAUAUUCAACUUGUGAAUAUUCCUAAGCAAGCACUGAAUCAACAUAGACCUCGGCAAAAGUUCUCCAUGCUAUUAUAACGAAAGUCAUAUUUUGAAAUGAUUAAAAGAGUCCCUGUGUAGUGCUAUUUCCAAAGAAAUUGCAGCUGGAGGUUUAGUUUCAUGUAGGUUAGUUUCCGAUAAUAAACUUUCCAUUUCAUUAAUUGCUGAUGAAAAAACCAAGUAAGAACAGUUUUGUUGCUCGUCAUUUAUGUAUAUUUUGGUAAACUGUAAUUUUAAAUUCUCAACGAUCUUCCCUUUGUAGGUAAGAAGAUGGUCCACUCACUUGAUAUUUAUGAUUGUAGAUCAGGUUUCUAUUGGUUUGCCUUUAUCAUUCGGAACCCAAGUUUGAUAUUAACAGAGAUCACGUCAAUAAUAUCCUAUUUGGGUAGAUGUGGGUGAGGAUUUAAAAUCAAAUUUGAAAUUGAGGGCAAAGAAGAGAAAAGAAACCGCAAUAAUUAAACAAAAUAUUAGGAACUAUUCUGAUGAGUUUUAAUCUCGAGAGGAACAAUUUUCAAAUGCAAAAUUUAACUGCUAGAGAAAUUGUAGCUUUUUGUCAUUAGUUAAGAGGAAAGAGAAUAAGAACUAUCUGGCCCUUUCCUUCAUGAAUGUGUGUUGAGGUUGCUGUAUUAUUUAGUCAGUAUUUGUAAUUUUCUUCCCUGCAGUGCUCUCUGCCUCCUGAAUUUGCUACUGAGUCCAUAUUUUUCUUUGAGCUGUUGCUUCCUAUUGCUGUUACAGGUACAAAUCUGGGCAAGCAAUAAGAUACACCGGGAGGACAGGUCAUCAAUGGGAAAAUGGGAUGUCCAAUCCCUCAUCACAUCUUCUUCAGAUUUGUAUGGUCCAGAAAAGUCUGCUAGUGUUGAAAAAUUACCUAGGCAUGUAAAAUUUACUUUUAAGAAUCCUGUUAGGUGCCGCAUUGUUUGGAUCACAUUACGUCUUCAGAGACCUGGUUCGGCUUCAGUUAAUUUCGGGAAUGACUUCAGUCUUUUGUCUCUUGAUGAAGAUGAAAACCCCUUUGCACAAGUAGACAGACGUGCUUCAUUUGGAGGAGCAGUUGAAAAUGAACCAUGUAUUCAUGCCAAAAGAAUUCUUGUAGUCGGAAGCCCAGUAAAAAGGGAGGGGCUUACCACAUCACAGAGCUCUGAGCAGCUAAGUAUUAGAAACUGGUUGGAUAGAGCUCCACAAAUGAGUAGAUUCAAGGUAUUAGUUGCUUUCACUCUUUGUUCAUUCAUAAUUCCAGCUUUCUGCUUGAUGCCUUGCCUCUGAUAAACCUCUUUUUUCUCUUCAGGUCCCAAUUGAGGCCGAGAGAUUGAUGGACUACGAUCUCGUCUUGGAACAGUAUCUACCUCCAGCGUCACCUUCGCUUGCCGGAUUCCGUCUAGAUGCUUUCAGUGCAAUAAAACCUAGGGUUACCCAUUCACCUUCCUCAGAUUCAGAUAUCUGGGACAAAUCAGUAACAUUUUUAGAAGACAGGUACAUCUCUCAAGCUGUGUUGUAUUUACAAGUAUCCGCACUCCAGGAACCACAUAACAUGGUAACUAUUGCGGAAUAUCGACUGCCGGAGGCUAGAGCCGGAACGCCAAUGUACUUUGAUUUCCCACGACCGAUACAGUCCCGACGAGUUUCAUUCAAGCUUCUUGGAGAUGUUACAGCAUUUGCAGAUGAACCUUCAGAACAAGAUGAUUCAGGAUUGAGAGCUCCACUUGUGGCCACAGGUUUGUCUUUGUCAAACAGAAUCAAGUUAUAUUAUUAUUGUGAUCCUUAUGAGCUCGGAAAAUGGGCAAGCCUUUCUGGAGUUUGAUCGUUAUUUAUAUGUCAGAGAAAGGGUUUUGGGUUUGAUUUUGAUUUUGAUUUGUAAUUUUUGUCAGUUUAUUGAAAUUUUUUGUUGUAUAAAAGCAGAAUGUAAAGGUAUAAAAAUUCAUUGAUGCUGCAAUGUCUGUGCUUUUGAGAAAGAAAGAAUUCUAUGGCUUUUCUAUGCCAUUGGAUUUUCCACUGCCUGUAAACUUGGGCUGUCGAAUGCUCUGUGAACCUUAAGGGCUAUAAAGUAAUUUUCAAGACUGAAGGAUUUAUUAAUCGAGUUCAAAAGAUUGCAAGUUGGUGAGCGUUGGCAUUUAAAAAAUCAAUUGUUAUUCUCUCAAUAAUCUCUGUCUUCUGCCGACACCCCAUGCUCAGAAACCCAUUGUUCCGACGGACGUGUAACACUUCUAGAAAUUGUUUUGAUCUCUCCUCGUGAAGUGUUUUCUUUUUCGAGUGAAGGUGGUUUUCUACUUGCAUACGUCGGGGGUCUUAUGAUAUGUAAUGUGUGAAAUUUCUUUCUCAUUUUACCAUAAAGAAAAAUGUUGUAAUAAUCUAAAGCUCGAGUCUUAAAUUAUCUUAAAUUUAUAUUUAGAGUGGAGCUAUUCGCAAUCCUACAUUAAAAUUACAAAUAAAAAUAAUUGAAAAUUAAACACUUAUAGAUUUUUUUUACAACAAAUUAUUUAAUUCAUAAUCAAUCCUUUAAAAAAAAAAAUCCAUAUGUUACUUGCUAUCUAACUAAAAUAAAUUUUACAAAUUUAGAAUAAUCUAUUGAUUUCUUUUGAUUUCUUAUUAAUUAAAUAUUUUUAUACAUAAAAUUGCUUUGAAAUUAUAAUUUGAAAUAUGUGUUAUUUCAGCCAAUGAUUAACACUAAAAAACUUAUCACCCAUAUAACUUUUUAAUUUGUGUGUAGGGUAAUAAUAAAAUCAAAAAUAAUUAAAAAAAUAGUACAAUAAUGAGUUUUAACAAUAAAACAAAUCAAAUGAAAAUUGAAAAUUUAGAAAAAAUGUAUCUAAAAAAGGGAACGUUUUUUAAAAUAAAAUGAAUAUAACUAAAAAGGGGUUUUAUGAGAAGAGCAGAGGGGUGCCAAUAGUCCAACUUGUAAUUAAGAAUCUCCCAUUAUAUUGUCAACCAAAAAGACACUUGAAUAAGAAGAAGAAUUUAUCAGUUUGAUUUUAUUUAUAGAUCCAACAUUUCUCAUAUCCUAAACGCCUUUCCGUAUCAAAUUAAAACAGUAGUCGCAAAAUCGUAGUAUUAAAAUCGUAGUGCACAUUCAAUUAACCAACUAAUAGUCUUUGGUAUAAGAUUUUAUAUUAGCUAGCCAAGUAGGUUGUCCAUCCCACUCAGACAUGAACGAAAGCUAAAUUCAUCAAAUGGUGUUAUACUAUUAAAUAUUUUUAUAUUUAAAAUUACUUUGAAAUUAUAAUUUCAAAUUAAAAUAGUAGUAGCAAAAUCGUAGUGCACAUUCAAUUAACCAACUAAUAGUCUAAGAAGCAAAGAGAGGAUUACAAGUUCACAACACCAUUACAAAGGAUUCAAAAUUCCCACACGAAAACAUCAAUGUACAGAUUAUAAACAAUCCGAAUUGGACACAAGAAAAAGCCCUUCAAUGGAUUGCUUUCCUUCCCAAUGCUAUAUACUGUGCAAACUCCGCACUGGCCAAGAAAAUGUUUUCAAUUUAGUGUAUUUUCAAAUUGCUUAUUUUCUCAUAAUAUAAAAAAUAAAAAAGAAUCCUUACAUGUUUCAUCAGCAUGAUUAAAAUCAAAGAAGAAAGCGAAGACGUAAUGUCUCUGACAUAAUAAAAUUACAAAAAUUUCAAGGAAAAAAAAAAGGUUAAAACAUGUAAUCUUCAGAAGCAUAUAAUAAAAGAACACUUCCACAAAUUACUACAAUUUCAUGCAGUAGAGAUUGAAGAGUUGAAUUCCACUAAUUUUAAUAAUGAAAACAACAACAGAGGAUUAACUGAUGCUUUGACUUAUUAGCAGGUUGCUUUGACUUAUUAGUUCUGCAGCUAAGUUAAAUAAAAUAAGCUAUUUUCAAAAGCAAAAUGGAAUACAUAGAUAAAAACAUCAUCUUAAACAAAUCACAAUCUAGAAUUAGAGCAUUUUCGACAUACCUAAGGAACACGAAUACGUGAAAACGGGUGAUUUAUUUGUUAAGGAGUGUUGAUUUGGUCGUCUCUGCAAAUUCUUUAGGGACUCGGUUCCAAUUCCUCUUCAUCAAAACUGUAAUAUAAUUCCCCUUCAUCAGAACUCGAAUCGAUGCAAUAUAAUUCCCCUUCAUCAGAACUCGAAUCAAAUUCACUUGCAGCAGUUCCACUCGCGCUUGGCAAAUCAUCCAAUUUCCAAACUUCGGUAACAAAAUUGAGAGUAAAAGUGUUGGCUUUGAUCUCGCUGGGAUUUGCAUAUACUGGACAUACUCCGCAACGUUUUAUCUUCUGACCCUUUUGGACCUUUAUUAUGUUUCGGUGACACUCAUUGAAGAACUUAAAUGUGGCAGUUGAAUGAUGGUCACCAUCAGGAAAGCCAACAUUCAAGCAAGGUUUAAAACCAAGUAUGACAUGAUCUGAAUCAUGGGGGUCUUGAAUUGAGUGCAAAUUGUAACCCAGAUGAACAUGUUUGGUUUCAGAGAGAGUCUUUAUUUCUAAGUCGGAUCGACAGUAAACGUAAAAAUAACGAAAACGAUCAGAAUAAAGUUGCUUAAAAUCAAGAACAGCACAAAAAGCAAACCCGAUUAAGUUUCUGCAAAAAGAGUGCGGUGGCAGUUGAAUACGUAUCGAAGAUCCUGAACUUUGAUUGCUGAACCAGUCAGGAAUUUCGCUCCCAGGUAAAACAAUUUGGGAUCCCCUGAGUUCAGAAAGUUUCUGCGAAACGACAUUUAAAAAAAGAAAAUUGUAAAAUGAAAACCAUGAUUUCAGAUAUAACAAAGAGGGACAGAGUAAACAAGAGAGGGAAUUUGAUACCUCGUUGUAUGCAUUUUCAUAGCCCAGUCUCAGUGAUGCUGCAAUUGCCAUACGUAGUGAAUCUGCCAAAAUCUUGUUGUUUGCUUUUCCAUCAAGUUUCAAGCAGUUAGUAAACUCAAAACAAAUUGGUUGUGGCGUCACAUAUUCCGGAUGCCAUUCACGAAGGUCAGGAGAGGGUUUGGAUAGCUUUUCGAGUACGGAUGCAUCUAGUUCUUGUACACAUGACGGAAUCUCUGGCAAAGAUUGAAGCCGGUUGCAGUUCAUUGCUUUUAGUGACUGUAGACACAAUGGAAGUUCUGGUAAUGACCGAAGCAUGUUACAAUCCUCCAAGUGAAGAGUUUCUAGACCCAAUGGAAGUGCUGGUAAUGACUGAAGCAUGUUACAACGCCUCAAGUAAAGAGAUUUUAGACACAAUGGAAGUUCUGGUAAUGACUGAAGUAUCUUACAAUCCCUCAAUUCAAGAUAUUUUAGACACAAUGGAAGUUCUGGUAAUGACUGAAGCAUAUUACAAUCCUCCAAGUUAAGAUAACUUAGCCACGACAGUUGCUUGAUACUUGCAGGUAAACUCUCAAAGUUAUUUCCACUUAAAUUGCCAAUGUUAUCCGGCAACUUGUCAAGUAUAGAGCAACCACUUACGGACAAAAAUGAAAGCCCCGGUAGAUUUUCAAAUGGCGAUGGCAGCUCUGUAAUUGCCGUCCAGACUAAAUAGAUGCAAUUUAAAUGUUCCAUUUUCUCCAAGAUUUCUGGGAAACGCUCAAGGUUCAAGCAGCCAAAAAGAAAAAGAUCAACCAAAGAUCUCAAUUUACAGAACCUAGUUGAAAUCCUCUUCAGCCGUUUGCAAUGCCCCAAAUCCAACACUUCAAGAUCAGUUAGGCACUCUAUUGAUGAUGGAACUUCUUCUAUUGCAGACUGGCCUAAGGAUAGCUCUGUGAUUUUCCCAGAAAUCCGUGGAAACUCUUUGAGAUUAACACAAUAGGAGAAAUUAAUAGUUACUGGACAAACAAAAUGAAGAUUGCUUGGAAAAGACCUAAGACUUUUGCAGCCCUCAAAAGACAACGCACUGAGAUACUUGAAAUUCUGGAUAGAUGAGGGAACACAAGCCAAGUUUGUAUAAUCCAAAAGAUUUGUUUCAACAUUUGGGGUUUCUAAUGGGCCUGGCAUCUUAAUGAAAUGUCGAGAAUGAUUGAGGUUAAUAGAUUUUAACUUGAAAGCUUCCUGCAAUAACAGAUAUAUAAAGACUAUAUUAAUUAAAAAGCAACAUUGAAUUCAACAAUUAAUUGCACGUAUGUUUAAAGAAAGAAAAAAAUUAAUGUUUUAGUUUUAGUACAAAACUUACCUUUUCUCCUUCCCAAAGUUGCUCAACUUUACUAAAACGCAAAUUCAGUUCAACAAGGUUCAUUGGCUUGAAAUUUGAUGGCAGUGUCCUUAAUGGAUAUGUGUCCCAAUGAAGAUAUCUCAAUUUUUUAGGAAGAUAAUCUAGGCCAUUUGGAAGCUGCACUUUAGAGUAUGAAAGUUGCUCUUCAAUGCUCAUACUUAGAAACCUUUCAAUCUCAGGUACAUAAAAUUUGAGCAAUCUUAGAUUAGACAUUUUUGUGAAGGCUCCUGGGUCUAAAUUGAUGCCUUUUAUUUUGGACAAAUCCAGAAAUAUGCCUUCAAUUGCAUCGGUCCCCUUAUUAAAAAAAAAAAAAACAAAGAAUGAGUAACCCUAAAACAGAAAAGAAACAUUCGUAAACUUUAUUAACUAAGAGCUUCUUAAACAAAAACAAAUUCUGCAAUCUUUGAUUUUAUUUUUUUAAUAUAUUAAAUAUCUAUAUACGAGAAAAGAAAAUUUUGGGGACCAUUGCAAAAUUAAACUAACCGAAAAAAAAUUCAAAAUUUCUCUAAUUUACAAACCUGUUAUCUUAAUAACUAGAAGUUGAGAAGACAAGGCCUAUUUGAUUGGUAUAAGAUUUCGAUUUGUUUUUUAGUCCAUAGAAUCCAAAAUGUUAGUUCAAAAUUAGGGAAAAAAAAUGAAAGUUAUUUUUUUUCCACUAGUUGUAAUUGUUUCCAAGUCAAAUUGAGAUACGACCCUUUUCGAAAGGAUUUAAUCAUCUUAUAGCCUCCUUAAGAUACAUUUAAGCUAAAAGGAGUGAUUGGAGGCAGAACUAGGUGGGCCAAUCAGUCCCUUUUAUUAGUGACUGUUGCUUAAAAAAAAUUAUACUCUAAAACACACUUACUUUUUUGAAAAAAAAUAUAAUUAUAUUGAAGUAGAACCAGGUGGGCCAAUCCUCAUGGCACUCACUUUGUUCUGACACUCUUCACUAAAUUUGAAGAAAAAUAAAAUUAUACUCUUCACACUCUUAUUCAACAUUCCAAAAUUGAUAAAAUCUAGAGUUUUCUUUAAAAAUUUAAAAUUUGAAGACUUGUUCUCUUGACAUCCUCAGUCAUUAAUUUCACCUAAUUAUGGUUUUUAUGAUUUUGGUUGUUUUGUUCAUAAAACAAUUUUACUAAAGGAUGUUCUCGUAAUAAUAAAAAUUAUAAAAAAAACAUGGGUGUGCUGGUAUGGUUGGGAAAAUACGAGUACAGAACUCCAAACAAAUAAAAGAUUUAUAUAAAAAAAAAUGGAGGAUUCUUACCAUAUUAUGCUUUAGUACGCGGCGGAUUUCCUUAGGAUCCCACAACCUACUACGUCUGCCUGGCACUUCCUCAGAUUCUUGGCGAACAGUCUCUUGGCCCAUUUCUUGCAAUAAAUCAUGCAUUUGCAAGCGGUUAUCUGACACAGUUAUGAGUGACUUGUCGACGAGGACAUCCAGUCUGUGAGACCCAGAAUCAUCAAGUAUCCUUAACACAAAAUCUUUAUCCUCUCCCUCAAGGAAACACGCAAUAUCUAGAAACAUACUCUUCACCCUGGGCGUUAAUUCUUUAAAACUAAUCUUUAAUGUAUCAUAAAUACCAUGAAUAUCAGAUUCACAAAUCCGAUUUAAGUCGUGCAAUACAUUUUCCCAAUGGCUUUUCCUCUUGAGAUACAGGGAGGAACCCAACACUUUAAGAACUAAUGGAUUGCCAUCAGCAUACUCUACAACUCUCCACGAGUCACGUUUGAAAUCUUCAGGACGAUGCUUUUCUUUAAAAGCGAAGUUACAAAAGUGCUCGAAAGCCUCAUCAAAUUUCAAUCCAUUGACCCUAUAUAUUUUCUCCACUCCAAAUUUUUCGAGGACUCGUUUAUCCCUGGUGGUUACAACAAUUCUACUUCCUGGACCAUAUUGAUCAAGCCCUCCAAUCAAACCCUCUAAUUGUUCAUCUUUAUUCACAUCAUCGAGUACAAUCAACACCUUCAUGCGUCGGACCCUCCCUUUAGUAAAUUGUGGAAUAUUGGGACCAGCUACUUCAAGUUUUUCACUUAAUAUUGUCGAAAGCAUUUCCUUUUGUAGGUCUUCUAGGCCACCCUCUGUUUCUGAUUUUCUCCUAACAUUUUUUGCAAAGUAUUUACCAUCAAACUCACCAGCGAAUUGAUCGAAAAUAGCUUCAGCAAGGGUAGUUUUGCCUAUACCGCCCAUACCCCAAAUUCCAACAAUUUGGACAGUAUCCGACAAAUCCAUACACAAAAAUGGUUUAAUCUGCUCAAUUCGUGAAUUUAAUCCAACUAGGCCGUUGGAUGAGUCCGUUGAGACUGUUAUUUUUUCCAACUUCUUCAAAACAUCUUCGACAAUUUUGUUUACAAGUUGCGCAUCAAGCCUAAUAUGAAGGUGCAAAGAUGCAAAAACAUUGAGUCAAAUCGGGCCAAGACAGAAACAGAGAAAAGAUGAAUUAGGAAAGAGAGUUACCUGAAUUUCGUGGAUUCAUGGCCGGCUAGAUGGGAUGUUUCUGUCAGUGCAUCCCUCCACUUCUGAACCAUUUCUUGUUUAUCUUUGAACUGUUUUUUGAGCUCAUCAAAACGGUCUCCAAAUGUUCCGUUUUGAUGCCGCACAUCAGAUGGACUUACUCCAUAGAAGAAUGGAAUAAUAAUUUGGCCGUUUGUGUUCUUGCAUUCAAGAAUCUUGACAAGUUCAUUCAGGCACCAUUUUGAAGAAGCGUAGUCCUUCGAGAAAAUGACCACCGAAAUUUUUGAACCUUGGAUUGCGUUCAAAAGGGCGGGUGAAAUCUCAUCUCCUCGCCUAAGCCCUUCAUCAUCAAUAAAUGUUUUGAUUUUCUUUCCUUCAUACAAUUUAUCAUAGAGAUAGCAAGUAAAGCUCUUACGAGUGUCCUCCCCUCUAAAGUUGAGGAAGACUUCAUAAUUGGCACAAGAAGAAGAGGAAGCCAUGAAGGAAAUUUUAGAAAAUUGGUGACAGAAACAGAGAAUUAAUCUUGAGAGUUGAGAGAGGAGAUGUAAGAAUGAACAUGUGCGAAGAUUCUUGCGAGUACAUAGUAAAUAAUUGAAUGGCUGGAGCUUUCUUAGUUUCCUGGAAAUUUCCUGGAGCUUUCGUAUACAUGAUUUGUCAAGUCAUGAAACAUAAUCAUGAUAAUGGGGCAGACCGAAAAGAAAAGCAACAAUUCAAAUAUUUGAUUCAACCAGUAUAAAAAGGAAGGAAAAGCAAAGAAAGGAAAUGUUGAAAGUAGAGUUAGGGAAUUAUAAAAAGCUGAAGGAAAUUGGAAUUUUGUACAAUUUCUCCAGCGAGGAACUUUCACAGUCGUUACCUCAUUGUUACAGUUUAGAUUAAGAUUUGAGGGUGCAAGCAUUUACCUAGAUUUUACCUCCGCACUAAAUUCUUAAGUUUGAAAAAUUAUGAGACCUUUAUAUUGGAAGAUAUUAUAAUCGAAUCAAAACUUAAAAUUUUAAUAUUGUUAAUCUUUAAUCUUUAAAAAAAAUUACCUUGCCGUUACAAUUUGGAUUAAGAUUUGAAUAAGCAUUUACCUAAAUUUUAUCUCCGCCUGUAAAUUCUUAUGUUUUAAAAAUUAUGAGACCUUUAUAUUGGGAGAUAUUAUAAUCGAAUCAAAAUUUUGAAUUUCAAUAUUAUUAUUCUUUUAAAAAAAAUUUGAGAUAACAGAGUGAUUGAUAAUAGAGAACUUGUCUAGGCAAACACAUGCAUACACAAAAAUGUGAUGGAUUCAAAAAGAAAUUAAAGUGAUAAUGUACGUGGAUCCUUAAAACAAAAAGCGAAAUCGCUUGGUGGCCCAGUAAAAUUAAGACUGAAUAUUUUUUACACGAGAAGUGUAGCUCAUAAAUGGCAAAAGCCAUUUCAUUUCACUUUUACGCGUCAUUGACUUUUGUAACAUGGUGCAUGCAUCGUCAAGUGAGGCAAAAGGGUUUCGAUUACAGUGGGAAAACAUGAACAAGAAUGCAUAAUGAAUAAUUCCUUUGAUAAAGCGAAAAUUAAACACAGAAUAAUCCUAAAAUUUAAACUCUAAUAUCUUAUAAUUUAAUGAUUAAAAAUAAUCCUAAGAGUUCCCAAUUGAAACUUUCAGAGAUAAUAGAAAAUAGCUAUGCUUUAAAAGGCCAAAGAUUAGAGAACAAAGAAGAAUUAGGUAUUGAUAUAAAAAUUAUUAAUUUUUUUGAUUUCAAGCAAAAAUAGUUUCAUAUACCAUUUCGAUUUUGGUAGGGGUGAGGUUUUGAACUUCAAUAGUUUCCUCUAAAAUCAAAAGGUAGUAAUUAAGUUAGAAAGAGCAAAGAAGACUUAUCGGUACCUUAUUGAAGGUAAACAUUAUGGAACUUUCAAUGUCAUUACCCCACUGUUUAAUUUUUAUUGAGAUUUGUGCAAGCAUUUACCUAAAUCUUACCUCUGCCUGUAAAUUCAUAAGUUUUGAAAAUUAUGAGACCUUAUAUCGGGAGAUAUUAUAAUCGAACUAAAACUUAAAAUUUCUUUUCUUUUUUUUUUUUUUUAUCAUAAAAGGGCUCUUAAGAGAGCUAAGGCAACACUAAAUGGGAGUGUGCAACCCCAUGAACAUCAUUAAUCAAUAUGUUUAGCGUAUUUGGAGGAAUAGAUUGAAAGCAAUGUAAACCCAAAGGAAAAGAAAAGCUGUACGAAGUAAGGAAAUCUGCUGCUACAUUGGUUUCUUGGUAGAUAUGAUCCACUUUGAUCAGCCAAUCACGCCGAAGGAGUUCUUCGAUGGCCUGAAUGAGAGUAAAAUGCUCAUUGACGGGAGGGUUUGAGUUAGAGAUUAACUUCAUAACACACAUGCUGUCCACUUCCACGUAAAACUUAAAAUUUCAAUAUUAUUAUUCUUUAAAAAAAAAUUGAGAUAUCAGAGUAAUAUCACAUAGAAAAACUUGCCCACGGACGGUAAGCCAAAAGUCUAGUCAACCACAUGCAUAAAGCUAAGUAGAACAAGAGAACAGAGAAACGCGUGGGUCCCUAAAGAAAAGGCAAGCACAUAAAUGAAAAAGCCAUUACAUAUCUAUUAACACGGUGUGGCAGCAUAUGCACAAUCAAGUGAGGCAAAAGGGAUUCGAUUAUCGUGGCAGAACAUGGACGAGGACGCGUGAUGAAUAAUUCCUUCGUUAAAACCAAAAACAAACGCAGAGAAAACAAUUUCUUAUAUGACAAGAAAUCAAAGUAAUGUGAAGGAACAUGAUGAAGAAAUUGCAGACUGAUCAAUUAUCCCCAUGGACUCCUAUAAAUUCAACCAAAAUAACAAUUCGAAUCUUACCAAAUUCUUGAGUUAAAUUUAUUCAAUGCUUUUAUUUUUUUAGAAAAUUUUUUUCCAAUGCUACUUUUCCUUUUUUGGGGAAAUUAGAACCGCGGCAUGUAUAGAAAACAUUGAGGUGUAAAGCAACAUUAAUUUCAUGGGAUAUGCGUUAUACGCAUAAUAUAUUUUCAGUCCAAAUUCAACUAUACAAAGAGGCUUGAGAACUUAAAAUUAAGCACAAACUAAACAGACGAAGUAAAUACAUGAUUAUGCAACAUAACAUUAAUUCUCUCAAUUGAUAACUGUUUUUGCUACAUGAAUCUUGCACAGUUAAUCCUAAUUGAAGACUAAAAAAGAGCAAUUGGAAGAAGGUUUUGGAAUAGAAUGGUAUACAAUCGAUAUGAUCCUUUUCCAGUAGUCAACGCUAAUUAACUGCAGUUUCUAGACUCCUAAUUAUACUAGCCAUAGCAAACUAUUUAGAAAACUGGUGAUCAAAUUAGAUUUUGAAAGGAAAUAAUGUUCAUUUUCCCUUCGCUGCCUUUUCUUUUCUUUUCUUUUUAUAGCAAAGAAUUAUAUCAUGAAAAGAAUCAAUUUAAUCACCUUUUCCAGCAGCCCAAUUUUUCUUUUAUAAAAUUUGACCACGGAGACAAAGAAGAAUUAUUCAUAACUUCAUCACUAAGGAAAUACUUUUCGGUAUGGCUAGGGUGAGAAAAUGCUUUCCACUAACACUUGUACUUUGUAUUCUUGUAAAUUUUCUUUAAAGUCAAUAAAAACCAUAAGUUCUUUGCAAUAACCAUCUCUUUGAUCAAAAAGUGCCGUAUUCCUUUAGAAUUUAAAACCGGCAAAACCGAAUCAGUGUCUUUGAAGAGACAUAAUGGUCGUAAUUCUUUAAAUGAGUUGGCUAUGGAAAUCCUUAUCCAAGAUUCUUUUAUGCCAUAUUCUUUCGUAAACCAAAAUUCAUUUUGAAAUACUCUAUUGAAAAUGUCAAAUAAAACGGCAUUGAAGGAAGUUUUCAAAGGCAUAAUCCGCACUUGUCAAAGGGAUGAUCUGCACUUGUCAGAGACACGAUCCGCGUCGAACGAAUCGACACAUUUCCUUUCGUAUUCGCAUAUGUAAUCUUUGAAAAAAUGUAGCUUCCGCAUCUAUAAAUAACGCUCAGUGUAUAAUGUUUUAUUCAAGAAAAGAAAACAAAUUUCUUCAUACUCCUUGUCCGAACAUACAGAGACAGUCUCUCAUAACUUCAGCCGAAUACUUAUGAUGAUGAUCAUUUGUGAUUUCAUCAGGCAUAGGGUUGAUGGUGAAAAAUUUUGUAUGUGUGAAGAAUUGAGCUGUGGAUAUAGGGGACUUAAGUGUAAUCGAAAGAGAGUUAUUAGGCCAUAGUGCAGAUUGCAUUCAGUUUAUGGGUCGAUAUGCAAAUAAUUUGUUGACGUGGCGAAAUCUGUUAUGGUCGUUACUAUUGUUUCUGGAAAUUUUCUAGAAACCUCAGCAUAAAAGGGGCUUUUGCAUAGCCUCUGGUGUGCGUGUGAUUUCUCUUUCGUUUCCUCAUCAAAUUCUGUAAUUCUUGCUUUGAUAAAAAGCUUGUAAUCAUUUCUGUAAUGUGUGAUCAGUGCGUAAUCAUUUUGAGCAAUAAAAGCUUGUGGGUUUUUCCUUCAAACAGUGUCGUUUUGGUCAGUUUGUUAGUUUGAUCUGUUGGUGGAAUUUUCUUUGGUUAUUUGUUCUCAAAUUUCAACCGUAUAUAAAGUUUGAACUCUAAUGGCUUAUAAUGUAUUGAUUAAGAAUAAUCCUAAGAGUUCCCGAUUGAAAUUUUUAAUGACUAUUUUUAUUGUUUUGGAUAUACAAAUUGCAUUAAGAAAAAAUAUUGUCAAAUUCAGAGGAUAACGGGAAAUAAUUAUGCUUCAAAAGACCAGAGAUUAGAGAAUAAAGAAGCAUUCAUUACUGACAUACAAAAGAGAAACACUCCAAAAUUGCAAGCAAACUAGUUUCAUAUACUAUUUGGAUUUUGGAAGGGGUGAAGUUUUGAGCUUCAGUUGUUCCUCUAAAUAGCAAAGAAGACUUAUUGGUACCUUACUGAAGCUAACAUUGUGGCACGGUUGUUCAUAUGUAAUGGCUGCUCUGUUAUGGUAGCUUCUCUGUUUUUGCUCACAGUUUUGAACAUGAAUUCUUGCUCAAAUAACCCAUAAUUAAUUAACAUUAAAAUGGCUCGUGAAAUCCCAUAAUAGCUAAUUACGCAACUUUCUCCUCCUCCUCAAUUAUGUCUUCCCCUGCUCGUACAAUAAAUUCAAAAUUCAAUGCCCCGAAAAACAACACAAGAAAUCUUUGAGUUAGUUCGUGACCAGUUUAUAUAUAGUAGCAAUUGAAAAAAGAAAAAGAAGAAAAGAGUUAAUUAUUAUUCAGACCUUCACUUAUUAGGAAGUUUGUUCUGCUAUUGGGUGAGGUCAAGCUCUCAGCAUAUACUUCCACAUGAUACUUUCUAACAUUUUCUUGAAAGCCAUCAAUCAUAAAAUCUUCAUACUUUUUUCCAUCCUUUGGAUCAAUGAGUACAAAUUUCUCAUCUAAAACAGACAAAAUAAAAUCACUGUCCUUCAUGGAACAUAAUGGCUGCAAUGCCUGAACUGAAUUGGCUAAUGAAACAUAGUCUUCUUUUCUUUCUCGACAUGGAACAUAGUCUUCUUUUCUUUCUCGACACAUGUCUCUGUACUUUUCUCUCUCUACUGAUCCACACUUUUUCAUACUUCUAACUAUCAUUUUGUUUUUUUUUUUUGAGUUGUGAUUUAUUCAAUUAUUUUGUAUUUUUAAUGACAAUUAUUUAAUAUUUAGUUAGUGUUGAUAUUGAUUAGUGAUUGAAAGUGUAUUUUAGAAGACUUCCGGUCUCUUGAAAAAAGGAAAAAUGGAGAAGAAGAAGAAGUGUUCUUGAUUUUUUUGUAGGCAUUAAAGUUAAACGGUUUGAAAUGAUAUUUUGUUUUAAUUUCACUCAUUAAUCUCAUUCAGGAUAAAAUUAUAAAUGCAAAUAAAUGGGGUUUCAUAAGUAUUUUUAAUAGUGUUAAAAGGUCUACUAACUAAAUAAACAUGUUUUACCCAAACCAAUCCGAUUAAUAAGUUAUUGGGUUGGGUUGAUCAGGUUAAAAAUCAAAAUUAAAAAUUAAAUAAAUAAAUAAGGCAUAAAAACUAUAUGUUACUUGAAAAUAAAAAGAAUUUCUAAUAGUUAGUUCUAAUGUCCCAUAUCCAAAACAUGCAUAUUAAAUAAAUAUUAUAAGUUAGAAAUAAAAUAUCCAAGAAAUAAUGAAUGAAAUACCAUAUUUUUGUUGAGAAUUAAGAGUGUGAUUUUAAUUUUGAUAUUGGAGUCUAAAGCAAUAGAUAGUACAAUGAAAUCAUGAAUGCUACGUUUAAAUAAUCUCUUUUAUAAAAUAAUAAAAAGAGGUUAAAAAUUAGGUUAGCAUUUAGGGUUUAGCAGUUAAGGAUGAACAUAUUAUUAUUGUUGUUGUUGUUGUUAUUAUUAUUAUUAUUAUUAUUAUUAUUAUUUACAUAUUAAUUAAUCCAACCCAACUCAAUUAUUAACGAAUUUGAAAAAAAAUGACCAAAUUAAUCCACAAUAAUUCAUUCAACUCGUCUAAAUUAGAUUAGAUUGAAUUUGAUUUGCUACACCUACAUUGAGCAACAAACCUCAACGCGAUUCUAUGAGCUCUUUGAUUGUUUAUAAAAUUGAUUUAGAGUACAUAAUGGAGUGUAUCGACAAUGAAAGUGCAAAACAAAUUAUUGUAUACAUUAAAAUCUGCAAAACAAUGAAUUAUAUGUACGAACGAGUGCAAACACAUUUUUCAAUAAGAAGUUAAAAGAUAUUUAUGCAUGAAAAAGCAUACGUUUGUAGUUACUCUAAAUUUUUUAAAAAAAAUUUACAUUUAGAUCCCUAAAAUUUACGUAUAAGUACAAAAGUUUCAAAUAUUGUCUAUUAUUUUUUAACAUAUGCCUAUUCCUUGUGGAUAAUUCUGUCUCAUCACUAAUGUUGUUUCUUGCUUACAAAAAACAAAUGUCAUCUCCUUUUACAAUUUUUAUAGCGUCUCAAAAUAGACAAUGGGGGGAUUUUGAAUUUUUUAAGUCUCAAGAUAGUCUCUAAUCUUGUGAGAAAGAUUUUCUUUCAAUAAUUUGGAGGUAAAGAUAACAUAAUUUUUUGGAUAGUGUGCAUGUGUAUUUAAUUAAUAAUUUUUUAAAAAAAUACAUCAAAUAUUAAUAUCCAUGACAUAAUUUAGUUCUUAAUUUUUUUUAAAUACAUCAAAAACAUAAUUUUUUUUAACAACUUAUAGGCAUGACAAAUUUCAAGAUAUAAAUAUCAGUCAAAAUAAGUGAAAGAAAUAAUGGUGCCAAUUCUAAUUUCUUAACUAAAUUAAUUAGUGCAUGAGCCCCGAAUACGACACGAGAGUUUGAUGGGCUAACUUGGCACAAGAACGUGAAUAAAUAAUUGAUUUAAGAAAUAAUUCAACGAAAAAUAUAAUUGAUAAGAAUUCAGUAUUGAAAUGAGUUUUUUUGUGAAACACUGAAUUAAUGAUUAUUAAGCAAGAACAAUAAAAAAAUAAAUAUUAAUCAUUGAUAAGUUUCAACAAAAACUUAACACAAUCCUCAAUCCUCAUUCAAAUGAUAAAUGUCAUUCAUAUAUUCAUUAUAAAUCAACAACAAAGGUUAUAAAUGUUUAGAAAUUCUAGAGGGAAGGAAGCUAUCGCCGGACAAUCAACAACUAAAUUUGAUGUAAUUGUGGCACGAGAUGGAAUAUGGAAACUACACCAUAAUUUCAAAUGCCGCCAUAGACAUUGACUUAUCAUAAUAACAAUGAUCUAAUUAAAAUAAAAACAAAGUUUAUGGGCAUUUAUUAUUUUGCCAUUCCUCAUUUGCAAAUAGGGAUAUAAUUAUAAUUUUACCUAGUCAAAGCAAUCGGUAGUUUUCUUCAUUAUAGGAGUGAAGUAAAAACAUUUAGAUUUCAAUGUAUGUACGGAAAAAUUUGUCUUUAAAAAUACUUUCUUAAUGUGUGUAUGCAUAUUGAAAUACUCAAACCAAUUUUGGUUAUAUAUAAUUAAACAAAUUUUAAAAUAUGAAAAAUAUAAUGUAGUUAUAGUGGAUAAACAAUAAGUGAGCACAAUAUAAUUAAUCAAAUAUUAUGCCAUCAAAAGUUAAUUUUAGAAAUUCCAAAUCCAAUAGCCAACACAAUUCUUUUUUUUUUAAAAAAGUUGACACAAUUAAUAAAAUUAGCGACAUGAAUUUCACGCCAUUGAUAAUCAGCAAUUAGUAUUACUUUCUAAACUUGCUUCAACUGGUCGUUGAUGUCCGGGUCACCAAAAGUAUAAGCGAUAAUAAGGGGCAUUGGGCAAGAGUGAUGAAUGUUUAGUCGGUGCAUUUGAUUGAUAGAUAUAUAAAGGGCCGAAACUUGAGAUUAUAUUACUUUUACAAAUUUUAAUCCAAUCACAUAUUUACUGAAAACAAAAUGAGUUAGGAUACUUUAUUUAGAACCCACAUUUUAAUAAGGCUUCAUUUGAUGUAGUUUUUCAAACAGUGAUUAUUUGAGUAAAGUUUCCUCAAUAGAGUUUUUAUCAAAUAAAUUUUAUUUAUUUGGUUGUCGAUAAGAACUUUUAUUAAAAAUUAUAAAAUUAUUUAAAUAAACAUAUUUUUUAAAAUUACAUUAUAAAAAGAAUUAAAUAAAGUUAUAAAAGUAAAAUAUAUUUUAGAUAUUUUAAUAUUUAAGAAAAAAAUUUUGAAUCUCUACUUUCAGAAGCUCAAAUUUUUAGUUUUUAGUUGUAGAGACAAAAUAUCUUAUUUAAUCUUUAAAAGUUCUGCUAAAAACAAUCAAAUAACUAUAAAAUUUUUAAUAAGAGUAUAUAAAAUUAAAUAAGCAUUUAUUAAUAAUCACUUUAGUGUACUUAUCUAAUGACCAUAAGUGUUUAUUUAAUCUCAUAAGUUCUUAUUUAAUCUCAUGAGCUCUUUUCAAUUUUUUUUGUUGUUUGCUUUUUUUAGUAGAGUUUUUGAAAAUUAAAUAAACUAUUUUGUCUCUAUUAGGAAAAACUCAAAUUUUAGGUUUUUGUGAGUAAAUGUUUAAAUUUUUUUUAAAAUAUUAAAAUAUUAAAGUAAAAGUUGUAGAGACAAAAUAUCUUAUUUAAUGUUUAAAAGUUCUGCUAAAAAUAAUCAAAUAACUACAAAAAUUUUAAUAAGAGCAUAUAAAAUUAAAUAAGCAUUUAUUAAUAGUCACUUUAGUAUACUUAUCUAAUGACCAUAAGUGUUUAUUUAAUCUAAUGAGCUCUUUUUAAUUUUGUUUGUUUGUUUUUUUAGUAGAGUUUUUGAAAAUUAAAUAAACUAUUUUGUCUCUAUUAGGAAAAACUUAAAAUUUAGGUUUUUGUGAGUAAAUGUUUAAAUUUUUUUUAAAAUAUUAAAAUAUCUUUUCUUUAUUUCAUAAUCUUAUUUCAUUCUUCACAACAUAACUUUAAAUAACUCACCUAUUAAAAUAAUUUCACAAUUUAUAAUAAAAAUUUUAAUUGACAAUCAAAUAACAAAUUUUUUUUUAUAAAAACUCUAAUAAUAAAAAUUCUACUUAAAUAAAUUAUAUUUGAAAAGGUAUACCAAACGAACCUAACAUAAAAACAAAAAUUUUUACAUCCACACAAUUAAGCUUAAAACAAUUUCAAAUGAAUUUUAGACUACUCAAAGUACAAUACGUACCAAGUUUGGUAACUUAUUGGGGUCCGCUUGUAAUACAGCGUCUGUAUCUCAUACAGCCAAAUUUAAUAAUUUAUUAAGAAAAAGGGCAACCAUUAGAUAGAAGUAGAUACAUCCAACGGUUAAAAUGUUUGAUUACUCAUUUUGGCGACCGGAUAUGCCAGUUAUUAUUUCAUCAAUUAACUUACCUAAAAAAUCACAGCCGUUGGAUUGAGAUGCCUCUCUUUCCCUCAAAAUAACAGCCUUCGUAUUCUCUCUGCUAUUGUUUUCUCCUACAUCCAGAAUUUUGGAUGAAUGAACUUGGUAUUCAACAAUAUUCACCACCCAUCACAGCAAAGAGCAAAGAUGUAGUCAAAGGAGUGCCAUUUAUUCAGGCUAACUCGAUCUGUCACUCUCGCUUCAAUUCGUCACUCAUUUUCUCGCGCUCAGCUUCAAUCUAUCACUCUCAGCUUCAGUUCGUCACUCACAGCUUCAAUUUUUCACUGUCGUGAAUCAUCUCUCUUGCUGUAUCUCUCUCUUAUGUCUUCCAAUAAUUUCGGUGAGCUCUCUCUCUAAUUUAAUAUAUGAUUAAAAAUCUUAUCAUCUUAUCAUGUCAUUUAAAUAUGCUUGAAGUUUCAAUUUAGUUUAUGAAUAUUACUUGAAAUUUCAGUUUCAAUAAUUUGAUUUUGCAAUUGAGAAAUUAUUACUUGAAAUAUUGAGAUGAUUUCUAGGGAUUGAUAAUUGAAUGAUAAUUGCUAAGGCUUGUCAUUUUUUGUUUUUGAACAGAUAGAGUUACAAUUAAGUCAUACUGCAAUAUUUUAUCUUGAGAUUCUAUUAUUCACAAAAAGAAAAAAAUCAUAAAUUGAAAAAAAAAAAAAAGAGGUUACGAGCAUCAAGCAACUGCAAGUAAUGGGGUUUGUUUUGAUGAGCUGCGAAUUGGGGCCUGUCAUUUUCUUGAAGUAUCUUCAAUAUAAGUGGAAGGAGAUUUCUUCUCUCCAAAAAAUUAUUGUAUAUUUCCUUUUAAAUUCUAGAUUCGCAUGUAGCUGAUUUUUUAUGUUUGAAGGAUUUUAUUAAAGAAUGUGCUGCUGCUAGUGGCAUGAAUUAAUGUAGUCUCGCUAGUAUUCGUGAUUUGGGGUAAGGAUCGAAUUGAACAAUUAUAUUUCUAUUAUUCUUAUAUUCGAAUCCAGUGAUAUUGUGGUGGUUUUAUGAUAAUAUUCAAUUGUUUUGUGCCUCAAAUCAGCCAAUGAGUUGGGUAUGUGCUGGGUAUAUGCCGUAUGGGCUUGUUGUUGAAUUUGCUUGACCUUGGAUGUGAUUCUUGCCGUGUUUAUAAGAAAUAGACACAGGUCUUUGUGUGGUAAUAGAAUUGUCUAAGGUGCCUUACAAUAAAUUUAAGAGUCUUAAGUAACUAUGCUUUGUAACCUUAAACCUUUAUUUGUACGACUUGGUGUUCUUGGUUGUGAAAGAAUGUUAAAUGUUGACCUAUUUUCAUCGGUGAAGAUAAAUGAAGUUAGGGAAGGUUUGUAAUCACUAUAACCCUGACAAUUUUUUUGGUGGGCCGUGAUAAUUUUAUUCAUGGCAUGUACUUUGUUUUUAUCAGAAGGCCCUGUUUGCUUGUAGUCUCAAAUCUAGGGUAAUAUUUUAAAUAAGUUCUGCAAUAUAUGUUUUGCUAUUUUUCUUUUUUGUUUUUAUUUUAAUUAGUUUUAGUAUUACUUGGAGGGGAAUUCUGAUCUGCUGAAGUUUAUCAAGCUGGUGCAGUGGUGCAGCAAGCAGACCUUUAUCUUAAUCUUAUGAUUGUGCUAAGUGGAAUUUUGUGUAAGUUACAACAAUAUAAUUUUUUAAAGAGCUGACAAGACGCUCUCUCUUUUUUUUGGAAUGUUGAGCAAAACUUUUCUUUCUUAUUAGGUGUUUAUAAUAAUUCAUAGCAUGGGUUUUGUCAUAUUGGUUUCAAUGCAUUGAUUUGAUCUUGGUUACAACCCAUCAGCCCUUACUCCUCAUUCCCAGCAGCUUUUAAUGCCUUUUUUUUAAGCAUUGUACUUUGUUUCAUGAUGAAAUUUGUUUAUAUGACGCAAAGUUGAGGACACGGUAAUAGUCAUUAUUUUAAUUUAUGCAACAAAGAUCAUUAUCCAUUAAAUUUUAUGUUGUUGAAAUAUUUAGAUUUUGUAAAUUUUGUUGUAAGAAAUGAGGGCUCUUGAUCCCAUCCCUUUAUUAUAUACAAUUUUUUUUCACUCUGUCAUUCAUUUAUUGUGUGUUAGAGGUAUUAGUCAUGUGCAAAAGUAAAGAUCUUUAUUUUGUUAUUUUUGUCAUCUUGUGCUUCAUUGGUAUAAAUGAGGAAAAAAAAGAAUAAAAUAAAAUAAAAUUAUAGUUUGUGCAUGAAUUCCACCAUAUAUGAAAUGUUUAAUAGAUUAAAAAGUAAGGAGUACACAGUGACUUUGAAUAGCAGGUGGGGGAACUCAUUUUGUUUUAAAAAAAAUUAAUACAUAUUGAUAGAAUAAUUAUCCUUCACUUAAUUAUUUAAAAAUUUUAUUUUGGAAGAAUACAAAUGGACAGUCACCAAUGAAAGCGUAAACGACUACCAGGGGGCUUACAGAAAAAAUUGCUCCUAUUCUAAAAGUAGAUGGUCAGGACAAAGUUCCAACAACUUCAACUUAUGGAUUUGUCUCUUACUUGUAAGGUAAUCUCUUCUUGUAGGGUGUUUAAUUGAAUUAAAAACAGAAUAUUAUUUGCAUUAUAGAGUACAGGCAUAAAUUCAUUAUCUAUGUCAGUUCAUUCAUGAUUUUACUCCAAAUGGAGUAAUAGAUCACCAUUAAUUUAUUGAUACAUCGUCCAUGUUUGUUUUCGUCUUCAAUUUUUAUAUUACAAUAUCUAAUCUAUUUAGUAUUCGUAAAAAAACAUACGAGAAAAAGUUGGAAAAACACUUUAGGGGUGAUUGUGUACACUUUCGUAUGGCACAAAUAGCGUUAGGCUUUGUUUUUUAAGUGGACGACGUGUCCAUUUUUUGUGUUACAUCUUACUCAUUAAUAUAUUUUUGAGUUUCUUAUGGAAAAAAAAUUGAAAAAACACUUUAAGUGAAAAAAAUUUGUAUUUCAAUUUAUAUGUAACAGUGAAUUGGAAAAUAAAUUCUACCAAUAAUUAAAAGAAUACUUUUCUUUUAAUUAUUAAAAAGAUAAGGUAGUUACUCAUUACCCAUAUAAAUGGACAGUUUUAAUUUGUUCCAUAUCUAUACAACAGAAGAGCUUCAGACACGGUUUGCAGCGUUCCACGAUCACUUCCAUUCUAAGCAGCAGCGUCUUCCGUCUUUUUGCACACCAACAGCAGAUUCUAGAUGGCCAGAAGCUCAUCUGCCGCACUCUCGGGAUUUCGCUGCCAUCCUCAUCUUCAUCUCCACUACCUCCUCAGUGAUUAUCCCCUGGUUUUAUGCUCAGAAAUUAUGAUUAUUAUGUAUCUUGUUUUCAGAUUUGUCAAUACUUGUUAUAUUUUGAUUAUGCAUUAUGGACAUUUUUCAUAAGAUAGCUUAAUUUUGUGGUUUGUGUUGACGAUUUCCAUGUAUGGAUGUUUGGAUAGGUAAUUUCGCCUUCCAUGCAUUCUUCAUUCCUGCAUCCUGUGGGAGAAAAUUGGAAAAAGUGGUUUUUGAUGAGAAACGGGGAGAAGGAUGAGAUAUAUAUUUUUGAAGUGUCACAUUAUUUCAAAAACAAACCCCAAAUUUAAUUUCUCUUACCGAUCAUGAGUUAAAAUAUAAAAAUUAACGUUUACUCAUCACACUGUUAUAAGUAUCAAAGCAUUACUUAUAGAAAAAUUAUCGUCACCUAUCCUACAUUUGUGAUUGAAUAGUGGCACAAUUUUAAUUGGGAUAUUUAACAUUACUCUUUGUAAUUGUUUGGUCUUAUUUGAAGUUUGUAAAUUUUUCAUAACUAUGACUUCAACAGCAUAUUUCAGGUUGCAUUUAAUCGUUGCUAUAAUUAGGUACUUUGAAAUAAUUUAUUGGCCACGAUUACAGUCAUUGUUAUUAGUCACCCCUCUUUUUUCUCUUUUGGCCAACCAGCUCUUGGAUAUUUGGGAACCGAUGACAAUAGUUGGGAAAUUAUGUAAUAUUGGUGUGUUUGCGAAAUAAAUCAAGAGAUUUGCCUUGCCGAAGUUAAAAGAGAUAUUGUGGCCUGAAUUUUUUUUUUUUUUCUCUAGGGGCCAUGGCUCUCAAGGACAAGGCAUGAAUCAUGCAUUAUAAUUGCUCGAAAGGGUUAGUAAAAUAGCAAUCUAAAAUACCCAAGUUGGAUCUGCUGUUGAAUCACAAAAAGAACAUAAUUGGGAUAUGAAGUCAUGGUUGCAAGUGUUGGACCCUUAGGUUACGUUUGGCACGUAGGAUUGGAUUGAACUAAUUACUAAAAUUGGAUUGAAUUAUAUUCGAUUGGAUUAAACUGGAUUAUAUUAUAUAGUUCUAUGGUUAGUACAAUAUCGGAUUAAACUAUGUUAAAUUAUAUUUAAAUAAUAUUAAAUAGCAUUUAAGUUGGUAUUUUAAUAUUAAUAUCAAUUAUUCAUGAAAUUUCAUAAUCAUAAUUAAAAUAAAUUUAAAAAACAAUUACCAGGAAAAUUAAAUAUAUUGUAAAUAAGUUACUGGGUAGUCAUAAUACAGUAAACAAAUGAACAUAGAUAAAAAAAUUAAAUUUUAAAUAAUUUUUAUCAAAUUUUAAAAAAAAAUUAUAUAAAAUCAAUUAUUUAAUGGUAUUAUUAAUUUUCAUGAUUAUUUUUAAUAGUAUAUAACAAUGAUUAUUAAAUUUAAUACAAUCAAAUAAUGCAAUAAAUAAUUAAACAUUUAAUUUUAUCAAUAAAUUACUAAAUAUACAAGUGGUGAAAAUUUAAUCUCCAGAGUUAGUACAAGUAAAGGUAUUAAUUUAAUUAGAUCAUAGAUAAUAAAUAAAAAUAAGUUUUAAGUAAAUCAUAUUAAAAAUUAAUUAAUUAAUUAAUACUAGGUGUAAAUAAAAAAAAUGAUAUAAAUAAAAAUCUCAUAAAUGGACAACUUUUUUCUUUAAUCUUAUCCCAACUAAACCCAUGCGUAAAUUAGGAUUAUCAAUUCCAUGAUUUUAGGAUUAAAUUUAAAUUACUACCCCCUUAAUCCAAUCCAACUAAGCUUGCCAAACAUUGGAUAAAUAUUUAAUUCCAAAAUUAGUCUAAUCCCAUACUUAAUCCUAGAAUCCAAACAUGGCAUUAGCACCUUAUAUAACAAAGUGUCACUGAAAUACAGCAAAACGUUAUAAACAAGAACUUAUUUCUGUACAAAAUGUUAUUUACUUUUUGUGAACUUCCAAAUACCUACUAUAUGAUUUGCAAACCCUACAAAAGUCUACCUUGCAUGCUCUUUCUAACGUGAAAUUUGAUUUUUAUUAAAUUUUUGAUGUGUUCACUAAUAAAUAAUUGGAAUCUAAAAAAAUUAGAAAAAAAUAGAAUUAGAAUGAGCUACAAUAAAAAUGAGGAAUAACAAAAAAAAUGAUAUUUGUUGAGAUGAAUGAAACACAAUUGAAAUACUCUAUAUCGCUCUUAAUAUGUUCACUUUGUGAACAUAAAUUAGAAUUAGUUGUUAUAACUUAGUAAUUUAUCCUCAAUCAAUUAUUAUCAUUAUUACUAUUUGUUAUAAUAAUUGUAAUUAUUAUUUUUGAUAAUUUUAAUACUAAGAAAAUUAUUGUUAGGGGUGGAAACACCAUAUAGAGAAGGAACAAUUAAAUUUAUAAAAUUUAGUGGGGAUAAAAUAGUCACUUAAGACAGCAAGCGUCUCCCAUUCUCACCUCCACGAGCAUGAAAACACUAGUAAUCAUUCUUAAAUUUUGAUGGAAUCUGUUGCUUUUAUUCUAAUAACGAACGCAAAACCUAUGGAAUUAGUUGGAAUAACGAAUGCAAAACCUCUGGAAUUACAAUUGAAAUACGUCAACCCAAAAUGGAGAAAGCACAACUAAAAUUAGAGACCUACAAAACCAAAAAUAAACUUAUAGAAAACAAACCCGGUACCUAAUCUCAAUAAUUGGAAUCUCAACCAGUUAAUGGAAAUAUUCAACUCAAAAUUAGGGAAAAAUUAGAUGAAACACGUGAACCAUUGAGAGAGAAAGUAUGACGAAAAUUAGAAACUCAUUUAACGAAAAAUAAUAUUUACUUGGAAUCUAACCCAUGAUACUGGUACCUAAGGAACUUUAUAGGAAUAUGAAACGCAAAACCAGUGGACCAAUAAGUUGAAACAUGUGAACCAAAAAAUGAAAAACUAUAACCAAAUCUUGAGACUAAUCAAACCAAGCAAAAGUAAUAUUGAUAUUUAACCCAUAUAAUUGGAAUUUUACCAAAUUAGUUGGAAUAACGAAUGUAGAACUUGUGGAAUUACAAUUGAAAUACAUCAACAAAAAAUGGAGAAAGCACAACCAAAAUUAGAGACCUACAAAACCAAAAAUAAAUUUAUAGAAAAUAAAUUUGGUACCUAACCACAAUAAUUGGAAUCUCAACCAGUUAAUGAGAAUUCUCAACGCAAAACUAUAGGAAAAAUUAGCUGAAACACAUGAACCAUUAAGAGAGAAAUUAGAACGAAAACUUGGAACUUAUCCAACGAAGAAUGCUCGUGACUUGGAAUCUAACAACAAAUAUUGGUACUUGACUAAUUUAGUAGGAAUAUCAAAUGCAAAACUCAUUGACCAAUAAGUUGAAACAUGUAAACCAAAAGAUGAAAAAGUAUAACCAAAACCUGAGAAUAAUCAAACCAAGAAAAAGUAAUAUUGAUUUUUAACCCAUAUAAUUGGAAUUUUACCAACUUAAUUGGAAUAACGAAUGCAAAACCUGUGGAUUUACAAUUGAUAUACGUCAACCCAAAAUGGAGAAAGCACAACCAAAAUUAGGGACCUACAAAACCAAAAAUAAAGUUAUAGAAAACAAACCUGGUACCUAACCUCAGUAAUUGGAAUCACAACCAGUUAAUAGGAAUAUUCAAUGCAAAAUUGGGGAAAAAAUUAGAUGAAACACGUGAACCAUUAAGAGAGAAAGAACAACGAAAACUAGGAACUUAUCCAACAAAGAAUGAUAGUUACUUGGAAUCUAACAGUAAAUAUUGGUACUCGACGAAUUUAAUAGGAAUAUCAAACGCAAAAAUAGUGGACCAAUAAGUUGAAACAUGUGAACCUAUAGAUGGAAAAGAAUUACCAAAAUUUGUAACUAAUCAAACCAAAAAAAGUAAUAUAGAUAUCUAACCCAUAUAAUUGGAAUCUCGACAAAUUAGUUGAAAUAUUAAACAAAAAACUAGUGGAAUAAUAGUUGAAACACAUGAACCAAAUGUGGAGAAAGUUUAACCAAAUUUUGAAACUUAUCCAAUGAAGAAUGCUAGUUACGUGGAAUCUAACAACAAAUAUUGGUACUCGACGAAUUUAAUAGGAAUAUCAAACGCAAAAAUAGUGGACCAAUAAGUUGAAACAUGUGAACCUAUAGAUGGAAAAAUAUUACCAAAAUUUGGAACUAAUCAAACCAAAAAAAGUAAUAUCGAUAUCUAACCCAUAUAAUUGGAAUCUUGACAAAUUAGUUGAAAUAUUAAACGAAAAACUAGUAGAAUAAUAGUUGAAACACAUGAACCAAAUGUGGAGAAAGUUUAACCGAAUUUUGAAACUUAUCCAACGAAGAAUGCUAGUUAUUUGGAAUCUAACAACAAAUAUUGGUACUCGAUGAAUUUAGUAGGAAUAUCAAACGCAAAAAUAGUGGACCAAUAAGUUGAAACAUGUGAAUCUAUAGAUGGAAAAGCAUUACCAAAAUUUGGAACUAAUCAAACCAAAAAAAGUAAUAUCGAUAUCUAACCCAUAUAAUUGGAAUCUCGACAAAUUAGUUGAAAUAUUAAACUAAAAAUUAGUGGAAUAAUAGUUGAAACACAUGAACCAAAUAUGGAGAAAGUUUAACCAAAUUUUGAAACUUAUCCAACGGAGAAUGCUAGUUACUUGGAAUCUAACAAAAAAUAUUGGUACUCGACGAAUUUAGUAGGAAUAUCAAACGCAAAAAUAGUGGACCAAUAAGUUGAAACAUGUGAACCUAUUGAUGGAAAAGCAUUGCCAAAAUUUGGAACUAAUAAAACCAAAAAAAGUAAUAUCGAUAUCUAACCCAUAUAAUUGGAAUCUUGACAAAUUAGUUGAAAUAUUAAAUGAAAAACUAGUAGAAUAAUAGUUGAAACACAUGAACCAAAUGUGGAGAAAGUUUAACCGAAUUUUGAAACUUAUCUAACGAAAAAUAAAUUUAAUUGGAAUUUAACCCAAAAUAUUAGUGUUUAACGAGUUUAGUGGGAAUAUUAAACAUAAAACUAGUGGAUCGGAAAAUGGAGAUAAGCAAACCAAUUAGUGAGAAAGUUGAAUCAAAAUUAGGUAUAUGUGAAAUUAACUUGGAAUGUCACCUAAUAUAUUGAUAUUUAACCAAAAGAAUCGAGACAUGCUCAUUUUAAUUUUUUUAAACUUUUGUUGCAAUUAAAAAUAAUUUUUUCACUUAAAUAUUGUUUGUGUUAAAUAUUUACAAAAUUUCCUUAAUUUUUCCUGUUUCAUUUUAUUUUUUCUACAUUAAAAAUAAUUUUUUAAAAAUUAUUAAAUGAACAACCGGUAAAAUACCGGUUGUUCAAGUUUCCUUUUUACUGUUGAAGGGGCUGUAUUUUAUACAGCACUGUACUAUAGGAAGACUCAACUUAUUGACAUCUUCUCAUAUAACCUUCGAUCAAGUCGAUUCUGACCUGACGACUAAUUGGUACAUCACCGUUGUUCUCUAUACUCGCAUGCAUCGGAUCACAAAUCUCACUCCAAUUGUCGUCUUUCUUCGCCGUUUUAGCGCAUACUUCUUGAAUUUCCCGCAUUUCGUUCCCUCCUGUUACAAGUCUCCGGUCAGGUCAGUGAUUGAAUUUCCCGCAUCUCUAUCCCUCCCGUUUUCUCGCGUCGUUUCACUUCAAUUUCUCGUGUCUCCUUUCAGUUUAAGUGAUUGAAUCAAUUUUAUCGCAGUCAUAAGAGAAAUUAAGUAAUGCUCUUGGAUUUAAAAUUUUUUUGCUUUCGACUUUAGAUCUCGAAAGUCAAACUCUGCUACGAAUCCAUAGAUUCUCAAUGCUCAUAAUCUUAUUUGUGUUUGACCAGGUAACUGGAUCGUGAAAUUCGUCGUUUUGUAUCAAUUCAAGCUUUCGCGAGCUCAUGGAAUCACCUGGUGAGUUGUGGUGAAACGUUAUCGUUUCAAUUUUCGCUUAAUUCUUUAUUGCAUAUUUUUUUCUCUAAUGUUUCAGUUUAAUUUAGAAAAGAAAGAGGCCCCAAAAAGAGAGAGAGAGAGAGACUCUACCAUACUCAAUUCCUUGCUCAUUCUGAUUUGGCCUGAAUGUUGGCAUUGACUAUUAUUUGUUUUCAUUUCGAUUUAAUUCUCAUUUAGACAGUCUUUACUAACGGUCAAUAAUAGUUUAAGGAAAAUGAUCAUAGGGAUUCUGCAAUAAUCUUUCUGCAUUGUUCAAGUUAGUAGACAAUGAAUAGGAUGUUUAUGUUUACCUCAUUUUGAACCCUGAGGGCUUCGUUGAGUAGUUGAUUCAACAUAUCCAGCAACGGUUGAUGUGAGAACAGAAUGCCACUUAGAUAGGCUUAAACUGAUUUUGGAGGUUUGUAUUGGUUCUAUUGUACGUCUUGCUUACAAAUUUUUAAUUUUUAAUUUUGUAUAAUAUGCUCUUUGUUGGUAAAUCUCAUUUGACUUAGAAGAGAUAGUUUUAUCCCAACAGUGGGAUAAAUCAUUGAGAUGCAUGGCAGUGUGAAUAUAGUAGACAAAAUCAUUGAGACACAUGGUGGUGUGAACAUAGUAAACUUUGUCAAACACAGCUAAGAUAAACAAAUUGUUUCAUUAGCCUUUACCUUAUCUGCUGUGAUGAUUCAAAUUAAUGCUGUUUGGUAGGUUGCAAAAAACGAAAUGAGCUGUCUGUUCGUAUUAUUUAGUCAGAUCUAUUGCAAUAAGUUGAAGUUCAUUGUCACAUGGGUUGGGAGUAGCGUGGGCUGUGAGUAGUAGAAUGGAUUUAUGGAGUUGAUACAAGUGCCCAUAAUCUAUCAUGUCAUUCUAGGAUUAAAUGGAUUGCACAUUACUGUAAAGAUGGAGGUUAAAUUUAUAUAAUUCGGAUUGAUUGUAAAAUGGGAGGCAGAGAUGAGUUAGAAAAAGAAUGACCUGUGUCCUUUUUGAGCUGUUUCUAAAUCUCCCUGGUGUGCUUCAUGCUUAACACGUGUCUUUCCAAAUAAUUUUGCUUAACCUGUGCUUGUCUACUUCUUGUGCUAUUCUGUGCCUGGUCCUGAGCUGUGUUGGUAGAUUGACAUAAUUUUGCUCUGCUAAAUGUAUAACUUAUUAAUCAGAGUCCUGUUAUUAUGGUUUGACACUACUGACAUAUUGUGUUGGUAUUUAUUUGUACUUCCCUUGGUUGAAUUAUUUGCUGUCUCCAUGCAAUUCGAUAUGGUGCUACUUGGUUUUUGAUCAUCCAUGACGCUAUAUAUAUGUAAAGGAUGAAUUGAUUGUUUUGGCUUGUAUUCUCACAUUUUAUGAUUGAUCGAUGGAAAGGUUUUCAUGCAUUAAAUUCAACCUCACAAGCGUAAGAUUGACAGAUUGUGGGCAAAUUUUCAGGAAAAGAAACUAGACUUCAUGGAAGCAAUGAAGCUUGAAAUUGAACGUCUGCAGCUGAAUCUUUCUGCAGCUGAAAGGGAUAGAACUUUAUUGUCAAUUGGAACUGAUCCUGCCUCUAUAAAUCCAAAUGUAUUGCUUGAUGAAUCUUACAUGGGAAGACUGUGUCGAGUAGCAAACACUCUUGCAUUACUUGGCCAAGCUUCCCUAGAAGAGAAAAUUGUUGGUGCAAUUGGCCUUGAGAAUAGUGGUGAUAGUGUUUUAGACUUCUGGAAUAUUACUAGAAUCGGAGAGAGUUGUUCUGGUGGUGGGUGCGAGGUUUGUGCAGAAACUAAGGUGCCUGCUCUUGCUUCCUCAACUGCAACAUCUGUUGGAUCUUCACAAUCCCCUUUGUUGUGUUCUCAAUGUGAAAGAAAAGUUUGCAAAGUUUGUUGUGCAGGAAGAGGAGCUCUACUGUUUUCAAAUUAUAAAUCAAGGGAUGUGACCAACUACAAUGGCUUCUCAAGUCAGAGUGGAUCAAGCCAUGGAAGCCAAGUUGAUGUAGCUACCAGUCGUUCACUAACACUGGAUGGCGUUAUCUGUAAACACUGUUGCCAUGAGAUGGUGCUUGAUGCAUUGAUGUUGGACUAUGUUAGGGUCUUGAUUAGGUUGCGAAGAAGUUCCUGUGCAGACAACGCAGCAUACAAUGCUUUGAAUGAGGUUGUUGGAUCCUGCUUAAAGGAUAGUCUUUCUGAGAGGAUUCAGUCUUCCGAUAAUGCGCAAGCAGCUAAAGUCCUGCACCAAUUAUGUGGUGGACAGGAAGCACUUGCUGAAUUUCCAUUUGCUAGCUUUUUGCACUCGGUAUGUUCUUGGUUUGUAUUCAGUUCUCAUCAUAUUAUGUUUUCCUUUUAAAUUUCAUUUCUUGAUUAAAAUUUUUAGAAAUGUGUUUUAGCAUUUAUUCUUAUGAUAUAUGCCCGGAACAUUCAUCCCACUUAUCCAUGAGAAUCCUUGUCUGGUUUGAUUUUCAAUUGAGACAUUUUUGGGAACCCUGCGCAGGUUCCAUAUGCUAAUAAUCUUUGAGGUAAGGUGUUGUAGGAUGCCUUGAGAAGCUAAAAACCCAUUACAAGGAAAAGGUCUUGCAUUGUUUUGUGCAAUCUGUGUGCGAGCUAGUCAUGUCUCUAAUAAUUUCAUAGUUUGCUUGAUUGGAAUUUUUUAUCUUGAUAUGGAUUGUUUAUUCUAGAUUCCUUGGUGCCACUGUAGGUUGAAACAGCAAAAGAUUCAGCACCGAUUUUGUCACUGCUUGCUCCAUUAAAUUCUGGAUCAAGGCACUCAUAUUGGAGAGCUCCACCUAGUACUACUUCUGUUGAAUUUGUUAUUGUUCUCGGUUCUGUUUCUGAUGUCAGUGGGGUUAUCUUGCUUGUUAGUCCUUGCGGCUAUUCUGUGGCUGACACUCCGAUGGUAAGUGCCAUAUUUAUUCCCUUAUUUCCUUGUUGUUCAAUAAAUUUGGUGAUAAGCCAAGUGGCCUUAAUAAUGAAGCCCAGUACCAGGGUUGGUGGGUAAUAGAUAUUCAACUUGUGAAUAUUCCUAAGCAAACACUGAAUCAACAUAUACCUCGGCUAAAGUUCUCUAUGCUAUUAUAACAAAAGUCAUAUUUUGAAAUGAUUAAAAGAGUCCCUGUGUAGUGCCAUUUCCAAAGAAAUUGCAGCUGGGGGUUUAGUUUCAUGUAGGUUAGUUUCCGAUAAUAAACUUUCUAUUUCAUUAAUUGCUGAUGAAAAAACCAAGUAAGAACAGUUUUGUUGCUCGUCAUUUUUGUAUAUUUUGGUAAACUGUAAUUUUAAAUUCUCAACGAUCUUCCCUUUGUAGGUAAGAAGAUGGUCCACUCACUUGAUAUUUAUGAUUGUAGAUCAGGUUUCUAUUGGUUUGCCUUUAUCAUUUAGAACCCAUGUUUGAUAUUAACAGAGAUCACGUCAAUAAUAUCCUAUUUGGGUAGAUGUGGGUGAGGAUUUAAAAUCAAAUUUGAAAUUGAGGGGAAAGAAGAGAAAAGGAACCACAAUAAUUAAACAAAAUAAUAGGAACUAUUCUGAUGAGUUUUAAUCUCGAGAGGAACAAUUUUCAAAUGCACUGCUAGAGAAAUUGUAGCUUUUUGUCAUUAGUUAAAAGGAAAAAGAAUAAGAACUAUCCGGCCCUUUCCUUCAUGAAUGUGUGUUGAGGUUGCUGUAUUAUUUAGUCAGUAUUUGUAAUUUUCUUCCCUGCAGUGCUCUCUGCCUCCUGAAUUUGCUUCCUAUUGCUGUUACAGGUGCAAAUCUGGGCAAGCAAUAAGAUACACCAGGAGGAAAGGUCAUCAAUGGGAAAAUGGGAUGUCCAAUCCCUCAUCACAUCUUCUUCAGAUUUGUAUGGUCCAGAAAAGUCUGCUAGUGUUGAAAAAUUACCUAGGCAUGUAAAAUUUACUUUUAAGAAUCCUGUUAGGUGCCGCAUUAUUUGGAUCACAUUACGUCUUCAGAGACCUGGUUCGGCUUCAGUUAAUUUCGGGAAGGACCUCAGUCUUUUGUCUCUUGAUGAAGAUGAAAACCCCUUUGCACAAGUAGACAGACGUGCUUCAUUUGGAGGAGCAGUUGAAAAUGAACCAUGUAUUCAUGCCAAAAGAAUUCUUGUAGUCGGAAGCCCAGUAAAAAGGGAGGGGCUUACCACAUCACAGAGCUCUGAGCAGCUAAGUAUUAGAAACUGGUUGGAUAGAGCUCCACAAAUGAGUAGAUUCAAGGUAUUAGUUGCUUUCACUCUUUGUUCAUUCAUAAUUCCAGCUUUCUGCUUCACUGAUAAACCUCUUUUUUCUCUUCAGGUCCCAAUUGAGGCCGAGAGAUUGAUGGACUACGAUCUCGUCUUGGAACAGUAUCUACCUCCAGCGUCACCUUCGCUUGCCGGAUUCUGUCUAGACGCUUUCAGUGCAAUAAAACCUAGGGUUACCCAUUCACCUUCCUCAGAUUCAGAUAUCUGGGACAAAUCAGUAACAUUUUUAGAAGACAGGUACAUCUCUCAAGCUGUAUUGUAUUUACAAGUAUCCGCACUCCAGGAACCACAUAACAUGGUAACUAUUGCGGAAUAUCGACUGCCGGAGGCUAGAGCCGGAACGCCAAUGUACUUUGAAUUCCCACGACCGAUACAGUCCCGACGAGUUUCAUUCAAGCUUCUUGGAGAUGUUACAGCAUUUGCAGAUGAACCUUCAGAACAAGAUGAUUCAGGAUUGAGAGCUCCACUUGUGGCCACAGGUUUGUCUUUGUCAAACAGAAUCAAGUUAUAUUAUUAUUGUGAUCCUUAUGAGCUUGGAAAAUGGGCAAGCCUUUCUGGAGUUUGAUCGUUAUUUAUAUGUCAGAGAAAGAGUUUUGGGUUUGAUUUUGAUUUUGAUUUGUAAUUUUUGUCAGUUUAUUGAAAUUUUUUUGUUGUAUAAAAGCAGAAUGUAAAGGUAUAAAAAUUCAUUGAUGCUGCAAUGUCUGUGCUUUUGAGAAAGAAGAAUUCAAUGUCUUUUCUAUGCCAUUGGAUUUUCCCACUGCUUGUAAACUUGGGCUGUCGAGUGCUCUGUGAACCUUAAGGGCUAUAAAGUAAUUUUUUAGACUGAAGGAUUUAUUAAUCGAGUUCAAAAGAUUGCAAGUUGGUGAGCGUUGGCAUUUAAAAAUCAAUUGUUAUUCUCUCAAUAAUCUCUCUCUUCUGCCGACACCCCAAGCUCAGAAACCCAUUGUUCCGACGGACGUGUAACACUUCCAGAAAUUAGCCUUUUCUUCUAUAUGAAGGUUGAUCUCUCCUCGUGAAGUGAAGGUGGUUUUCCAAUUACAUACGUCGGGGGUCUUAUGAUAUCUAAUGUGUGAAAUUUCUUUCUCAUUUUACCAUAAAGAAAAGUUCUGUAAUGAUCUAAAGUUGGGAGUCUUAAAUUAUCUUAAAUUUAUAUUUAGAGUGGAGUUAUUGGCACCCUACAUUAUUCUUACAAAAUUCUAUUUUAAAUAAAAUUAUAAUUAAAGACAAUUGAAAAUUAUAGAUUUUUUUACAGCAAAUUACUUAAGUCAUAAUUAAUCCUUAAAAAAAAAUCUAUAUGUUACUUCUUAUUUAAUUAAAAUAAAUUGUACAAAUUUAAAAUAAUUUAUUGUUUUCUUUUGAUUUUUUAUUGAUUAAAUAUUUUUAUACUUAAAAUUACUUUGAAAUUAUAAUUUAAAAUAUGUGUUAUAUGCAAUAGUUCGAUUUACCGAACCACAAAGGGAGCCAAUGUGGUUUUGCCAAAAUCACAUACUGUAGCAUAAUAACAGAUAUUAUUAUUGUAUAAUAGAUGGGUUUAGAAAAAUUGAAGAACCAAGUAAGUUAUUUGAAAAAUGUCGAUUCUCGUACCAAACCCAUGUUUUAUGCCAAUUGUUUUUGGAUUGGAGUGCAGGCAUUAACAAUGAUGGAGAUGGAGGAACUGUAGCAUUAGUCAUAUGAAGAGUACGUGUCAGGUUUGAUUUUCAUGUGAUUUGGUUAGUGACGACGAAAACGACGACGUCGUAGUUGAAAAGCGUUUGAAUUAAUGUUGCGUUAAAAAAAAAAUUUAACUUGUUCCACUAAUUAAGUCAACAUUACUGAUGUCUUAUCACCCUCGGCCAACUUAACAAUUGGUGUCCUUUGGACAAUUAAAUAUGAUUUAUUCAAAAAAAAUAAAACUAUUAAAUAUUAAAAAUUAGGUCCAUUAAUAAUAAUAAUAAUAAUACUAAGAAUUAAGAAGAUCUAAUUACAUAUCAAAAUGACUCAAACAAAUUAAUUAAUUUCAUAUUAGCUAGCCAAGUAGGUUGUCCAUCCCACUCAGACAUGCACGAAAGCUAAAUUCAUCAAAUGAAUUACUUAAGGAGUAUUUGAUAAUUUUGAAAUUAUAAUUUCAAAUUAAAAUAGUAGUAGCAAAAUCGUAGUGCACAUUCAAUUAACCAACUAAUAGUCUAAGAAGCAAAGAGAGGAUUACAAGUUCACAACACCAUUAAAAAGGAUUCAAAAUUCCCACACGAAAACAUCAAUGUACAGAUUAUAAACAAUCCGAAUUGGACACAAGAAAAAACCCUUCAAUGGAUUGCUUGCCUUCCCAAUGCUAUAUACUGUGCAAACUGCGCACUGGCCAAGAAAAUAUUUUCAAUUUAGUGUAUUUUCAAAAUGCUUAUUUUCUCAGAAUAUAAAAAAAAAAAAAACAAAAAAAGAAUUCUUACAUGUUUCAUCAGCAUGAUUAAAAUCAAAGAAGAAAGCGAAGACAUAAUGUCUCUGACAUAAUAAAAUUACAAUUUCAUGCAGCAGAGAUUGAAGAGUUGAAUUCCACUUAUAGACACCGACCUCUUGUUUUGUCUAAUGUUAAUAACGAAAACAACAACAGAGGAUUAACUGAUGCUUUGACUUAUUAUCAGGUUGCAAUGAAUUAUUAACUGAUGCUUUGACUUAUUAGUUCUGCUGCUAAGUUAAAUAAAAUAAGGUAUUUUCAAAAGCAAAAUGGAAUACAUAGAUAAAACAUCAUCUUAAACAAAUCAUAAUCUAGAAUUGGAGACAUACCCAAGGAGAAAGAAUACGUGAAAAUGGGUGAUUCAUUUGUUAAGGAGUGUUGAUUUGGUCGUCUCUGCAAAUUCUUUAGGGACUCGGUUCCAGUUCCUCUUCAUCAAAACUGUAAUAUAAUUCCCCUUCAUCAGAACUCGAAUCGAUGCAAUAAAAUUCCCCUUCAUCAGAACUCGAAUCAAAUUCACUUGCAGCAGUUCCACUCGCGCUUGGCAAAUCAUCCAAUUUCCAAACUUCGGUAGCAAAAUUGAGAGUAAAAGUGUUGGCUUUGGUCUCUCUGGGAUUUGCAUAUACUGGACAUACUCCGCAACGUUUUAGCUUAGUGAAGAACUUAAAUGAGGCAGUUGUAUGAUGGUAACCAUCAGGAAACCCAACAUUCAAGCAAGGUUUAAAACCAAGUAUGACAUGAUCUGAAUCAAGGGAGCCAGUGCACACCAUGAAACCCAGAUCAACAUGUUUGGUUUCAGAGAGAGUCUUUAUUUCUAAGUCGAGUUGAAAGCGGACGUAAAUAUUGCAGCAAUAACAAGAAUGAAGGUGCUUAAAAUCAAGAACAGCACAAAAAGCAAACCCGAUUAAGUUUCUGCAAGAAGACUGCGGUGGCAGUUGAAUACAUAUCGAAGAUCCUGAACUUUGAUUGCUGAACCAGUCAGGAAUUUCGCUUCCAGGUAAAACAAUUAGGGAUCCCCUCAGUUCAGAAAGUUUCUGUGAAAUGACAUUUAAAAAAAAAAAUUGUAAAAUGAAAACCAUGAUUUCAGAUAUAACAAAGAGGGACAGAGUAAACAAGAGAGGGAAUUUGAUACCUCGUUGAUUGCCUUUUCAUAGCCCAGUCUCAGUGAUGCAAUUGCCACAUGCCGAAUUCUUAGUUGUGAAUCUGCCAAAAUCUUGUUGUUUGCUUUUCCAUUCAGUUUCAAGCAGUUAGUAAACCCAAAAUAAAUUGGUUGUGACUCCAGAAGUCCGGUUGCCCAUUGACGAAGGUCAGGAGAGGGUUUCGAUAGCUUUUCUAGUACGGAUGCAUCUAGUUCUUGCAGACAUGACGGAAUCUCUGGCAAAGAUUGAAGCCGGUUGCAGUUCGUUGCAUCUAGUUCUUGUAGACACAAUGGAAGUUCUGGUAAUGACCGAAGCAUGUUACAACCCGUCAAGUGAAGAUAUUUUAGACACAAUGGAAGUGCUGGUAAUGACUGAAGCAUGUUACAACGCCUCAAGUCAAGAGAACACAGCCGCGACAGUUGCUUGAUACUUGCAGGUAAACUCUCAAAGUUAUUUCCACGUAGAUCCAAGCUUUUCAGUGAGGAUAGAUAGGCAAUCUCUUGUGGAAUUUCCAUUACAGCACAGUUCAUUAUGUAUAGAAGUCCCAAAGAAGAUAAACCUAAUAAUAAUGAUCGAGGCAAUGAUACCAAACCUUUGCAGCGAGAGAAAUCAAGAAUUAAAAGUGCGUUUGAAUCUGCAACAGAGGAUGGUAGUUGACUAAUAGCUGAUCCAGCUGCUGAGAUGUGACGCAAAGAUUCUAAAUUGCCAAUGUUAUCCGGCAACUUAUCAAGUUUAGAGCAAUCACUUACGAACAAUUCUUCAAGCCCCGGUAGAUUUUCAAAUGACGAUGGCAGCUCUGUAAUUGCCGUCCCGUCUAAAUUGAUGCGUUUUAAAUGUUCCAUUUUCUCCAAGAUUUCUGGGAAGCGCUCAAGGUUCAAGCAGCCAUUAACAAAAAGAUCAACCAAAGAUCUCAAUUUACAAAACCUAGUUGAAAUCCUCUUCAGCCGUUUGCAAUCCCUCAAAUCCAACACUUCAAGAUCAGUUAGGCACUCUAUUGAUGAUGGAACUUCUUCUAUUGCAGACUGGUCUAAGUAUAGCCGUGUAAUUUUCCCAGAAAUCUGUGGAAACUCUAUGAGAGUAACACAAUAGGAGAAAUUAAUAGUUACUGGACAAACAAAAUGAAGAUUGCUUGGAAAAGACCUAAGACUUUUGCAGCCCUCAAAAGACAGCGCACUGAGAUACUUGAAAUUCUGGAUAGAUGAGGGAACACAAGCCUUUUCUCCUUCCCAAGGUUGCUCAACUUUACUAAAACGCAAAUUCAGUUCAACAAGGUUCUUUGGCUUGAAAUUUGAUGGCAGUAUCCUUAAUGGAUAUGUGUCCCAAUGAAGAUAUCUCAAUUUUUCAGGAAGAUAUUCUAGGCCAUUUGGAAGCUGCACUUCAGAGUAUGAAAGUUGCUCUUCAAUGCUCAUACUUAGAAACCUUUCAAUCUCAUAAAACUUACUUGGAAACCUUUCAAUCUCAUAAAACUUAGGUACAUAAAAUUUGAGCAAUCUCAGAUUAGACAUAUUUGUGAAGGCUCCGGGGUCUAAAUUGAUGCAUUUUAUUUUGGACAAAUCCAGAAAUAUGCCUUCAAUUGCAUCGGUCCCCUUAUAAAAAAAAAAAAACAAAGAAUGAGUAAGCCAAAAAUAAAAAAGCAACAUGCGUAAACUUUAUUAACUAAGAGCUCCUUAAACAAAAACAAAUUCUGCAAUCUUUGAUUUUAUUUUUUUAAUAUAUUAAAUAUCUAUAUGCGAGAAAAGAAAAUUUUGGGGACCAUUGCAAAAUUAAACUAACCGAAAAAAAAUUCAAAAUUUCUCUAAUUUACAAUCCUAUUAUCUUAAUAUCUAGAAGUUGAGAAGAGAGUGCCUAUUUGAUUGGUAUAAGAUUUCGAAAUUUUUUUUUUUUAGUCGAUAGAAUCCAAAAUGUUAGUUCAAAAUUAGGGAAAAAAAUAAAAGUCAUUUUUUUUCCACUAGUUAAAACUGUAUCCAAGUCAAAUUAAGAUACGACCCUUUUUAAAAAGAUUUAACCAUCUUACAGCCUCCUUAAGGUACAUUUAAGCUAAAAGGAGUAAUUUGAGGCAGAACUAGGUGGUCCAAUCAGUCCAUUUUAUUAGUGUCUGUUGCUUAAAAAAUUUAUACUCUAAAACACACUUUUUUGGAAAAAAAAAUAUAAUUACAUUGAAGUAGAAUCAGGUGGGCCAAUCCUCAUGGCACUCACUUUAUUUUGACACUCUUCACUAAAUUUGAAGAAAAAUAAAAUUAUACUCUUCACACUCUUAUUCAACAUUCCAAAAUUGAUAAAAUCUGGAGUUUUCUUUAAAAAUUUAAAAUUUGAAGACUUGUUCUCUUGACACCCUCAGUCAUUAAUUUUACCUAAUUAUGGUUUUUAUGAUUUUGGUUGUUUUGUUCAUAAAAAUGAUUUUACUAAAGGAUGCUCUGGUAAUAAUAAAAUUUAUAAAAAAAAAUGGGUGUGCUGGUAUGAUUGGAAAAAUAUGAGUGCAUAACUCCAAACAAAUAAAAGAUAUAUAAAAUAAAUGGAGGAUUCUUACCUUUUUAUGCUUGAGUACGCGGCGGAUUUCCUUAGGAUCCCACAACCUGCUGCGUUUGCCAGGCUCUUUCUCAGAUUCUUGGCGAACAAUCUGUCGCCCCAUUUCUUGCAAUAAAUCAUGCAUUUGCAAGCAAUUACCUGAUAUUGAUAUGAGUGACUUAUCAAUAAGGACAUCCAGUCCAUCAGACUCAGAAUCAUCAAGAAUCCUUGCCACAAAAUCUUUAUCCUCUCCCUCAAAGAAACACGCAAUAUCUAGAAACAAACUCUUCACCCUAGGAAUUAAUUCAUUAAAACUAAUCUUUAAUAUUUCAUAAAUAUUAUGAAUAUCAGAUUCACAAAUCCGAUUUAAGUCGUGCAAUACAUUUUCCCAAUGGCUUUUCCUCUUGAGGCACAGGGAGGAACCCAACACUUUAAGAACUAAGGGAUUGCCUUUGGCAUACUCUACAACCCUCCGUGAGUGCCAGUUGAGAUUUGUAGGACAAUGAUUUUCUUUAAAAGCGAAGUUACAAAAAUGCUCGAAAGCCUCUUCAAAUUCCAAUCCAUUAACCCUAUGUAUUUUCUUCUCCUCCCCUCUAAAUUUUUCGAGGACUCCUUUAUCCCUGGUGGUUACAACAAUUCUACUUCCUGGACCAAAUUGAUCAAGCUCUCCAAUCAGACCCUCUAAUUGUCCAACUUCAUUCACAUCAUCGAGUACUAUCAACACCUUCAUACGCCAGACCCUCUCUUUAGUAAAAUGUGGAAUAUUGGCACCAGCUACUUCAAGUUUUUCGCUUAAUAUUGUGGAAAGCAUUUCCUUUUGGAGAUGUUCUAAUCCACCUCCUGUUUCAGAAUUUCUCCUAACAUCUGACAUAAAGCAGCUACCAUCAAACUCACCAGUGAAUUGAUCGAAAAUAGCUUCAGCAAGGGUGGUUUUGCCUAUACCGCCCAUGCCCCAAAUUCCAACAAUUUGGACAGUAUCCGACAAAUCCAUACACAAAAAUGGUUUAAUCUGCUCAAUUCGUGAAUUUAAUCCAACUAGGCCAUUGGAUGAGUCCGUUGCGACUGUUAUUUUUUCCAAAUUCUUCAAAACAUCUUCGACAAUUUUGUUUACAAGUUCCGCAUCGUGCCUAAUAUAAAGGUGCAAAGAUGCAAAAACAUUGAGUCAAAUCGGGCCAAGACAGAAACAGAGAUAAGAUGAAUUAGGAAAGAGAGUUACCUGAAUUUCGUGGAUUCGUGGCCAGCAAGACCGGAUGUUUCUCUCAGUGCAUCCCUCCACCUCUGAACCAUUUCUGGCUUCUCUUCGAAGUGUUGUUUCAGCUGAUCAAAACCGUGCUUAAAAAUUCCAGUUUGAUGCCGCACAUCGGAUGGACUUACUCCAUAGAAAACCGGAAUAAUGAUUUGGCGGUUUGUGUGCUUGCAUUCAAGAAUCUUGACAAGUUCAUUCAGGCACCAUUUUGAAGAACCGUAGUCCUUUGAGAAAAUGACCACCGAAAUUUUUGAACCUUGGAUUGCGUUCAAAAGGGCAUCUGAAAUCUCAUCUCCUCGCCUAAGCUUUUCAUCAUCCAUAAAUGUUUUGAUUUUCUUUUUGUCAUACAAAUCAUCAUAGAGAUGGCAAGUAAAGAUCCUACGAGUGUCCUCCCCUCUAAAAUUGAGGAAGACUUCAUAAAUGCAAGAAGAAGAAGAAGAAGAAGAAGCAGCCAUGAAGGAAAUUUUAGAAAAUUGGUGACAGAAACAGAGAAUUAAUCUUGAGAGUUGAGAGAGGAGAUGUAAGAAUGAACAUGUGUGAAGAUUCUUGCAAGCACACAGAAAAUAAUUGAAUGGCUGGAGCUUUCUUAGUUUCCUGGAAAUUUCCUGGAGCUUUCAUAUACAUGAUUUGUCAAGUCAAGAAACAUAAUCAUGAUAAUGGGGCAGACCAGGAAGAAAAGAAAACUUGAUUCAACCAAUAAAGGAAGGAAAAGCAAAGAAAGAAAAUUUGAAAGUAGAUUCAGAGAAUUAUAAAAAGCUAAAGGAAAUUGGAAUUUUGUACAAUUUCUCCAGCGAAAAUUAAGCAUAGAAUAAUCCUAAAAUUUAAACUCUAAUAUCUUAUAAUGUAUUGAUUAAAAAUAAUCCUAAGAGUUCCCAAUUGAAACUUUCAUAAGUAUUUUAAUUGUUUUGGAUAAACAAAUUGUACUAGGAUAAAAAUUUGGCAAAUUCAGAGGAUAAUGGAAAAUAGUUAUGCUUCAAUAGGCCAAAGAUUAGAGAACAAACAAGAAUUAGUUAUUGAUACACAAAAGAGAAACACUCCAAAAUUUCAAGCAAAAAUAGUUUCAUAUACCAUUUCGAUUUUGGAAGGGGUGAGGUUUUGAACUUCAAUAGUUUCCUCUAAAAUUAAAAGGCAGCAAUUAAACUAGAAAGAGCAAUGAAGACUUAUUGGUACUUUAUUGAAGGUAAACAUUAUGAAACUUUCAAUGUCAUUACCUCAUUGUUCAAUUUUUAUUGAGAUUUGUGUAAGCAUUUAGCUAAAUCUUACCUCCGCCUUUAAAUUCAUUAGUUUUGAUUAAUUAUGAGACCUGGGAGAUAUUAUAAUCGAACUAAAACUUAAAAUUUCAAUAUCAUUAUUCUUUAAAAAGAAAUUGAGAUUUCAGAGUAAUAUCACAUAGAAAAACUUGCCCACGGACGGUAAGCCAAAAGUCUAGUCAACCACACGCAUAAAGCUAACUAGAACAAGAGAACAGAGAAACGCGUGGGUCCCUAAAAGAAAAGGCGUGGGUCCCAAAAGUCUAGUCAACCAUACCGAUGAAAAUCACUGAUUAAGAAUAAUAUAUUAUGUGGUUGAAGAUUUCUUUUUAUCAAUCUUCUUUCUACCCAUUAAUUUUCCCACGACUUUCCGGUUUCAUUUCUUGAAUCUCCAUGGAUUAACUUUCAAUAAACCAUAAAAUAAACUAAGGAAUCAUUUUCUCGAACACAGCUAUGAUUUUAAUAAAUGGGCGGACCAUCUAGAAUAGUAUAUAUAAUUCUGUUUAAUUAAUAAGUUGAAAAAACCAUAAAGAGAAAUUCUAAUAUUAUGAGCUUGACACGAAUUCUUCACUAAUUCCAAAACAAGGAGCUGUUUUAUAAGAACUGUGGUUGGAUUAUUAAGUUUUACAAUUUGAAUAUAAAUAAGAAAAUAAAAUCAGUCGCGUCGAUGUUUUCGAUACAUUUCGAUGCUAACUUAAUUAAUUACUUUACUUCAACUUUAUUUCCUGACGGACACUAUAUGGUGGGUCCAAGAUGGGACCUACAAUAAUCAAUCCUAGAAUUUAGUAUGGUUACCAAAUAGCUAGUGUUAUUUUGUGUUUGGUGGAAGAGAUUGAAUAUUUAGUUUUAACAUAACCAUUCAACUAAUUAGAAAAUAAAUAAAGUUAAAUGAAAUGUUUAGAUAUCAAUUUAAAUAUUAAUAUCCGGGAUAUAAAUUAGUUAUAAUAUAGUUCAUUACAUAAAAUUGAUUAAAUUAAUAAUUACACAUGAACAUAGAUGUAUAUGCUUUCCAAUUUCCAAAGUGCUCAAAGCACUUUUCUCACCAAACUUUCCUCUGAAUUUCCCGUAGCUGACUCCAUUGUUUGCGUUUUGUGAAAUUUCUAGGAACUUUUUCUAUUUAGAAUAUUGUACAUUUUUCUUUUCAGCUGAGAUUAAUUUAACUUAUAGAAAAUCUUAUCCUUUUUUUAAUAUUAUUUAAAUAAAAUUUGUCUAUCUUUCAUUUUAUCAGUCUACUUUUUACCCAUUAAUUAAGACUUUUCGAUUUCUUUUUUUCCUGAGGUUUUCAGUGACUAUCUUUCAAUAAACCAUAAAAAUUAAUGAGUCAUUUAUCGAACAAUUAGAUGACCAUAUUUCAAAAUAUCAACUAGAAGUUGCCCUGAAAUAUUUAAUUAAUAGUUGAAGAAUUGUGAUUAGUGUGGGCAUCUACAUAAAAAUUAUAUUAAAACACCGCUAAAAGAUAAAAAUAAAAUAAAAUAGUACAAACAUACACCCAUAGGUUAAAACAAAGAAAAAACACGAACCAAUACACUAAAAUGUUUUAGCUGUAGUUAGUUUUCAGUUUCAUUACUUAAGUCCCACGUGCAUGUCACGUGACUGAGGUCAAAAAAUGAUUGUCAGAUUAAAGUUCAAAGUACGGAGCAGGGUAAUUAAGGAGUGGAGCUAUUGGCACCCCUCCAUUAUUCUUACAAAACCCCACUUUAAAUCAAAUUAUAAUUAAGAAUAAUUGAAAAUUAAACACUUAUAGAUUUCUUUACAACAUGUUUAGUGAUAAAAAAGCACCAGUCGGGCAUGUCCCCAUUUCUUACCCGGGGCCGAAUCUCCUCGGCCGAAUGGUAUGAGUAGACUCUUGGUGAUGUGUUCUAUGUGGAGCACGUAAAACAGACCAGGAACUAGUACCAACCAGAAACGAGUACUGAUCAGAAACAAGCAUGACCAGAAACGCAUACCGACUAGAGACUUGUGGGUCCCUAAAAGAAAAGGCAAGCACAUAAACGAAAAAGCCAUUACAUUUCUAUUUUACAUGUCAUUCCUAAUUUUUGUAACACGGUGUGGCAGCAUAUGCACAAUCAAAUGAGGCAAAAGGGAUUCGACUAUCGUGGCAGAACAUGGACGAGGAUGCGUGAUGAAUAAUUCCUUCGAUAAAACGAAAAACAAAUGCAGAGAAAAGAAUUUCUUAUAUGACAAGAAAUUAAAGUAAUGUGACGGAACAUGAUGAAGAAAUUGCAGAUCGAUCAAUUAUCCCCAUGGACUCCUAUAAAUUCAACCAAAAUAACAAUUCCAAUAUUACCAAAUUCUUGAGUUAAAUUUAUUCAAUGCUUUUUUUUUUUAGAGAAAUUUUUUCCAAUGCUACUUUCCCUUUUUUGGGGAAAUUAGAACUGCGGCAUGUAUAGAAGACAUUGAGGUAUAAAGCAACAUUAAUUUCAUGGGUUAUGCGUUAUACGCAUAAUAUAUUGUCAGUCCAAAUUCAACUAUACAAAGAGGCUUGAGAACUUAAAAUUAAGCACAAACUAAACAGACGAAGUAAAUACAUGAUUAUGCAACAUAACAUUAAUUCUCUUAAUUUAUAACUGUUUUUGCCACAUGAAUCUUGCACAGUUAAUCCUAAUUGAAGACUAAAAAAGAACAAUUGGAACAAGGUUUUGAAAUAGAAUGAUAUACAAUCGAUAUGAUCCAUUUCCAGUCGUCAACGCUAAUUAACUGCAGUUUCUAGACUCCUAAUUAUACUAGCCAUAAGAAACUGUUUAGAAAACUGGUGAUCAGAUUAGAUUUUGAAAAGAAAUAAUUUUCAUUUUCCCUUCGCUACCUUUUUUUUUUAAUUAUUUUUAUACCAAAGAAUUCUAUCAUGAAAAGAAUCAAUUUAAUCACCUUUUCCAGCAGCACAAUUUUUCUUUUAUAAAAUUUGACCACAGAGACAAAGAAGAAUUAUUCAUACCUUCAUCAGUAAGGAAAUACUUUUCAUUAUGGCUAGGGUGAGAAAAGGCUUUCCACAACACUUGUACUUUGUAUUCCUGUAAAUUUUCUUUAAAGUCAAUAAAAACCAUAAGUUCUUUACAAUAACCAUCUCUUUGAUAAAAAAGUGCCGUAUUCCUUUAGAAUUUAAAACCGGAAAAAUUGAAUCAGUGUCUUUGAAGAGACAUAAUGGUCGUAAUUCUUUAAAUGAGUUGGCUAUGGAAAUCCUUAUCCAAGAUUCUUUUACGCCAUAUUCUUUCGUAAACCAAAAUUCAUUUUGGAAUACUCUGUUGAGAAUGUCAAAUAAAACGGCAUUGAAGGAAGUUUUCAAAGGCAGAAUCCGCACUUGUCAAAGGGAUGAUCUGCACUUGUCAAAGACACGAUCCGCGUCGAAUGAAUCGACACAUUUCCUUUCGUAUUCGCAUAUGUAAUCUUUGAAAAAAUGUAGCUUCUGCAUCUAUAAAUAACGCUUAGUGUAUAAUGUUUUAUUCAAGAAAAGAAAACAAGUUUCUUCAUACUCGUCGUCCGAACAUACAGAGACCGUCUCUUAUAACUUCAGCCGAAUACUUAUGAUGAUGAUCAUUUGUGAUUUCAUCAGGCAAAGGGUUGAUGGUGAAAAAAUUUGUAUGUGUGAAGAAUUGAGCUGUGGAUAUAGGGGACUUAAGUGUAAUCGAAAGAGAGUUAUUAGGCCAUAGUGCAGAUUGCAUUCAGUUUAUGAGUCGAUAUGCAAAUAAUUUGUUGACGUGGCGAAAUUUGUUAUGGUCGUUACUAUUGUUUCUGGAAAUUUUCUAGAAACCUCAGCAUAAAAGGGGCUUUUGCAUAGCCUCUGGUGUGCGUGUGAUUUCUCUUUCGUUUCCUCAUCAAAUUCUGUAAUUCUUGCUUUGAUAAAAAGCUUGUAAUCUCUUCUGUAAUGUGUGAUCAGUGCGUAAUCAUUUUGAGCAAUAAGAGCUUGUGGGUUUUUCCUUCAAACAGUGUCGUUUUGGUCAGUUUGUUAGUUUGAUCUGUUGGUGGAAUUUUCUUUGGUUAUUUGUUCUCAAAUUUCAACCGUAUAUAAAGUUUGAACUCUAAUGGCUUAUAAUGUAUUGAUUAAGAAUAAUCCUAAGAGUUCCCGAUUGAAAUUUUUAAUGACUAUUUUUAUUGUUUUGGAUAUACAAAUUGCAUUAAGAAAAAAUAUUGUCAAAUUCAGAGGAUAACGGGAAAUAAUUAUGCUUCAAAAGGCCAGAGAUUAGAGAACAAAGAAGCAUUCAUUACUGAUAAACAAAAGAGAAACACUCCAAAAUUGCAAGCAAACUAGUUUCAUAUACUAUUUGGAUUUUGGAAGGGGUGAAGUUUUGAACUUCAGUUGUUCCUCUAAAAUCAAAAGCAUCAAUUAAGCGUUCUCAAUUAGAAAUAGCAAAGAAGACUUAUUGGUACCUUACUGAAGUUAACAUUGUGGCACGGUUGUUCAUAUGUAAUGGCUGCUCUGUUAUGCUAGCUUCUCUGUUUUUGCUUACAGUUUUGAACAUAAAUUCUUGCUCAAAUAACCCAUAAUUAAAUAACACUAAUAUGGCUCGUGAAGUCCCAUAAUAGCUAAUUACGCAACUUUCUCCUCCUCCUCAAUUAUGUCUUCCCCUGCUCGGACACUAACUUCAAAAUUCAAUGCCCCGAAAAACAACACAAGAAAUCUUUGAGUUAGUUCGUGACCAGUUUAUAUAUAGUAGCAAUUGAAAAAAGAAAAAGAAGAAAAAAGUUAAUUAUUAUUCAGACCUUCACUUAUUAGGAAGUUUGUUCUGCUAUUGGGUGAGAUCAAGCUCUCAGCAUAUACUUCCACAUGAUACUUUCUAACAUUUUCUUGAAAGCCAUCAAUCAUAAAAUCUUCAUACUUUUUUCCAUCCUUUGGAUCAAUAAGUACAAUUUUUUCAUCUAAAACAGACAAAAUAAAAUCACUGUCCUUCAUGGAACACAAUGGCUGCAAUGCCUGAACUGAAUUGGCUAAUGAAAUUUGAGUCCAGGAUUCUCUCAGCCCAUAUUCUUUCAUAAUCCAAAAUUCUUUUCUUUCUCGACAUGGAACAUAGUCUUCUUUUCUUUCUCGACACAUGUCUCUGUACUUUUCUCUCUCUACUGAUCCACACUUUUUCAUACUUCUAACUAUCAUUUUGUUUUUUUUUUUUUUUGAGUUGUGAUUUAUUCAAUUAUUUUGUAUUUUUAAUGACAAUUGUUUAAUAUUUAGUUAGUUUUGAUAUUGAUUAGUGAUUGAAAGUGUAUUUUAGAAGACUUCCGGUCUCUUGAAAAAAGGAAAAAUGGAGAAGAAGAAGAAGUGUUCUUGAUUUUUUUGUAGGCAUUAAAGUUAAACGGUUUGAAAUGAUAUUUUGUUUUUAUUUCACUCAUUAAUCUCAUUCAGGAUAAAAUUAUAAAUGCAAAUAAAUGGGGUUUCAUAAGUAUUUUUAAUAGUGUUAAAAGGUCUACUCACUAAAUAAACAUGUUUUACCCAAACCAAUCCGAUUAAUAAGUUAUUAGGUUGGGUUGAUCAGGUUAAAAAUCAAAAUUAAAAAUUAAAUAAAUAAAAGGCAUAAAAACUAUCUGUUACUUGAAAAUAAAAAGAAUUUCUAAUAGUUAGUUCUAAUGUCCCAUAUCCAAAACAUGCAUAUUGUGAGGUUUGCUGGUGAAUCAAACUCAUCAGAACCAAAUGAUGACGUUUUGGCAAUUGAAGGAGCACUUAAAAGACACGUGAAACGCACGUCUGUUGUCACUUAAGAUUAAAGCUUGAAACGGCAGUUCAACCAUGUCGUUUAAAGGAAGCUUAGAAGUGAUGCACGUGACAGAUGUGUGAAGCAGCUCAUCUCAGUUCGUUAAGUUUGUUAUGCUACGUGUAAGCAAUCAGUUCGAUCUGGGUUUAGCUGGUUAGUUGCUCUGUUAGUUAUAAGAGCAGGCUGAUGAAACGAUUUGGGUUAAGCUUGUGAAUUCAUAUCAGAGAGAGAGAGAUUUCAGUGAAAGGGUUAAGAGUUCUCUGAAAUCUUGUAAACCAUUCUCUGUAAGAAAGAUCCUCCAUUGUUGAAUAAUAAAAGCUCUGCAGAAAACUUUUCCUGUGGAUGUAGAUUGUACCAAUUUGGUACAACUGAACCACGUAAUUGAUUCUUGUGUUGUCUGUGAUUUGUUUGUUUCUUGAUUCUCUAUUCUUUCUAGUUCUUGGGUACAUUGUUUUCACUUGGCUAGAUUCAUUCCUCAAUCUGUGCAUCUUGUAUAGUUCUUUAUCAAAGGUCCUGGGAAGUGUUUUAUUUGUCUUGCAUGUUAUAUAGCAAAUUAAAACACUACACAUAUUAAAUAAUAUAUUAUAAGUUAGAAAUACAAUAUCUAAAGAAAGAAUUAAUGAAAUAACAUAUUCUUGUUGAGAAUUAAGAGUGUGAUUUUAAUUUUGAUAUUGGAGUCUAAAGCAAUAGAUAGUACAAUGAAAUCAUGAAUGCUACGUUUAAAUAAUCUCUUUUAUAAAAUAAUAAAAAGAGGUUAAAAAUUAGGUUAACAUUUAGGGUUUAGCAGUUAAGGAUGAAUAUAUUAUUAUUGUUGUUGUUGUUAUUAUUAUAAUAAUAAUUAUUAUAAUAAUAAUUAUUAUUUAUAUGUUAAUUAAUUCAAUCCAACUUAAUUAUUAAUGAAUUUGAAAAAAUUGACCCAAUUAAUCCACAAUAAUUCAUUCAACUCGUCUAAAUUAGAUUAAGUUGAACUUAAUUUGCUACCCCACAUUGAGCAACAAACCUCAACGUCAUUCUACGAGCUCUUUGAUUGUUUAUAAAAUUGAUUUAGAGUACAUAAAGUGUAUCGACAAUGAAAGUGCAAAACAAAUUAUUGUACAUAUUAAAAUGUGCAAAAACAAUGAAUUAUAUGUACAAACGAGUGCAAACACAUUUUUCAAUAAGAAGUUGGAAGAUAUUUAUGCAUGAAAAAGCCUACGUUUGUAGUUAUUCUAAAUUUUAAAAACAAAAUUUACAUUUAGAUUCCUAAAAUUUACAUAUAAGUAUAAAAGUUUCAAAUAUUGUCUAUUAUUUUUUUAACAUGCCUAUUCCUUGUGGAUAAUUUUGUCUCAUCACUAAUGUUGUUUCUUGCUUACAAAAACCAAAAGCCACCUCCUUUUUGCAAUUUUUAUAGCGUCUCAAAAUAGACAAUAGGGGGAUUUUGAAUUUUUUAAGUCUCAAUAUAGUCUCUAAUCUUGUGAGAAAUAUUUUCUUUCAAUAAUUUGGAGGUAAACAUAACAUAACUUUUUGGACUAAAGCCUAACUCUGCUAAUAAGUAAUUGGUGGUAUCCUUUUCAAGACUUGAGUCUUUAGAUUCGAGUUUUAUAUAGUGUGCAUGUGUAUUUAAUUAAUAUUUUUUUUCAAAAAAAAUUACAUCAAAUACUAAUAUUCAUGACAUAAUUUAGUUCAUAAUUUUUUUAAAUACAUCGAAAAAUAUAAUUUUUUAACAACUUAAAGGCAUGACAAAUUUCAAGAUAUAAAUAUCAGUCAAAAUAAGUGAAAGAAAUAAUGGUGUCAAUUCUAAUUUCUUAACUAAAUUAAUUACUGCAUGAGCCCCGAAUAUGACACGAGAGUUUGAUGGGCUAACUUGGCACAAGAACGUGAAUAGUUAACUCAUUUAAGAAAUAAUUCAACAAAAAAUAUAAUUGAUAAGAAUGCAAUAUUGAAAUGAAUUUUUUACGAAACAUUGAAUUAAUGAUUAUUAAGCAAGAACAAUAAAAAAAUAAAAUAAAAAUAAAGAUUAACCAUUGAUAAGCUUCAACAAGAACUUAACACAACCCUCAAUCCUAAUUCAAAUUAUAAAUGUCAUUCAUAUAUUCAUUAUAAAUCAAUAACAAAGGUUAUAAAUGUUUAGAAAUUCUAGAGGGAAGGAAGCUAUCGCCGGGGAAUCAACAACUAAAAUUGAUGUAAUUGUGGCACGAGAUGGAAUAUGGAAACUACACCAUAAUUUUAAAUGCCGCCAUAGACAUUGACUUAUCUACAAUAACAAUGAUCUAAUUAAAAUAAAAAUAGAGUUUAUGGGCAUUUAUUAUUUUGACAUUCCUCAUUUGCAAAUAGGGAUACAAUUAUAAUUUAUUUAGUCAAAGCAAACAGUAAUUUUCUUCAUUAUAGGAGUGAAGUAAAAACAUUUAGAUUUUAAUGUAUGUAAGGAAAAAUUUAUCUUUAAAAAUACUUUCUUAAUGUGUGUAUGCAUAUUGAAAUACUCAAACCAAUUUUGGUUAUAUAUAAUUAAACAAAUUUUAAAAUAUGAAAAAUAUAAUGUAGUUAUAGUGGAUAAACAAUAAGUGAGCACAAUAUAAUUAAUCAAAUAUUGUGCUAUCAAAAGUUAAUUUUAGAAAUUCCAAAUCCAAUAGCUAACACAAUUCUUUAAAGAAAAAAAAAAGGUUGACACAAUUAAUAAAAUUAGCGACAUGAAUUUCACGCCAUUGAUAAUCAGCAAUUAGUAUUACUUUCUAAACUUGCUUCAACUGGUCGUUGAUGUCCGGGUCACCAAAAGUAUAAGCGAUAAUAAGGGGCAUUGGGCAAGAGUGAUGAAUGUUUAGUGGGUGCAUUUGAUUGAUAGAUAUAUAAAGGGCCGAAACUUGAGAUUAUAUUACUUUUACAAAUUUUAAUCCAAUCACAUAUUUAAUGAAAACAAAAUGAGUUAGGAUACUUUAUUUAAAAUACACAUUUUAAUAAGGCUUCAUUUAAUUAAAUAAAAUUAUAAAAGUAAAAUAUAUUUUAGAUAUUUUAAUAUUUAAGAAAAAAUUUUCAAUCUUUACUUUCAGAAGCUCAAAUUUUUAAUUUUUAGUUGUAGAGACAAAAUAUCUUAUUUAAUGUUUAAAAGUUCUGCUAAAAACAAUCAAAUAACUACAAAAAUUUUAAUAAGAGCAUAUAAAAUUAAAUAAGCAUUUAUUAAUAAUCACUUUAGUGUACUUAUCUAAUAACAAUAAGUGUUUAUUUAAUCUAAUAAGUUUUUAUUUAAUCUAAUGAGCUCUUUUUAAUUUUUUUUUAGUAGAGCUUUUGAAAAUUAAAUAAACUAUUUUGUCUCUAUUAAGAAAAACUUAAAAUUUAGGUUUUUGUAAGUAAAUGUUUAAAUUUUUUUUAAAAAUAUUAAAAUAUUAAAAUAUCUUUUCUUUAUUUCAUAAUCUUAUUUCAUUCUUCACAACAUAACUUUAAAUAACUUACCUAUUAAAAUAAUUUCACAAUUUCUAAUAAAAACUCCGAUUAACAAUCAAGCAAUAAUUUUUUUUUUUUUUUUGUAAAAAUUCUAUUUGUAAAAACUCUAAUAAUAAAAAUUCUACUUAAAUAAAUUUUAUUUGAAAAGGUAUACUAAACGAACCUAAGAUAAAAACAAAAAUUUUUAGAUCCAGACAAUUAAGCUUAAAACAAUUUCAAAUGAAUUUUAGACUAAUCAAAGUACAAUACGUACCAAGUUUGGUAAUUUAUUGACAUCUUCUUAUAUACCUUCGAUCAAGUCGAUUCUCACUUGACGACUAAUUGGUAGUUUGGUACAUCACCGUUGUUCCCUAUACUCGCAUGCAUCCGAUCACAAAUCUCACUCCAAUUGUUGUCUUUCUUCGGCGUUUUAGCGCAUCCUUCUUGAAUUUCUCGCAUUUCGUUCCCUUACAAGUCUCCGGUCAGGUCAGUUCACUUGACGAUUAAUUCGGCAAAUCUUGAAUCUCUUCUCUAUCCCUCUCGUUUUCUCGUGUCUCCUUUCAGUUAAAGCGAUUGAAUCAAUUUUAUCGCAGUCUAAGAGAAAUUAAGUAAUGCUCUUGGAUUUAAAAUUUUUUUGCUUUCGACUUUAGAUCUCGAAAGUCAAACUCUUCUACGAAUCCAUAGAUUCUCAAUGUUUAUAAUCUUAUUUGUGUUUGACCAGGUAACUGGAUCGUGAAAUUCGUCGUUUUGUAUCAAUUCAAGCUUUCGCGAGCUCAUGGAAUCACCUGGUGAGUUGUGGUGAAACGUUACCGUUUCAAUUUUCGCUUAAUUCUUUAUUGCAUAUUUUUUUCUCUAAUAUUUCAGUUUAAUUAGAAAAGAAAGAGGACCCAAAAAGAGAGAGAGAGAGAGAGACUCUACCAUACUCAAUUCCUUGCUCAUUCUGAUUUGGCCUGAAUGUUGGCAUUGACUAUUAUUUGUUUUCAUUUCGAUUUAAUUCUCAUUUAGACAGUCUUUACUAACGGUCAAUAAUAGUUUAAGGAAAAUGAUAAUAGGGAUUCUGCAAUAAUCUUUCUGCAUUGUUCAAGUUAGUAGACAAUGAAUAGGAUGUUUACGUUUACCUCAUUUUGAACCCCGAGGGCUUAGUUGAGUAGUUGAUUGAUUCAAUCUUGCAAUGUGUUCCCACAAGGUUUUGAGUUUGAUUCCUAAUUAUGUGGACCUUAGUUUCGAAUUUGAGUUUGUUAGGUGGGUUGAUGGGGUUUUUGGGUAUUAAAAAGGGAGAAGAAAAAAGUUGCUUGCUUCAUUUUGUACAAACCUGUUGACUUUUUAUUUUUUUCUUUUUAUUUUUGUACUAUUUUGUUUUACAGUUGGUGGUUCAAGACAGACAUCUGUUAUUGUUGUAACUUUGGAUACUGGUGAAGUAUAUAUUGUAACCAGCUUGUAUUCUAGGACUGACACUCAAGUGAUAUAUAUUGAUCCAACUACUGGUGCACUUCGCUACCAUGGGAAAUGGGGCUAUGAUGUUUUUGGAUCUGAAAAUGAAGCAGUAGAUUACAUAACAAAUGGAUCACGAUGGAUGUGCAAGAGUACAACUUUUGCCAAGGCGAUAUUGGGUUAUACUGCCCUGGGAAGCUUUGGGCUGCUUCUUGUUGCCACAAGGUUAACUGCCAGCAUUCCAAAUCUUCCUGGUGGAGGAACUGUAUGCACGGUUACAGAGAGCCAAUGGAUCAAAAUUCCACUUCAAAAUCCUCAACCCCAGGGUAAAGGAGAAGUAAAGAAUGUUCAAGAGUUGCCUGAUCUUGACAUUGAUGGGAAGCACUACUUUUGUGAGACAAGAGAUAUCACUCGACCUUUCCCCAGCCGCAUGCCUUUGCAAAAUCCUGACGAGGAAUUUGUUUGGAAUGAAUGGCUUUCGAUGCCUUUUAAAAGCAUUGGUUUACCUCAGCAUUGUGUCAUUCUUCUGCAGGUUUUGCUUCAUACUCGGUAUCUUCAAAAUUUAUGCUCAUUAAACUUCUUUCAUUCCCCACCCUCUCACUAUCCCUCCACCUAAUUUUGUUUCCAAAAGUUUGUUUGAUAGUCUAUUGCCACUAUAUGUAAAUGUAUCAUUUCCAUUCUGAGCAUGAUAUUUUAUUCAUCAUCACUUGUUAUUCUAAUCUUUAGAUGAAAGAAUAUUUCGUAUUAACAUUUUUCAUGGGCCAGUACCUAUUUUAUGGUCCAUUGUAGAUACUAAAAUGACCAACUUUAUUUCUUGGUCAUAAAAAGUUGCGACAGAAAUUUUAAACAUGUGAAUAUUUAAAUCUGAUAAUUCAUUAAAGAUUUCAACCUAAUAGAUUGAAAACUUAGAUUCAUUCCAUGAAUGAAAGAUAAUAAAGCAUCAGCCGAUGGAAUAUGGGAAAUAGAAACACUUUCCCUUCUAUUAAGAAGAGCCUGCUUCAGAUGAUCCUCAUUUUCUUCAUCCACAGGCCAACCUAGAACAUACCACACCAAGGUAAGAAAGAAAAGGGGUAGCAGGAUUGCCUAGUUUGACAAUUAGCAAAGCCCCAAAUGUUCCUCUUUUACUUUUCUUUUAGAAAGGUAGACAUGUUUGACAGAUUUGGGACAUUGCAUCAUCCCUUUCUGCUGCACAUGGUUGCAAUGUUUUACUUCUCACGUGAAAGCCUAGAAAUCCCAAUCCAAUAAUAAAAGGCCAUUUUAGAGUCAAUGUACAAAAACUUCCUUCCUUGUCUCUAUAUCCUCUUUUACAAUCCAUUCUUAGUUGAAUUGAGAUUAUGCUACAGCUGCUUCUUCAAGUUAACAUUGUUAUGCAAUUCAAUGGUGAUUUACGUGUGUACUUGUCCUAAGCAUGUGAUUUGAAAAUAAUAUGUUAAUAUUGUUUUCACUGGAUAUUAAUGUAUAGGGAUUUGCAGAAUGUCGAAAUUUUGGAAGAUCAGGUCAGCUAGAAGGGGUUGUUGCUCUUAUAGCUCGUCGUAGUAGGCUGCAUCCUGGUACUCGAUACUUGGCUAGGGGGAUUAAUUCUUGUUUUAGUACAGGUAAGAUAAUCUUUAACAUCUCCAGACCUGGAAAUUACAUUUUUGUUGUUGAGAUUCACUUGGUUCUUCUAUACAAUCAAAAAAAUUAAGGAUUUAGUUUUUUUUUUUUUUAAACGGAAUUUUCUUUUCCUUUCAGUACUCUUUGCAUUCUGUGUAUGCUGUUUAUUCUGAUUGUCAUUGAUCUCAUGCCUUUACAAGGAAACAGGUAAUAGUUUCAGUGGUAAAUUCAAGUGGAAUUGGUUUUGAUUCUGUUGUUUAGAAAGAUGGAUUGUAGAACUACAGAACAUUAAUCGUGCCACCUCAUGGCUCAUGCAUGCUUUUGGAGUAUUCUUUACCUGUAGAAUUUUUGUUUUUGUAGUUGACUUGGAAUAUAACUUUACCAUUUUUUUCAAAUAAUAAGAAUCAAUGAGUCUCAUCAAUAUUAAUCAAUAAUGAGCUAAAGAUAUAUAACUUGUGUCUCAGAACUAUAUAUGAUAUGCUUGUGAAGGUGUAUUAUUUUAAGUAGAGAUACCAAAUGCUACAGGGAGAAGCAAAAAAGAACAUUCUCCAGUGAAAACCUUCUGACAGAUUACAUUUUUGGGAUAAAAAAGAAACAUUGAGAUCAUCAGCCACACUUUUUCUUCUUGUACUGUUUAAUUAGUUUAGAGGCCUUUUAGUUGGUUUUGCUUGCCUGGAGGUGUCAUACAGUUCACUUUUUGAAUACCCUGGUUUUCUACAGAUUAGAACUUGGUUUCCUUUCACUCCACAGCUUUUGCUUUCCUACAUCACGUCCUUUGGGAUAAUUGAAUAAUGAAUGAAUGAAAACAAUCAAAUAAUUUCUGACAAUUAGUUAAUAACUUUUAUUUUGUAUGACCCUUUUGAUAUGUGUGGUCCUUUAAUUUACGGUUGAAAUAUAAAUAUGAAAAAAGUCUGCCAAUUAGUUUUACAAAUGACUUUUGUGCCAUAGAAUAUAUAUAUUUUUUUUUUGCCGAAAAACAAAACAAAUUCAUAAACAACAUUGUAUUUCACCAAUUAACAGUGCAAGUGUCAUUAUAGUUUCCACAUAUUAGUUCUGUUUUCGUUAGUUUCAUUUUCAUUCUGUUAUGUAACUGAUGUUUCAUUGCUAUAAAAUUAAUUGUCUGUUUCUCUUCACAACUGUUAUUUUGAAUGAUUUUUUCUGAAUUUUAUAAAGAAUUUGUAUAUGACAGGAAAUGAAGCAGAGUGCGAGCAACUUGUAUGGAUUCCUAAAAGGUCUGGUCAGAGUGUUCCUUUCAAUGCAUACAUCUGGCGGCGAGGGACUAUUCCAAUAUGGUGGGGUGCAGAAUUAAAGCUUACUGCUGCUGAAGCAGAAAUUUAUGUUGCAGAUCGGGAUCCUUAUAAAGGAAGUCUGAAGUAUUAUCAGAGGUUGAGUAAUCGAUAUGAUGCUCGAAACUUUGACUUAGCUGUUGGGGAAAAUCAGAAGAAAAAGCCUUUUAUUCCAAUUGUAUGCAUUAACUUGCUUAGGAAUGCGGAAGGGAAAUCAGAAUCUAUUUUAGUUCAGCAUUUUGAGGAAUCUUUGAACUAUGUCAGAUCAACUGGAAAACUUCCUUAUACUCGAAUAAUUUUAAUAAAUUAUGACUGGCAUGCCAGUACAAAAUUAAAAGGUGAACAACUUACAAUUGAAGGAUUAUGGAAGCAUCUAAAAGCACCCACUCAGGCCGUAGGCAUUUCUGAAGGGGACUAUUUGCCAUCACGGCAACGACUUAAUGAUUGCCGAGGUGAAGUCAUCUGCAAUGGUGACUUUGUGGGUGCCUUUUGCUUAAGAUCCCAUCAGAAUGGAGUGAUACGCUUUAACUGUGCAGACUCUCUUGAUCGGACCAAUGCUGCUAGUUAUUUUGGUGCUCUGCAAGUAUUUGUGGAGCAAUGUAGGCGGCUUGGGUUCUCCCUUGACAGUGAUUUUGCAUAUGGCUAUCAGUCAGCUAAUAACUAUGGUGGAUAUACUGCUCCUUUGCCACGAGGAUGGGAGAAACGAGCUGAUGCAGUGACAGGAAAAACAUAUUAUAUCGAUCACAACACUAGGACCACAACAUGGAUUCAUCCAUGCCCAGACAAACCUUGGAAGAGAUUUGAUAUGACAUUUGAGGAGUUCAAGCAAUCAACAAUUUUAUCACCAGUGUCUCAGCUAGCAGAUCUUUUUCUGCUUUCUGGUGAUAUCCAUGCAACCCUUUAUACUGGUUCAAAAGCAAUGCAUAGCCAAAUUCUUAAUAUAUUCAAUGAAGAACCAGGAAAGUUCAAACAAUUUUCUGCAGCACAAAAUAUGAAAAUUACCCUGCAGAGAAGAUACAAAAAUGCAGUUGUCGAUAGCUCUCGUCAGAAACAGCUGGAGAUGUUUCUUGGAUUGAGGCUUUUCAAGCAUCUUCCAUCUGUUUCAGUUCAACCUCUACAUGUAUGAUACUGUAGAACUUCAGAUUACCUAUUCAUACAAUCUGAGUUCAAUGAUUAUCAAUUUUCAUGAGGGAUGGAGACAAUAUUACACUAGCUACUUGUUUCUAACCUAAGCAUCCCUAACUUCUGCACAUAAAUAAAUGAUGCGCAAAGCAUACCAUAGCUAUAUCAAUGCCCAUUUCCUGUUUGAUGUUGACCAAUAAUGUUUGGAAGUUAGCUAUUGCAUGGUAAGAUGAUUUGAAGCUUCAUUUAAAGCUUCUAAGCCAGAGCUUCUAAGUCAUCUGGCUUAGAGAAUUUAAAUGUCCUCCAAAAGUCUGGAAUCACUGUUGCAUCUCAGCCUGAUUGAUAUUUGUUAUUGUUAACUUGGAAAUAUUUUGUUAAUCUUUCGGAUUGAACAACGUCGUGCUAUGAUCAUUAUUCAAGAAAUGACCUCAAGAACUUGUUGCAGUUGAGUGAUUUUUUGGUAAUGAUGAAAAUUAUUCAUGUUUAGGAACAGCUCUUUAGGGGAAAAGCAUAUAUGGGCUGGCUGGCCCUUUUUGGUGUAUUUGAUGAACCAUUUCAUAUCAUGCUGGUAACUGCAGGUUCUUUCUCGACCAUCUGGUUUCUUUCUCAAGCCAGUUCCCAACAUGUUCCCAAGUUCUGAUGGUGGAGCUAGUCUUCUAAGCUUCAAAAGAAAAGACAUGAUCUGGGUAUGGGUUGCAGCUAAACUUAGUCCUUUGUAGCAUUCCUAAUUCUCUGAUUGUCUUUUCUUUGUAGCAUUCUUAAUUCUCUGAUUGUCUUUUCUGUCCUUAAUGGAAUUCAUGCAUUUUUGGUUCUUUAGGUAUGUCCACAAGGCACAGAUGUGGUUGAACUUUUCAUCUACCUUGGUGAACCUUGUCAUGUCUGUCAGCUUCUUCUCACCAUAUCCCAUGGUGCAGAUGAUUCAACAUAUCCAGCAACAGUUGAUGUGAGAACAGGACGCCACUUAGAUGGGCUUAAACUGAUUUUGGAGGUUUGUAUUGGUUCUAUUGUACACCUUGCUUACAAAUUUUUUAUUUUUAAUUUUUAAUUUUGUAUGAUAUGCUCUUUGUUGGUAAAUUUCAUUUGACUUAGAAGAGAUAGUUUUAUCCCAACAGUGGGAUACAUCAUUGAGAUGCAUGGCAGAGUGAAUAUAGUAGACAAAAUCAUUGAGACCCAUGGUGGUGUGAACAUAGUAAACUUUGUCAAACACAGCUAAGAUGAGCAAAUUGUUUCAUUAGCCUUUAUCUUAUCUGCUGUGAUGAUUCAAAUUAAUGCUGUUUGGUAGGUUGCAAAAAAACGAAAUGAGCUGACUGUUCGUAUUAUUUAGUCAGAUCUCUAGCAAUAAGUUGAAGUUCAUUGUCACAUGGGUUGGGAGUAUCGUGGGCUGUGAGUAGUAGAAUGGAUUUAUGGAGUUGAUACAAGUGCCCACAAUCUCUCAUGUCAUUCUAGGAUUAAAUGGAUUGCACAUUACUGUAAAAAUGGAGGUUAAAUUUAUAUAAUUCGGAUUGAUUGUAAAAUGGAAGACAGAGAUGAGUUAGAAAAAGAAUGACCCGUGUCCUUUUUGAGCUGUUUCUAAAUGUCCCUGGUGUGCCUCAUGCUUAACACGUGCCUUUCCAAAUAAUUUUGCUUAACCUGUGCUUGUCUACUUCUUGUGCUAUUCUGUGCCUGGUCCUGAGCUGUAUUGGUAGAUUGACAUCCAGCUUGAACUUUUAGGUAUAUCUUUUGUACAUAAAUUCUGAAUACCCAUGGACUUAGCGUGAUAUAAAGUCAAGGAUCCAUUUAGCUGAGUCCUUCAAGUUUUGUUAGUAUGUCUUCGGAUUAUAAAUAUGUAACAAAAUGAGGUGUAGAAUACAUUUAAAAAGAAAAGGAUAAAAAAACAAAAGAAAUGAAAAGAGGUGUUUAGAAGUAAUAGCUAAACUAGAUACACUCUCACUAAUUAGCGAUUCUGAUGAACAGUGCCCAUAGCUUCUUUUAUACCUUGAAGUUGCAGAAAUUGAUUCUUGGUGAAUUAAGUCACUUACAGACAUAACUUUUUCUUCCAUCUAAUUUUUAUUAGGUUAGAUAGGAGAAGACUUGUUUCAGGGUGUCCUGACCCUAGUAUUAGUUUUCUUGUCAGAUUUUUCAUGAAAAUUUACAAUGCACGUGACAUACAACUUCUAGUAAUCCUAGGACUUUGUUCACAGGGUGCUUCUAUUCCUCGUUGUGGAAAUGGGACAAACCUUUUGAUACCUUUACCAGGAUCAGUUAGUGCUGAGGAUAUGGCUAUUACUGGAGCUGGUGCACGACUUCAUGAUCAAGAUGCACCAACCCUUCCACUGUUGUAUGAUUUUGAAGAAUUAGAGGGAGAAUUGGAUUUUCUUACUCGUUUUGUGGCAGUUACCUUUUAUCCUGCUAUUUCUGGAACAAGUUCCAUGACUCUUGGUGAGGUAGAAAAUAUUUUCAUAAAAUGUUAAUUGAUUUAUCUACGCACUUUAUUCUUAAAUUAGUAUUUUAGACCAUGAGCUUUGUGGAGUGGGUUUGCUGUAACUGCUGCUGGUGACAACAUAAUUGUUAAUAUUAUUACAGAUAGAGAUUCUUGGAGUUUCUCUUCCAUGGAGGGGGGUAUUCAAUAAUGAAGGCCCUGGUGCUAGAUUAAUUGAGCUUGGCAAAAAGUUUCAGAAGGAAACCGAUCCAUUUUUGUCAAAUUCAGUUACAAAUACGGUUCUGUUUUCCAAUGAAAAUGUGUCAACAUCAAUGCAAACAGAAGCUGCUUCCAAUCCUUGGGUUGACCUGUUGUCUGGAGGGGACACAUUUUCUGAUCCUCUUUCAGAGCCGUUUUCUAACCCUCUUUCUGAGCCGUUCUCUGAUCCUCUUUCUGAGUCGUUCUCUGAUCCUCUUUCUGAGCCAGUGACAAGAAAUGUUGCAUCUGGAGGGGCUGAUUUGCUUGAUUUCUUGGACCAGCCUAUAGUUGAAGAUCAUGGUGUGGAAACUUAUAAAAGAUCUUCAACACAGGAUGGCUGUUCUCUGGCUAGUGGUGCCCAGCAGUACAUAAGCUGUCUAAAAUCCCUUGCAGGGCCACGCGAGGUAUAGUACUGCUCUCUUGUGUUUUUUGCAGCUCUACAUCUUAGUAACCUCAUCUUUUUAAUGGAGUAAAUUCUAGAAGUUCAACAAAUUUUGCUUUGCUAAAUGUAUAACUUAUUAAUCAGAGUCCUGUUAUUAUGGUUUGACACUACUGACAUAUUGUGUUGGUAAUUUAUUUGUACGUCCCUUGGUUGAAUUAUUUGCUGUCUCCAUGCCAUUCGAUAUGGUGCUACUUGGUUUUUGAUCAUCCAUGACACUAUAUAUAUAUAUAUGUAAAGGAUGAAUUGAUUGUUUUGGCUUGUAUUCUCACAUUUUAUGAUUGAUCGAUGGAAAGGUCUUCCUGUAUUAAAUUCAACCUCACAAGCAUAAGAUUGACAAAUUCUGGGCAAAUUUUCAGGAAAAGAAACUAGACUUCAUGGAAGCAAUGAAGCUUGAAAUUGAACGUCUGCAGCUGAAUCUUUCUGCAGCUGAAAGGGAUAGAGCUUUAUUGUCAAUUGGAACUGAUCCUGCCUCUAUAAAUCCAAAUGUAUUGCUUGAUGAAUCUUACAUGGGAAGACUGUGUCGAGUAGCAAACACUCUUGCAUUACUUGGCCAAGCUUCCCUAGAAGACAAAAUUGUUGGUGCAAUUGGCCUUGAGAAUAGUGAUGAUAGUGUUUUAGACUUCUGGAAUAUUACUAGAAUCGGAGAGAGUUGUUCUGGUGGUGGGUGCGAGGUUCGUGCCGAAACUAAGGUGCCUGCUCUUGCUUCCUCAACUGCAACAUCUGUUGGAUCUUCACAAUCCCCUUUGUUGUGUUCUCAAUGUGAAAGAAAAGUUUGCAAAGUUUGUUGUGCAGGAAGAGGAGCUCUACUGUUUUCAAAUUAUAAAUCAAGGGAUGUGACCAACUACAAUGGCUUCUCAAGUCAGAGUGGAUCAAGCCAUGGAAGCCAAGUUGAUGUAUCUACCAGUCGUUCACUAACACUGGAUGGCGUUAUCUGUAAACACUGCUGCCAUGAGAUUGUGCUUGAUGCAUUGAUGUUGGACUAUGUUAGGGUCUUGAUUAGCUUGCGAAGAAGUUCCCGUGCAGACAACGCAGCAUACAAUGCUUUGAAUGAGGUUGUUGGAUCCUGCUUAAAGGAUAGUCUUUCUGAGAGGAUUCAGUCUUCCGAUAACGUGCAAGCAGCUGAAGUCCUUCACCAAUUAUGUGGUGGACAGGAAGCACUUGCUGAAUUUCCAUUUGCUAGCUUUUUGCACUCGGUAUGUUCUUGGUUUGUAUUCAGUUCUCAUCAUAUUAUGUUUUCCUUUUAAAUUUCUUUUCUUGAUUAAAAUUUUUAGAAAUAUGUUUUAGCAUUUAUUCUUAUGAUAUAUGCCCAGAACAUUCAUCCCACUUAUCCAUGAGAAUCCUUGUCUGGUUUGAUUUUCAAUUGAGACAUUUUUGGGAACCCUGAGCAGGUUCCAUAUGCUAAUAAUCUUUGAGGUAAGGUGUUGUAGGAUGCCUUGAGAAGCUAAAAACCUAUUACAAGUAAAAGCUCUUGCAUUGUUUUGUGCAAUCUGUGUGCGAGCAAGUCAUGUCUCUAAUAAUUUCAUAGUUUGCUUGAUUGGAAUUUUUUAUCUUGAUAUGGAUUGUUUAUUCUAGAUUCCUUGGUGCCACUGUAGGUUGAAACAGCAAAAGAUUCAGCACCGAUUUUGUCACUGCUUGCUCCAUUAAAUUCUGGAUCAAGGCACUCAUAUUGGAGAGCUCCACCUAGUAUUACUUCUGUUGAAUUUGUUAUUGUUCUCGGUUCUGUUUCUGAUGUCAGUGGGGUUAUCUUGCUUGUUAGUCCUUGCGGCUAUUCUGUGGCUGACACUCCGAUGGUAAGUGCCAUAUUUAUUCCCUUAUUUCCUUGUUGUUCAAUAAAUUUGGUGAUAAGCCAAGUGGCCUUAAUAAUGAAGCCCAGUACCAGGGGUGGUGGGUAAUAGAUAUUCAACUUGUGAAUAUUCCUAAGCAAACACUGAAUCAACAUAUACCUCGGCAAAAGUUCUCUAUGCUAUGAUAAUGGAAGUCAUAUUUUGAAAUGAUUAAAAGAGUCCCUGUGUAGUGCCAUUUCCAACGAAAUUGCAGCUGGGGGUUUAGUUUCAUGUAGGUUAGUUUCCGAUAAUAAACUUUCCAUUUCAUUAAUUGCUGAUGAAAAAACCAAGUAAGAACAGUUUUGUUGCUCAUCAUUUUUGUAUAUUUUGGUAAACUGUAAUUUUAAAUUCUCAACGAUCUUCCCUUUGUAGGUAAGAAGAUGGUCCACUCACUUGAUAUUUAUGAUUGUAGAUCAGGUUUCUAUUGGUUUGCCUUUAUCAUUUGGAACCCAUGUUUGAUAUUAACAGAGAUCACAUCAAUAAUAUCCUAUUUGGGUAGAUGUGGGUGAGGAUUUAAAAUCAAAUUUGAAAUUGAGGGGAAAGAAGAGAAAAGGAACCACAAUAAUUAAACAAAAUAAUAGGAACUAUUCUGAUGAGUUUUAAUCUCGAGAGGAACAAUUUUCAAAUGCACUGCUAGAGAAAUUGUAGCUUUUUGUCAUUAGUUAAAAGGAAAAAGAAUAAGAACUAUCCGGCCCUUUCCUUCAUGAAUGUGUGUUGAGGUUGCUGUAUUAUUUAGUCAGUAUUUGUAAUUUUCUUCCCUGCAGUGCUCUCUGCCUCCUGAAUUUGCUUCCUAUUGCUGUUACAGGUGCAAAUCUGGGCAAGCAAUAAGAUACACCGGGAGGAAAGGUCAUCAAUGGGAAAAUGGGAUGUCCAAUCCCUCACCACAUCUUCUUCAGAUUUGUAUGGUCCAGAAAAGUCUGCUAGUGUUGAAAAAUUACCUAGGCAUGUAAAAUUUACGUUUAAGAAUCCUGUUAGGUGCCGCAUUAUUUGGAUCACAUUACGUCUUCAGAGACCUGGUUCGGCUUCAGUUAAUUUCGGGAAGGACCUCAGUCUUUUGUCUCUUGAUGAAGAUGAAAACCCCUUUGCACAAGUAGACAGACGUGCUUCAUUUGGAGGAGCAGUUGAAAAUGAACCAUGUAUUCAUGCCAAAAGAAUUCUUGUAGUCGGAAGCCCAGUAAAAAGGGAGGGGCUUACCACAUCACAGAGCUCUGAGCAGCUAAGUAUUAGAAACUGGUUGGAUAGAGCUCCACAAAUGAGUAGAUUCAAGGUAUUAGUUGCUUUCACUCUUUGUUCAUUCAUAAUUCCAGCUUUCUGCUUCACUGAUAAACCUCUUUUUUCUCUUCAGGUCCCAAUUGAGGCCGAGAGAUUGAUGGACUACGAUCUCGUCUUGGAACAGUAUCUACCUCCAGUGUCACCUUCACUUGCUGGAUUCCGUCUAGACGCUUUCAGUGCAAUAAAACCUAGGGUUACCCAUUCACCUUCCUCAGAUUCAGAUAUCUGGGACAAAUCAGUAACAUUUUUAGAAGAUAGGUACAUCUCUCAAGCUGUGUUGUAUUUACAAGUAUCCGCACUCCAGGAACCACAUAACAUGGUAACUAUUGCGGAAUAUCGACUGCCGGAGGCUAGAGCCGGAACGCCAAUGUACUUUGAUUUCCCACGACCGAUACAGUCCCGACGAGUUUCAUUCAAGCUUCUUGGAGAUGUUACAGCAUUUGCAGAUGAACCUUCAGAACAAGAUGAUUCAGGAUUGAGAGCUCUACUUGUGGCCACAGGUUUGUCUUUGUCAAACAGAAUCAAGUUAUAUUAUUAUUGUGAUCCUUAUGAGCUCGGAAAAUGGGCAAGCCUUUCUGGAGUUUGAUCAUUAUUUAUAUGUCAGAGAAAGAGUUUUGGGUUUGAUUUUGAUUUUGAUUUGCAUUUUUUGUCAGUUUAUUGAAAUUUUUUCGUGGUAUAAAAUCAGAAUGUAAAGGUAUAAAAAUUCAUUGAUGCUGCAAUGUCUGCUUUUGAGAAAGAAGAAUUCAACGUCUUUUCUAUGCCAUUGUAUUUUCCACUGCUUGUAAACUUGGGCUGUCGAAUGCUCUGUGAACCUUAAGGGCUAAAGUAAUUUUCAAGACUGAAGGAUUUAUUAAUCGAGUUCAAAAGAUUGCAAGUUGGUGAGCGUUGGCAUUUAAAAAUCAAUUGUUAUUCUCUCAAUAAUCUCUCUCUUCUGCCGACACCCCAAGCUCAGAAACCCGUUGUUCCGACGGACGUGUAACACUUCUAGAAAUUAGCAUUUUCUUCUACAUGAAGGUUGGUCUCUCCUCGUGAAGUGUUUUCUUUUUUGAGUGAAGGUGGUUUUCUACUUACAUAUGUCGAGGGUCUUACGAUAUCUAAUGUGUGAAAUUUCUCUCUCAUUUUACCAUAAAGAAAAUGUUUGUAAUGAUCUGAAGCUUGAGUCUUAAAUUAUCUUAAAUUUAUAUUUAGGGUGGAGCUAUUGGCAUCCCUACAUUAUUCUUACAAAAUUCCACUUUAAAUAAAAUUACAAUUAAGAACAAUUAAAAAUUAAACACUUAUAAUUUUUUGUACAGCAAAUUACUUAAUUUAUAAUCAAUUCUUUUAAAAUAUAUAUAUAUAUUUGUUACUUCUUAUCUAACUAAAAUAAAUUGUACAAAUUUAGAAUAAUCUAUUGUUCUUUUUUGAUUUCUUAUUGAUUUAAUAUUUUUAUACUUAAAAUUACUUUGAAAUUAUAAUUUGAAAUAUGUGUUAUUUUAGCCAAUAAUUAACACUUAAAAACUUAUCACCCAUAUAACUUUUUAAUUUGUGUGUAGGGUAAUAAUAAAAUUGAAAAUAAUUAAAAAUAGCACAAUAAUGAGUUUUAACAAUAAAACAAAUCAAAUGAAUAUUUAAAAUUUUAAAAAGUAUAUCUAGAAAAAGAGGUAUUUUCGGAAAUAGUUUGCAUAUAACUAAAAAAAAGUUUUAUGAGGAGAUCAGAUGGGUGCCAAUAGUCCACCUCGUAAUUAAGAAUCUCCCAUUAUAUUGUGAACCAAAAAGACACUUGCAUAAGAAGAAGAAUUUUUCUGUUUGAUUUUAUUUGUGGAUCCAACAUUUCUCAUAUCUUGAGCGCCUUUCCGUAUCAAAUUAAAAUAGUAGUAGCAAAAUUGUAGUGCACAUUCAAUUAAUCAACUAAUAGUCUAAGAAGCAAAGAGAGGAUUACAAGUUCACAACACCAUUACAAAGGAUUCAAAAUUCCCACACGAAAACAUCAAUGUACAGAUAUAAACAAUCCUAAUUGGACACAAGAAAAACCCUUAAAUGGAUUGCUUGCCUUCCCAAUGCUACAUACCCUGCAAACUGCUUACUGGCCAAGAAAAUGUUUUCAAUUUAGUGUAUUUUCAAAAUGCUUAUUUUCUCAUAAUAUUAAAAAAAUAAAAUAAAAAAGAAUUCUUACAUGUUUCAUCAGCAUGAUUAAAAUCAAAGAAGAAAGAGAGACAUAAUGUCUCUGACAUAAUAAAAUUAUAAAAAUUUCAAGAAAAAAAAAGGUUAAAACAUGUAAGGUGGAUGAUUGAAAACAAUUGUAUGAUGGUAACCAUCAUCUUAAACAAAUAAAAUAAGGUAUGUUCAAAAGUAAUAAGGAAUACAUAGACAAAACAUCAUCUUAAACAAAUCAUAAUCUAGAAUUGGAGCAUUUUCGACAUACCUAAGGAGAAAGAAUACGUGAAAAUAGGUGAUUCAUUUGUUAAGGAGUGUUGAUUUGGUCGUCUCUGCAAAUUCUUUAGGGACUCGGUUCCAGUUCCUCUUCAUCAAAACUGUAAUAUAAUUCCCCUUCAUCAGAACUCGAAUCAAAUUCACUUGCAGCAGUUCCACUCGCGCUUGGCAAAUCAUCCAAUUUCCAAACUUCGGUACCAAAAUUGAGAGUAAAAGUGUUGGCUUUGAUCUCGCUGCGAUUUGCAUAUACCGGACAUACUCCGUAACGUUUUAUCUUGUGACCCUUUUGGUUUCGGUAACACUCAUUGAAGAACUUAAGUGAGACAGUUGUAUGAUGGUAACCAUCAGGAAAGCCAACAUUCAAGCAAGGUUUAAAACAAAGUAUGACAUGAUCUGAAUCAAGGGAGUAUUUAGAAUAGGUAGAAAAACCCAGAUCAACAUAUUUGGUUUCAGAGAGAGUCUUUAUUUCUAAGUCGGAUUGAAAGAUGACGUACCAAUCGCACUUGCAACGAGAACAAACUUUCUUAGAAUCAAGAACAGCACAAAAAGCAAACCCGAUUAAGUUUCCGCAAAAAGAUUGCGGUGGCAGUUGAAUACAUAUCGAAGAUUCUGAACUUUGAUGGCUGAACCAGUCAGGAAUUUCGCUCCCAGGUAAAACAAUUAGGGAUCCCCAGAGUUCAGAAAGUUUCUGUGAAAUGACAUUUAAAAAAAGAAAAUUGUAAAUUGAAAACCAUGAUUUCAGAUAUAACAAAGAGGGACAGAGUAAACAAGAGAGGGAAUUUGAUACCUCGUUGAUUGCCUUUUCAUAGCCCAAUCUCAGUGAUGCAAUUGCCAUAUGCCGAAUUCUUAGUCGUGAAUCUGCCAAAAUCUUGUUGUUUGCUUUUCCAUCAAGUUUCAAGCAGUUAGUAAACUCAAAACAAAUUGCUGCUGACUCCAGAGAUUGAAUAAGGUCAGGAGAGGGUUUCGAUAACUUUUCGAGUACGGAUGCAUCUAGUUCUUGUAGACAUGACGGAAUCUCUGGCAAAGAUUGAAGCCGCUUGCAGUUCCUUGCUUUUAGUGAUUGUAGACACAAUGGAAGUUCUGGUAAUGACCGAAGCAUGUUACAACCCGUCAAGUCAAGAGAUUCAAGACACAAUGGAAGUUCUGGUAAUGACUGAAGCAUCUUACAACGCUCCAAGUGAAGAGACCUCAGCCGCGACAGUUGCUUGAUACUUGCAGGUAAACUCUCAAAGUUAUUUCCACUUAGAUGCAAGCCUGUCAGUGAGGAUAGACAGGCAAUCUCUUGUGGAAUUUCCAUUACAGCACAGUUCCUUAUAUUUAGACGUCCCAAAGAAGAUAAACCUAAUAAUAAUGAUCGAGGCAAUGAUACCAAACCUUUGCAUCUAGAGAACUCAAGAAUUCUAAGUACGUUUGAAUCUGCAACAGAGGAUGGUAGUUGACUAAUAGCUGAUCCAGCUGCACAGAUGUAACGCAAAGAUUUUAAAUUGCCAAUGUUAUCCGGCAACUUAUCAAGUUUAGAGCAAUCUUCUACGAACAAUACUUCAAGUCCCGGUAGAUUUUCAAAUGACGAUGGCAGCUCUGUAAUUGCCGUAUGGCCUAAAUAGAUGCGUUUUAAAUGUUCCAUUUUCUCCAAGAUUUCUGGGAAACGCUCAAGGUUCACGCAGCCAUUAAGAAAAAGAUCAACCAACGAUCUCAAUUUACAAAACCCAGUUGAAAUCAUCUUCAGCCGUUUGCAAUCCCUCAAAUCCAACACUAUAAGAUCAGUUAGGCACUCUAUUGAUGAUGGAACUUCUUCUAUUGCAGACUGGAUUAAGUAUAGCCGUGUAAUUUUCCCAGAAAUCUGUGGAAACUCUACGAGAUUAACACAAUAGGAGAAAUUAAUAGUUACUGGACAAACAAAAUGAAGAUUGGUUGGAAAAGACCUAAGACUUUUGCAGCCCAUAAAAUCCAACCUACUGAGAUACUUGAAAUUCUGGAUAGAUGAGGGAACACAAGCCUUUUCUCCUUCCCAAAGUUGCUCAACUUUACUUAAACGCAAAUUCAGUUGAACGAGGUUCUUUGGCUUGAAAUUUGAUGGCAGUGUCCUUAAUGGAUAUGUGUCCCAAUGAAGAUAUCUCAAUUUUUUAGGAAGAUAAUCUAGACCAUUUGGAAGCUGCACUUUAGAGUAUGAAAGUUGCUCUUCAAUGAUCAUACUUAGAAACCUUUCAAUCCCAUAAAACUUAGGUACAUAAAAUUUGAGCAAUCUCAUACUAGACAUAUUUGUGAAGGUUCCGGGGUCUAAAUUAAUGCCUUUUAUUUUGGACAAAUCCAGAAAUAUGCCUUCAAUUGCAUCGGUCCCCUUAUUAAAAAAAAAACAAAGAAUGAGUAAUCCUAAAACAGAAAAGAAACAUUCGUAAACUUUAUUAACUAAGAGCUCCUUAAACAAAAACAAAUUCUGCAAUCUUUGAUUUUAUUUUUUUAAUAUAUUAAAUAUCUAUAUGCGAGAAAAGAAAAUUUUGGGGGCCAUUGCAAAAUUAAACUAACCGAAAAAAAAAAUUCAAAAUUUCUCUAAUUUACAAACCUGUUAUCUUAAUAUCUAGAAGUUGAGAAGACAAGGCCUAUUUGAUUGGUAUAAGAUUUCAAUUUUUUUUUUUUUUUUUUUUUUUUUUUGUCGAUAGAAUCCAAAAUGUUAGUUCAAAAUUAGGGAAAAAAAUGAAAGUCAUUUUUUUUUCCACUAGCUGUAAUUGUAUCCAAGUCAAAUUGAGAUACAACCCUUUUUGAAAGAAUUUAACCAUCUUACAACCUCCUUAAGGUACAUUUAAGAUAAAAGGAGUGAUUGGAGGCAGAACUAGGUGGGCCAAUCAGUCCAUUUUAUUAGCGACUGUUGCUUAAAAAAAAUUAUACUCUAAAACACACUUACAUUUUUGAAAAAAUAUAUAAUUAUAUUGAAGUAGAACCAGGUGGGCCAACCCUCAUGGCACUCACUUUGUUCUGACACUUUUCACUAAAUUUGAAGAAAAAUAAAAUUAUACUCUUCACACUCUUAUUCAACAUUCCAAAUUUGAUAAAAUCGGGAGUUUUCUUUAAAAAUUUAAAAUUUGAAGACUUGUUCUCUUGACACCCUCAGUCAUUAAUUUUACCUAAUUAUGGGUUUUAUGAUUUUGGUUGUUUUGUUCAUAAAAAUGCUUUUACUAAAGGAUGUUCUGGUAAUAAUAAAAUUUAUAAAAAAAACAUGGGUGUGCUGGUAUGGUUGGAAAAAUAUGAGUGCAUAACUCCAAACAAAUAAAAGAUAUAUAUAAAAAAAAAUGGAGGAUUCUUACCUUAUUAUGCUUGAGUACGCGGCGGAUUUCCUUAGGAUCCCACAACCUGCUGCGUUUGCCUGGCUCUUUCUCAGAUUCUUGGCGAACAAUCCGUCGCCCCAUUUCUUGCAAUAAAAUCAUGCAUUUGCAAGCAAUUCCCUGAUACUGAUAUGAGUGACUUAUCAAUAAGGACAUUCACGUCAUUCAGUCCAUAAGACUUAGAAUCAUCAAGUAUCCUUAUCACAAAAUCUUUAUCCUCUCCCUCAAAGAAACAAGCAAUAUCUAGAAAUACACUCUUGACAUUGGGCGUUAAUUCAUUAAAACUAAUCUUUAAUAUAUCAUACAUAUUAUGAAUAUCAGAUUCACAAAUCCGAUUUAAGUCGUCCAAUACGUUUCCCCAAUGGCUUUUCCUCUUGAGGGAGGAACCCAACACUUUAAGAACUAAUGGAUUGCCAUCAGCAUACUUUACAACUCUCCGUGACUCACGUUUGAAAUCUUCAGGACAAUGCUUUUCUUUAAAAGCGAAGUUACAAAAAUGCUCGAAAGCCUCAUCAAAUUUCAAUCCAUUAACCCUAUAUAUUUUCUCCACUGGAAACGUCUCGAGGACAUGUUUAUUCCUAGUGGUGAUGACAAUUCUACUUCCUGGACCAUACUGAUCAAGCCCUCCAAUCAAACCCUCUAAUUGUCCAUCUUUACUCACAUCAUCAAGCACAAUCAACACCUUCAUGCGUCGGACCCUCUCUUUAGUAAAUUGUGGAAUAUUGGGACCAUCUACUUUAAGUUUUUCUCUUAAUAUCCUUGAAAGAAUUUGCUUUUGUAGAUCUUCUAAUCCAUCCCCUCGUUCUAUAUUUCUCCUAACAUCUGACAUAAAGCACCUACCUUCAAACUCUCUGGAGAAUUGAUUGAAAAUAGCUGUGGCAAGGGUGGUUUUGCCUAUACCACCCAUGCCCCAAAUUCCAACAAUUUGGACAGUAUCCCACAAAUCCAUGCACAGAAAUGGUUUAAUCUGCUCAAUUCGUGAAUUUAAUCCAACUAGGCCAUUGGAUGAGUCCGUUGAGACUGUUAUUUUUUCCAUCUUCUUCAAAACAUCUUCGACAAUUUUGCUUACAAGUUGCGCAUCAUGCCUAAUAUGAAGGUGCAAAGAUGCAAAAACAUUGAGUCAAAUCGGGCCAACACAGAAACAGAGAUAAGAUGAAUUAGGAAAGAGAGUUACCUGAAUUUCGUGGAUUCGUGGCCAGCUAGAUGGGAUGUUUCUUUCAGUGCAUCCCUCCACUUCUGAACCAUUUCUGGCUUCUCUUUGAACUGUUGUUCGAGCUUAUCAAAACCGUGCCCAAAAAUUCCAGCUUGAUGCCGAACAUCGGACGGACUUACGCUAUAGAAAACUGGAAUAACGAUUUGGCCGUUUGUGUGCUUGCAUUCAAGAAUCUUGACAAGUUCAUUCAGGCACCAUUUUGAAGAAGCGUAGUCCUUUGAGAAAAUGACGACCGAAAUUUUCGAACCUUCGAUUGCGUUCAAAAGAGCAGGUGAAAUCUCAUCUCCUCGCCUAAGCUCUUCAUCAUCAAUAAACGUUUUGAUUUUCGUUCUUUCAUUCAAAUUAUAAUAGAGAUGGCAUGUAAAGCUCACGCGAGUGUCCUCUCCUCUGAAACUGAGGAAUACAUCAUAAUUGCAACAAGAAGAAGAGGAAGCCAUGAAGGAAAUUUUAGAAAUUUGGUGACAGAAACAGAGAAUUAAUCUUGAGAGUUGAGAGGGGAUAUGUAAGAAUGAAAAUGCGUAAAUAGUAAAUGAUUGAAUUAAUCUGGCGAGUAAAUAGUAAAUAAUUGAAUGGCCGGAGCUUUCUUAGUUUCCUGGAAAUUUCCUGGAGCUUUCGUAUACAUGAUUUGUCAAGUCAAGAAACAUAAUCAUGAUAAUGGGGCAGACCAGGAAGGAAAGAAAAUUUGAUCCAACCAAUAAAGGAAGGAAAAGUAAAGAAAGAAAAUUUGAAAGUAGAUUCAGAGAAUUAUAAAAAGCUAAAGGAUAUUGGAAUUUUGUACAAUUUCUCUAUUACAGUUUGGAUUAAGAUUUGAGCAAGCGGCCAAAACUACAUUGCGUCAGGGCUUUGGUGCCACACUCGUUUGUCUGUUAGUAGCAUUGGAUUUGAUCUGACGGCUGCAGAAGAGACACAAACAUAAAGAGGAGUAACCUGAGGAAAAGGUAAUAAGCCGGUUACCUGCAGAAAAUAAGUGCAUGAUAAAAUAACACAAGUAAUGAACACAAUGGAAGCGUAUAUGCAAGUAAUGGUUGGAAACAACUUGCUGGAAGCGUGCAAGUAUUGGUUGGGCACAGACCGACAUUAAAUUUCGCAAAUAGUGUCUGAAACAUUUGCAAAUACUUAAUUCAAAACGUCAAUAAAUGCUGGAAAAAAUACAUAUUUUUUUAUUUUUUAUUAAGAAUACAUUUAAAAAAAGAAUAAUUAUUAAUGGUACAUAUUUGUAACAAUUAUACCAAAAACAAUUAUCCAUAUAUUUAAAAAAAAUGUUAACAAUACAUAUUUUUUAGAAGUAUACAUAUUAUAUCAUAAAAAAAUUGAGUUGGAGCUUCGACAAGUAGAUCUUAAAAAACUAAGGUUGAAUUUUGGAGGAGCAGAUUCGGUCGUGGAGUAACAUUUGUUUAUUAUUAUUAAUUUAUUUUGGUAGUCCUAGUGAAACAUCGUUGUUUCACAUAGAUGAUGUCGCAGUUUGAUAGACGGGAUGACAUGUGAUUUUUUAUCAAAUAUAUCGGGCCACAUGGCAUUUUUGACUAGGUGAAUGGAGUGACAUGUUAAUUUUUUUUUUUUUUAAUCAAAGGUUCUUCUAUCUUAGAAGACUAGAUUAGCCUUAUGAUGUCAAGACUUGGAAACGACAACUAACUGACUAGUGGAUAGCAGACACAUGUUGUCAACUUAGGGUAUACAAGGAUACAUGUUAAAAGUAUUGUAGUAUAUGUGAUACAAGUGUCAUGGAAGGCUAUAUGAGUGAUAAUUACUCAUUAAACUAUAAGUUGCAAUAAUUUAACACAACAAGUGCCAAUUAAAAUGUAAUAAUUUAAAAAAAAUUAGGUAUUCUCCGUCUGUCUCCCUCUCAAUCAAUGUGUCCUACUUUGAAUGUUAAUAUUUAUUAUCAAACAUAAAAAAAUUCUAAAAUAUUAAAAAAAAAAAACAGAGUCUUCUAGGCACAUAAAUUAGAGUAGUUUCGUGAACAAAGAACUUGAGAAAGAUAAUGGUGGCACUCUCUUAGAAGGAAUCUAUGGGGUUAAUGUUUUCUUCCCUAUGUCUAUUUUAUGUAUCUUAGUUUCAAAAACAAGAUGUACACAAUUAGGGGUUGGUUAAUGCAGUUAAAACGGUGGAAAAAGGCUUAUAGAAAUAAAAUAUAAUUGUAAUGCAGUGUUUGGUAUGAAUAAGUAAACUAAAAAUAAGACAAUUGGGUAUACGAAUUUAUAAUGCGAUAAUAAUAUUUUUUCCCUAAGACGACCCGUAGGGUAAGAUUAUAGACUAAAUUGUUGUGUUAUGUUAAUGAUACGAUAUAAAAGUGUUGUUUUAGAAGCUGUAAAAGUUAGUUAAUGUGAAAUUUGUUUUUAAAGGUAAUUGUCUUGUAACCCCUUGUUUUUAAGGGUAAGAUUAUAGACGCAAUUUGUUUGUUUUGAAAAAAAGUCCCUUAUGUUGAGCUGGACUUUUUUUCGUCUUCACAAGUCCCUUUUGCCGAGCUGGAAUUUUUCUGACAGAGUCUCCGUUUGUUCCCAUAAUAGCGGCGAGAAUCUGGCCGAGCCUCGAUGAUAGCUCGUUGCUACGACACGUGACUGUGUCCAUUGAGUCUCUAUUCGAAAUCCAAAUGUCGACGACAACGGCCGCCUCCACUAACGGUUCUCAAAUCACGCCGUGCGUUGAUGACGUGGCGGUGGCAAUUAACAACAAUAACUUCAACUCGAAGGAGAGAUUCAACGACCGUGAUUUUUUGUUGAAGCAGUCGUAUUCGUUUGGAUUCGAGCGGAGUCUUGCAUCGAAGAGGAUGGUGAUGGAGGCGGUAAUGGCGUUGCCGUGGAAGUACAAGAGGGGGAGUUACUGGAGCAAACAGUCGUCUCCGUUUGGCUCAUUGACGAAGUCUAGAGUCUUCUGGAGCAAAGGAUUAUAUACUUAUCCUCUUUGUUUUCCUUUUACUGAUACUGUAGCUUUAGCCGAUUACCCAUUUUCCAAGUGUUAAACAUGAGCCGUUGUUACCUUUCUUUACUAUCUAAAUGGUCAUUCGCAAAAGGACAAAUGACUAGGGUAUCAAACCCCUUACGCAAUGUAGCUGGACCCUUAGCAAAGCAUUCACCUAAAUCUUACCUCCGCUGUAAAUUCUUAAGUUUUGAAAAUUAUGAGACCUUUAUAUUGGGAGAUAUUAUAAUCAAAUGAAAAGUUAAAAUUUUAAUAUUGUUAAUAAAUGACAAAGCCAUUUCAUUUCUCUUUUACAUGUUAUUAAUUUUUGUAACACGGGGUGGCAACAUAAGCAUAAUCAAGUAAAGCAAAAGGGUUUCAAAUUAUGGUGGUAAAACGUGAAGAAGGAUGCCAACUGAAUAAUUCCUUCCACAAAACGAAAAAUAAUCACAGAAAAAGGAAUCUCUUAUAAAAUGUUUGCGUAUUUUUUAUAAGGUUUGAAACUUUAGGUGGUCGGUAAAUGAUUUCUUAAUUGAAUAAUAUAUAAAAAAGCUAAUUAUUUAUAAUUUUAAAUAAUCUGAAUUUGUAUGUUAGAAAUUUCAUCUCUUUUAUUUUUGAGAAUUUUUCAUAAAGAAUAGAGAACAUAAUGUUAACAUUUAAAGUAACACAUCUCAAUCGUCGAAAUUAUUUUUCUAUUAAAUCCAACGAUAACGAAUUAAUGUCAGAAAAGGACAAAAUUAGUGGUGGCUUGCAAUAAUUGCAAGGUAGCUUUUGUAAAGACAGAAAUGUGAUGGAUUCAAAAAGAAAUUGAAGUGAUAAUGUACGUGGAUCCUUAAAAUAAAAAGCCGAAUCGCUUGGUGGCCCAGUAAAAUUACGAUUUGAAUUUUUUUUUUUUUUUUUUUUACACAAUGUGUCAAGCACAUAAAUGACGAAAGCCAUUUCAUUUCCCUUUCACACGUCAUUAACUUUUGUAACACGGUGUGUUCAUCGUCAAGUGAGGCAAAAGGGUUUCCAUUACAGUGGGAAAACAUGAACAAGAAUGCAUAAUGAAUAAUUCCUUCGAUAAAGCGAAAAUUAAACAUAAAAUAAUCCUAAAAUUUAAACUCUAAUAUCCUUCGAUAAUGUAUUGAUUAAAAAUAAUCCUAAGAGUUUCCAAUUGAAACUUCCGUAAGUAUUUUUAUUGUUUUGGAUAAACAAAUUGCACUAGGAUAAAAAUUUGGUAAAUUCAGAGGAUAAUAGAAAAUAGCUAUGGUUCAAUAGGCCAAAGAUUAGAGAACAAACAAGAAUUAGUUAUUGAUAUACAAAAGAGAAACACUCCAAAAUUUCAAGCAAAAAUAGUUUCAUAUACCAUUUCGAUUUUGGAAGGGGUGAGGUUUUGAAAUUCAAUAGUUUCCUCUAAAAUCAAAAGGCAGCAAUUAAGUUAGAAAGAGCAAAGAAGACUUAUUGGUACCUUAUUGAAGCUGAACAUUAUGGAACUUUCAAUGUCAUUACCUCACUGUUCAAUUUUUAUUGAGAUUUGUGCAAGCAUUUACCUAAAUUUUACCUCCGCCUGUAAAUUCAUAAGUUUUGAAAAUUUUGAGACGUUAUAUUGGGAGAUAUUAUAAUCGAACUAAAACUUAAAAUUUCAAUAUUAUUAUUCUUUGAAAAAAAAAUGAGAUAUCAGAGUAAUAUCACAUAGAAUGGUAAGCCAAAAGUCUAAUCAACCACAUGCAUAAAGCUAACUAGAACAAGUGAACAGAGAAACGCGUGGGUCCCUAAAAGAAAAGGCAAGCACAUAAAGAAAACGGAAAACAAACGCCAGAGAAAAGAAUUUCUUAUAUGCCUUGAUAUUGAUUAAUAUUCAGCGAUAGCUUAAUGCUUACCAUCAAGCAACUUUGAAAGCAGGAAGCUAUAUAUGACAAGAAAUCAAAGUAAUGUGAAGGAACAUGAUGAUGAAAUUGCAGGCCAGCACAAAAACACCCAUACCCCUGAUUUGUUUAAAUGUACACGAAGACCUUAAGGUUUGGUAAAAGAAAAUUGAAUUUAUAUUGUAUUAUAAUACAAUUUUUUUUAAACCAUCAAUGAUAAAAUCUUCUUACUUUUUUCCAUCCUUUGGAUCAAUAAGUACAAAUUUCUCAUCUAAAUCUUCAUACUUUUUACAAAUGACUUUUGUGCCAUAGAUUUUUUUUUUCUUUUUUUGGUUUUGCCGAAAAAACAAAACAAAUUCAUAAACAACAUUGUAUUUCACCAAUUAACAGUGCAAGUGUCAUUAUAGUUUCCACAUUUUAGUUCUGUUUUUUUUAGUUUCAUUUUCUUUCUGUUAUGUAACUGAUGUUUCAUUGCUAUAAAAUUAAUUGUCUGUUUCUCUUCACAACUGUUAUUUUGAAUGAUUUUUUCUGAAUUUUAUAAACAAUUUGUAUAUGACAGGAAAUGAAGCAGAGUGCGAGCAACUUGUAUGGAUUCCUAAAAGGUCUGGUCAGAGUGUUCCUUUCAAUGCAUACAUCUGGCGGCGAGGGACUAUUCCAAUAUGGUGGGGUGCAGAAUUAAAGCUUACUGCUGCUGAAGCAGAAAUUUAUGUUGCAGAUCGGGAUCCUUAUAAAGGAAGUCUGCAGUAUUAUCAGAGGUUGAGUAAUCGAUAUGAUGCUCGAAACUUUGACUUAGCUGUUGGGGAAAAUCAGAAGAAAAAGCCUUUUAUUCCAAUUGUAUGCAUUAACUUGCUUAGGAAUGCGGAAGGGAAAUCAGAAUCUAUUUUAGUUCAGCAUUUUGAGGAAUCUUUGAACUAUGUCAGAUCAACUGGAAAACUUCCUUAUACUCGAAUUAUUUUAAUAAAUUAUGACUGGCAUGCCAGUACAAAAUUAAAAGGUGAACAACUUACAAUUGAAGGAUUAUGGAAGCAUCUAAAAGCACCCACUCAGGCCGUAGGCAUUUCUGAAGGGGACUAUUUGCCAUCACGGCAACGACUUAAUGAUUGCCGAGGUGAAGUCAUCUGCAAUGAUGACUUUGUGGGUGCCUUUUGCUUAAGAUCCCAUCAGAAUGGAGUGAUACGCUUUAACUGUGCAGACUCUCUUGAUCGGACCAAUGCUGCUAGUUAUUUUGGUGCUCUGCAAGUAUUUGUGGAGCAAUGUAGGCGGCUUGGGGUCUCCCUUGACAGUGAUUUUGCAUAUGGCUAUCAGUCAGCUAAUAACUAUGGUGGAUAUACUGCUCCUUUGCCACGAGGAUGGGAGAAACGAGCUGAUGCAGUGACAGGAAAAACAUAUUAUAUCGAUCACAACACUAGGACCACAACAUGGAUUCAUCCAUGCCCAGACAAACCUUGGAAGAGAUUUGAUAUGACAUUUGAGGAGUUCAAGCAUUCAACAAUUUUAUCACCAGUGUCUCAGCUAGCAGAUCUUUUUCUGCUUUCUGGUGAUAUCCAUGCAACCCUUUAUACUGGUUCAAAAGCAAUGCAUAGCCAAAUUCUUAAUAUAUUCAAUGAAGAACCAGGAAAGUUCAAACAAUUUUCUGCAGCACAAAAUAUGAAAAUUACUCUGCAGAGAAGAUACAAAAAUGCAGUUGUCGAUAGCUCUCGUCAGAAACAGCUGGAGAUGUUUCUUGGAUUUAGGCUGUUCAGUUCAUUUUUUUGUGGUAGAAAUGUCGUCAUUUUAAAUUUAGUGUAUUUUCAAAAAGCUUAUUUUCUCAGAAUAUAAAAAAUAAAAAAAUAAAAAAAGAAUUCUUACAUGUUUCAUCAGCAUGAUUAAAAUCGAAGAAGAAAGCGAGACAUAAUGUCUCUGACAUAAUAAAAUUACAAAAAUUUCAAGGAAAAAAAAGAAGUUAAAACAUGUAAUCUUCAGAAGCAUAUAAUAAAAGAGCACUUCCACAAAUUACUACAAUUUCAUGCAGUAGAGAUUGAAGAGUUGAAUUCCACUUAUAGACACCGACCUCUUGUUUUGUCUAAUGUUAAAAUUACAACCUCUUGCUUUGACUUAUUAGCAGGUUUCAAAAGUAAUAAGGAAUACAUAGAUAAAACAUCAUCUUAAACAAAUCACAAUCUAGAAUUAGAGCAUUUUCGACAUACCUAAGGACCACGAAUACGUGAAAACGGGUGACUCAUUU
Molecule: long non-coding RNA, 158291 nt
Filed under: Citrus maxima (pomelo)
Lineage: Eukaryota; Viridiplantae; Streptophyta; Magnoliopsida; Sapindales; Rutaceae
Description: long non-coding RNA (CMAX_LNC000737)
Rfam family: Small nucleolar RNA Z247 (bases 37480-37618)
Source: RNAcentral